This 96758-nucleotide long non-coding RNA is filed under the name Ananas comosus (pineapple). Its description in RNAcentral is "long non-coding RNA (ACOM_LNC016788)". Lineage: Eukaryota; Viridiplantae; Streptophyta; Magnoliopsida; Poales; Bromeliaceae. The record is from RNAcentral.
UAUAAGGGGAUUAGUGCGCUUCUUGCAUGAUCGUCCUUCGCAAGUCAUCAUCCUUAGGCAUGCACCAACGAUUUCUAAAUCGAAGUGCGCCAUCGGCUCCAAUGCCAAAAUCUUCGGCAUUGCCAAUUUUAACUUCACUUCGAAUCUUUUGGAGAUAAGGAUCCGAAGCUUGAAGUUCUUUAAUCCUCUCGAACAGGGUCGGUUGCACGAUCAAUGCAGUAAGAAUGGCCGGCACUCCCGGCGCUACUACUUCCAACCCGAGACGUUGCAUUUCCUUGUGCAAUAGCGGUUGAGGCGUAAUUGCCGUCGCUAAAUUAUCCGUCGACUUUCUACUCAACGCAUCGGCUACGACAUUGGCUUUCCCGGGGUGGUAUAGUAUAGUGACAUCGUAGUCCUUCAACAACUCUAACCACCGCCGCUGUCGCAUAUUCAACUCUUUCUGGGUGAACAAGUACUUUAGACUUUUGUGAUCGGUGUAAACCUCACAAUGCUCACCAUACAAGUAAUGCCUCCAAAGCUUCAACGCGAAGAUCACCGCGGCUAACUCAAGGUCGUGAAUCGGGUAGUUUUUCUCAUAACUCUUUAACUGGCGUGAGGCAUAAGCAAUGACUCGCCUAUUCUGCAUUAACACACACCCGAGACCAACAUACGAGGCAUCACUAUACACUACAAAUGUCUCCCCCGGGGUCGGCAAGGCAAGAACCGGGGUCGACAUCAACCUGUUCUUUAACUCCUCGAAGCUCCGAUCGCAAUCGUCGCUCCAAACGUACUUUACUCCUUUACGCGUAAGGCGCGUUAGCGGAGUGGUUACUUUGGCAAACCCUUCCACGAACCGCCGGUAGUAGCUUGCAAGUCUAAGAAAACUGUGGACCUCCGCUACAUUCGUCGGGCGAGGCCAAUCUUUUACUGCCUCUACUUUCUUCGGGUCUACUGACACUCCGUCGCCCAAUAUCACGUGGCCCAAAAAUGUGACUUCCUUUAGCCAAAAGUCACACUUCUUCAAUUUUGCAUAGAGCUUCUCUUGCCUGAGUAUCUGCAACACAGCUCUGAAGUGCUCCUCGUGCUCCUCCUCGCUUUUCGAAUAAACCAACACGUCGUCUAUAAACACCACGACGCAUCGAUCCAACAACGGCCUGAAGACUCGAUUCAUCAAGUCCAUAAAUGCUGCCGGGGCAUUAGUAAGCCCAAACGGCAUUACCGUGAACUCAUAAUGGCCAUACCGCGUAUGGUACGCCGUUAUAGAUGGAUAUCGUGAACAUAGACUUUAAAAAGAACAUAGUGAAAUACAAAAAUAAAUCACCUAAAUGUCAAAAUAGGAAUAGGGAACAACAUCAUAAAUUUGUAAAUAAUACGAGACUAUGAGGAUCUACAGAAAAUAAUAACGAAAAUAAUAGCAACAAAAAUCUACGGAAUAUACAAAAUCUGCAUACCGCCCAGACCCGUGCACGGCCCGCCCGAAGGCGACCCAGGGUCCCGCACUGUUUUAUGAUACACCAGUAUCUAACACUUUCAUUCCAAUAGUGAAAAGCAUUCGGAUUGGUUCUCCUUAAGCACAUGGCCUGCACGUUUCCACGCGCAAAGCGCUACUGAUAUAGCAGUCACUCUCGGUUUUCUUACUAGUUUUCUCCUACUUUUCGGAUAAACCGUUGGUAUCAACUACCGGCACCCCUCGUGGGUCUGGAACCUUCAUAGGCCCAACGCACGCUCAAAGGCCUACACAAAGGCCGUCUCAAUGGUCCUAACGGUGGCCUGACCCUUCAACUCAAGCACUAACUGAAUUAAGAGCCCCGCCGCGGUCAGAGCUUCCGAGGCAUAUCUUACCGUGGCCACCUCAACCACCUCGAUUUUCCUGUUAAUGUUCUGAACGAGCUAUUCCCGAAGCACUUCGGCUCGCACAGAGGCACCCCUCGAGGCCACGACAAACACUUCUUCUUUCUGCCAUGUGAAGUUGAGACGCACCUGAUAGCGCUCAACUUGUUUCAUUGCCAUUUCUUGUUCAUGGGCAACGGCUCCUAACUGCUAAAUAAGCUAGUCAACGUUCCCAGGUUCCAUAUAAGCUUUUAACUAGAGGUUAGCCCCAUAGUAGUUAAUUUCUAAUCCGGCUUCCUACACGUGUUNNNNNNNNNNNNNNNNNNNNNNNNNNNNNNNNNNNNNNNNNNNNNNNNNNNNNNNNNNNNNNNNNNNNNNNNNNNNNNNNNNNNNNNNNNNNNNNNNNNNNNNNNNNNNNNNNNNNNNNNNNNNNNNNNNNNNNNNNNNNNNNNNNNNNNNNNNNNNNNNNNNNNNNNNNNNNNNNNNNNNNNNNNNNNNNNNNNNNNNNNNNNNNNNNNNNNNNNNNNNNNNNNNNNNNNNNNNNNNNNNNNNNNNNNNNNNNNNNNNNNNNNNNNNNNNNNNNNNNNNNNNNNNNNNNNNNNNNNNNNNNNNNNNNNNNNNNNNNNNNNNNNNNNNNNNNNNNNNNNNNNNNNNNNNNNNNNNNNNNNNNNNNNNNNNNNNNNNNNNNNNNNNNNNNNNNNNNNNNNNNNNNNNNNNNNNNNNNNNNNNNNNNNNNNNNNNNNNNNNNNNNNNNNNNNNNNNNNNNNNNNNNNNNNNNNNNNNNNNNNNNNNNNNNNNNNNNNNNNNNNNNNNNNNNNNNNNNNNNNNNNNNNNNNNNNNNNNNNNNNNNNNNNNNNNNNNNNNNNNNNNNNNNNNNNNNNNNNNNNNNNNNNNNNNNNNNNNNNNNNNNNNNNNNNNNNNNNNNNNNNNNNNNNNNNNNNNNNNNNNNNNNNNNNNNNNNNNNNNNNNNNNNNNNNNNNNNNNNNNNNNNNNNNNNNNNNNNNNNNNNNNNNNNNNNNNNNNNNNNNNNNNNNNNNNNNNNNNNNNNNNNNNNNNNNNNNNNNNNNNNNNNNNNNNNNNNNNNNNNNNNNNNNNNNNNNNNNNNNNNNNNNNNNNNNNNNNNNNNNNNNNNNNNNNNNNNNNNNNNNNNNNNNNNNNNNNNNNNNNNNNNNNNNNNNNNNNNNNNNNNNNNNNNNNNNNNNNNNNNNNNNNNNNNNNNNNNNNNNNNNNNNNNNNNNNNNNNNNNNNNNNNNNNNNNNNNNNNNNNNNNNNNNNNNNNNNNNNNNNNNNNNNNNNNNNNNNNNNNNNNNNNNNNNNNNNNNNNNNNNNNNNNNNNNNNNNNNNNNNNNNNNNNNNNNNNNNNNNNNNNNNNNNNNNNNNNNNNNNNNNNNNNNNNNNNNNNNNNNNNNNNNNNNNNNNNNNNNNNNNNNNNNNNNNNNNNNNNNNNNNNNNNNNNNNNNNNNNNNNNNNNNNNNNNNNNNNNNNNNNNNNNNNNNNNNNNNNNNNNNNNNNNNNNNNNNNNNNNNNNNNNNNNNNNNNNNNNNNNNNNNNNNNNNNNNNNNNNNNNNNNNNNNNNNNNNNNNNNNNNNNNNNNNNNNNNNNNNNNNNNNNNNNNNNNNNNNNNNNNNNNNNNNNNNNNNNNNNNNNNNNNNNNNNNNNNNNNNNNNNNNNNNNNNNNNNNNNNNNNNNNNNNNNNNNNNNNNNNNNNNNNNNNNNNNNNNNNNNNNNNNNNNNNNNNNNNNNNNNNNNNNNNNNNNNNNNNNNNNNNNNNNNNNNNNNNNNNNNNNNNNNNNNNNNNNNNNNNNNNNNNNNNNNNNNNNNNNNNNNNNNNNNNNNNNNNNNNNNNNNNNNNNNNNNNNNNNNNNNNNNNNNNNNNNNNNNNNNNNNNNNNNNNNNNNNNNNNNNNNNNNNNNNNNNNNNNNNNNNNNNNNNNNNNNNNNNNNNNNNNNNNNNNNNNNNNNNNNNNNNNNNNNNNNNNNNNNNNNNNNNNNNNNNNNNNNNNNNNNNNNNNNNNNNNNNNNNNNNNNNNNNNNNNNNNNNNNNNNNNNNNNNNNNNNNNNNNNNNNNNNNNNNNNNNNNNNNNNNNNNNNNNNNNNNNNNNNNNNNNNNNNNNNNNNNNNNNNNNNNNNNNNNNNNNNNNNNNNNNNNNNNNNNNNNNNNNNNNNNNNNNNNNNNNNNNNNNNNNNNNNNNNNNNNNNNNNNNNNNNNNNNNNNNNNNNNNNNNNNNNNNNNNNNNNNNNNNNNNNNNNNNNNNNNNNNNNNNNNNNNNNNNNNNNNNNNNNNNNNNNNNNNNNNNNNNNNNNNNNNNNNNNNNNNNNNNNNNNNNNNNNNNNNNNNNNNNNNNNNNNNNNNNNNNNNNNNNNNNNNNNNNNNNNNNNNNNNNNNNNNNNNNNNNNNNNNNNNNNNNNNNNNNNNNNNNNNNNNNNNNNNNNNNNNNNNNNNNNNNNNNNNNNNNNNNNNNNNNNNNNNNNNNNNNNNNNNNNNNNNNNNNNNNNNNNNNNNNNNNNNNNNNNNNNNNNNNNNNNNNNNNNNNNNNNNNNNNNNNNNNNNNNNNNNNNNNNNNNNNNNNNNNNNNNNNNNNNNNNNNNNNNNNNNNNNNNNNNNNNNNNNNNNNNNNNNNNNNNNNNNNNNNNNNNNNNNNNNNNNNNNNNNNNNNNNNNNNNNNNNNNNNNNNNNNNNNNNNNNNNNNNNNNNNNNNNNNNNNNNNNNNNNNNNNNNNNNNNNNNNNNNNNNNNNNNNNNNNNNNNNNNNNNNNNNNNNNNNNNNNNNNNNNNNNNNNNNNNNNNNNNNNNNNNNNNNNNNNNNNNNNNNNNNNNNNNNNNNNNNNNNNNNNNNNNNNNNNNNNNNNNNNNNNNNNNNNNNNNNNNNNNNNNNNNNNNNNNNNNNNNNNNNNNNNNNNNNNNNNNNNNNNNNNNNNNNNNNNNNNNNNNNNNNNNNNNNNNNNNNNNNNNNNNNNNNNNNNNNNNNNNNGUCUGAAUAGUGCGCUCCGACUGUCCAUCACUCUGCGGGUGAAAUGCUGUACUGAAAUCCAAUCGGGUGCCUAAGGCGUCCUGUAGACUCCUCCAAAAGUGAGACACGAAGCGCGUGUCGCGAUCAGAUACAAUCGAUGUAGGCACUCCAUGAAGUCGCACAAUCUCAUCAAGGUACACUUGUGCGAGCUUCUCUCCGGUCCAAGUCGUAUGAAUAGGUAUGAAGUGCGCCGACUUCGUCAACCUAUCCACGAUCACCCAAAUAGCGUCAUGCCCCGCCUGUGAGCGUGGCAAUCCUGUCACAAAGUCCAUGGUGAUCUUCUCCCAUUUCCACACGGGAAUAGGCAAACUCCGAAGUUUUCCCGCGGAAACUCGGUGCUCAGCCUUUACUUGUUGACAAGUUAGACAACGAGCUACAAACUCGCCAACGUCCUUUUUUAUCCCGGGCCACCAAUAAAACAACUUUAGAUCCUCGUACAUCUUGGUGCCUCCCGGAUGUAUAGCAUACGGCGCUCGGUGCGCUUCUUGAAGAAUGUCUUCUUUAAUUUCUGAAUUUGCCGGAACACAUAGUCGUCCUUGAAAGCGCAUCAACCCUCGGUCGUCCACAAGGAAAUAGCCGGUGCAACCAUAAACCAUUUUUCCUCUAAUCUUUUGCAAUUCCACAUCGGAAACUUGCUUCUCUUUGAUUCUGUCCAACAAGGUAGGUUGCACUACUAAUGUCAUCAACCUCAAGGGUGUGUGUAAUACACUGGACUUUCGCAAAUUGCAGAGUUCGAGUGUGUGGAAGGAAGUGUGGAACUAUCCUACAUGUUCUAAAUGACUUGGACAAGUUUUUGAACAAGUUAGAGAGUGAUUGGAAUGCUAAAAGUGAGAAAGUGCAUUGAACUGGUGAAAAUCAGCAUUUUCUGCUUGCUGUACCGGUACAGCCAUCACCUUGUACCGGUACAAGCUGGCAGAUUCGUGGCAGCAAGGCUAGUUUGGUAAUNNNNNNNNNNNNNNNNNNNNNNNNNNNNNNNNNNNNNNNNNNNNNNNNNNNNNNNNNNNNNNNNNNNNNNNNNNNNNNNNNNNNNNNNNNNNNNNNNNNNGAUUUCGCUUCACCUCGAUCAACCACGGAUUCACGACACAAUCCAAUCUUCUUUCCAACAUAAGAAAAUAACACCUAAAUACAUAUAAAACAUGUAUUUUUGGAUUUUGUCGAAAUCCGUGCGUCAAAAUCAAAAUCCGACAGCGCCAAUGGUUCCAGAAUAGCUGAACCGGUCGAAACGAGCUAUUGGAUCGCUAUGAACGGAGUCUGAUACGCGUAGAAAGCCAACUCUACUCCGUGGCUUCACCGAAAAAUCGGAGUUACUAUUCACUUAAGUGAAAACUAAUAAUCGCGUAACUUCUCCAUUUUAGCUCAUUUUCUCCUGAAACUUGACGAGUGCUUAUGUAAUUAAAUUACACACAUAAACAUCAUCAACAGAGAGUUUAGUUGCACUGCAAAAAUCUCAGUCCUUACAGCCUUCUGCAGCAGCAGCUGUGUUGGCGCUAGAUAGUUGCGCUUCCAGCUUUGCAUUUUUUUUCCUUUAACAUUGCCUUCUCCUUUUCCAAAAUCUUAUUCCGAUCUUUUAAUUUUUUUACAGCUCGCUCUAAUUUAUUCAAUAAGGAGCUGAUAUUAUUGCUAUUUUCACCGGCACCAGCUGUUGUCACGGGGGCCGCUGCCUGUACCACAUUUGAGUGAAAUGUACGAAAGGACAAUAUCACAAUUUGACAAAUAAACUCUAACCAAAUAAUAUUUUCUACUAACUCAAUUCAGCAAUACCUGCUCCGGCAGGCUGCCAUGUAACGUAGGCUUCAAUAUUGACAUAUCAUCAAGGCGGUAGGUAAAUGUAGAUACAACCUGCCAUAAAGAUAAAUCUAUUUAAUAAGUAUUAUAAGAAAAUUUUAUAAAACUACAUUCAUUACAUAAAUGAUUACCUCUGCAGGAGUAUAGCUCUACAGCUUUUUUAGUAGCUUCUCGUAACUCCGAUAGGCUCUUGAACCCUUCCAUUUUCUCAUCCGAGGAACAACCUUGUCUCCGUCGGAAUUACCCAACCUCUUUAUAUGCUCGUAAGCCCAACUCUGCAAGUUUAUCAAGAUUUAACAUUGUUAUUAUCAUAAAAAAAAUGUGCAAAAGAAAUUCUAUUGACAUACUAAUUUAUGAUAUUACUUACCAGAAAUGCUAUUGUACAGCAGUCGAUAUAGCCGCCAACUCUUUCUUGGCCGCUAUUUCGACGCUUCACACGUGGGGAGGCUCUGGAGAUCGAACUUAUAAGAUAAUUACAUACAGCAUGACCCCAGACAUAUUCCCCUAUUCUAUGUACAUCAUCUAUAUAUCUAUAUAGUGCCUUCGGCACAUUGUAGUGGCUGGUAGGAAAGAGGACGGUCGCAAAUACGUAUAAUAUAAAUAUAUGCACAAAAUCAGCUGCCAUCUCCUCUCCAUUCUGACCAGUAAUACUGUACAAAAUAUGUCGUAAUUUCGACCUAUCGGCAUGCCGAUAGUCACCAUUGAAGUAUUUAUCAAGAGUGCUCGACUUUACACUCUUGUUCUGCCAUUCUAUUGGUUCCCCUUGUGCUGGCAGCCCUAUCAAAAUGGAGAUUUUCUCUGGAAUAAAGGGGAGAAAGGUUUCUCCAAAUCUAAUACCUCUUCUCUCUUCGUCCCAAAAAUUGAGGAGGGAAUCGACUAACACAAGAUCUUGCUUAAUUAGAGGCAAGUCGAGAUAAGAAGAGAAUGGAGUGGUCUUCAGAAGUGCCAUUUGUUCAUCGGACAUAACAUCACGUAACGCUGGGCCAGCUGUCUGGAUUCUGCCCACAGUCUUCGGCAACUCUGAAACACACAUUAUAGUGUGCAGAUGAACUGGGUAACAUCUGCCCACAACAAGCUCGAUGGUCGGCCUUUUAGCUUUGGAUGGCCUCUCUGUUCUUUUCUCUGCAGAAUGCGAAGAUGUGCAUUGACCACUUGUAGUGGCCUUCUUGCCAGACCGGGUUGACGACUUCGCUCUGGUGGAAACCAUAUUCUCUGCUGCAUUUUAUUCACCACAAGUCAGCACAUAACUUCAUUAUGAAAGUAACUAGAAAAUAAAUUAAUUAUGUUCAUCCUAUGAAUGCAGAAUAUGUACAGUUUGACACUAUUAUGACAUAAUAGAACAUUCUUAUCAUAUUUUAAUUUUUGUUUCGUUGACUGCGAACAUAUAAAUGCUAUGCAUAAUAGAACAUCUAUUAAUUGCAAAAAUAAUAUAUACAACUGUUAAGAGUGUUUCCAAUCAUAAACCUAUUAAGAGUGUUCUAUUAACCUUUACAACUGUUCUAUUAUGGCAUAAAAGUGUUCUAAAUUCUAAAACUGAUAGGAGUGUUCUAUUAAGCUUUAAGAAUGUUCUAUUAAGUCAUAAGAGGGUAAGAUUGCAAUGCAUACAUGUUCGCAACUUUAAACCUGAAAAAGGUAUUCUAUUAAGCUCUAAGAGUGUUCUUCUAUGACAAAAGAGUAUUCUAAACCCUAAAACUGAUAGGAGUGUUAUAUUAAGCUUUAAGAAUAUUGUAUUAAGUCAUAAGAGGGUAGAGAUGUCAACAGGUCGGAUUUGGGGAGGAUUUUCAAAAACCGAACCCGAAUCCGACUCCAAACCCGACACCCGACACUCGAACCCAAANNNNNNNNNNNNNNNNNNNNNNNNNNNNNNNNNNNNNNNNNNNNNNNNNNNNNNNNNNNNNNNNNNNNNNNNNNNNNNNNNNNNNNNNNNNNNNNNNNNNNNNNNNNNNNNNNNNNNNNNNNNNNNNNNNNNNNNNNNNNNNNNNNNNNNNNNNNNNNNNNNNNNNNNNNNNNNNNNNNNNNNNNNNNNNNNNNNNNNNNNNNNNNNNNNNNNNNNNNNNNNNNNNNNNNNNNNNNNNNNNNNNNNNNNNNNNNNNNNNNNNNNNNNNNNNNNNNNNNNNNNNNNNNNNNNNNNNNNNNNNNNNNNNNNNNNNNNNNNNNNNNNNNNNNNNNNNNNNNNNNNNNNNNNNNNNNNNNNNNNUAAAUUUUUAAAAUACAAAUUCAAAUAUAACAUCAAAUUUAUAUAUAUAUAUAUUAUAUAUAAUACAAAAUAAAUUCGAGUUCGAGUCGGGUUCGGGUUCGGGUUCGGGUCGAGUACAGUCAAAAUCCAUAUCCGAAUCCAUAUCCAUCGGGUUUCUAUUUUUGAUAUCCAUAUAUGAAUCCAUAUUCAUUUAGCAUCGGAUAUAUCCGUUUCUUUCGGGUUCGAGUUCGGAUAAAAUUUGGGGUAUCCAUACCCAUUGACAUCCCUAUAAGAGGGUAAGAUUGCAAUGCAUAUAUGUUCGCAACUGUAAACCUGAAAAAAGUGUUCUAUUAAGCUCUAAGAGUGUUCUUCUAUGACAAAAGAGUGUUAUNAUGUUCGCAACUGUAAACCUGAAAAAAGUGUUCUAUUAAGCUCUAAGAGUGUUCUUCUAUGACAAAAGAGUGUUCUAAACCCUAAAACUGAUAGGAGUGUUAUAUUAAGCUUUAAGAAUAUUUUAUUAAGUUAUAAGAGGGUAAGAUUGCAAUGCAUAUAUAUUUGCAACUGUAAACCUGAUAAAAGUGUUCUGUUAAUGUCACGUCCCGCUAUCGCCAAUUUGGUCGAUCCGGGCCCGUACACAGACGCCGAACGAACAGCACCUCCUCUGUUCGCCCAAGGCUCAACAACAACGGAUACAUGUAUAAAGAAAUUAAAUAAUUCCCAGGAUCAUAUUUCAAUAUACAUGGCUUGCACGAAGGCAAGCAACAAACACAAGUGAUAGUAAGUCUAACUAAACAUGAAAUCCACUGUAAUUUAAAACUUUACAUAACUAAAACAUUUAGUUAUAUACAUGCUUUAUAUACAUUCAUUUACAUGUCUCUGUACAUCAAAAUGGAUGAUACAUGAACCCAAAUGGUAUACCACUAGUACUCGGGUGUCCACUAGCUAGGCUGCGGGCUCUUGCCUCGAUCCUCGGCCACAAUACUCGCACUGGAACCUGUAUGGUUAGUGGUGUGAGAACUACAAGAAAGUUCCCAGUGGGUUCGGCCGCCGACCUCGCCGACUCACCCACUAGGUCUACUCAGGCAUAUGUAGACAAGAAAAGUAAACAGAUAGUAACCAACUAUAACAUGUAACUACUACAAUGCCUGNNNNNNNNNNNNNNNNNNNNNNNNNAAACACUUCCAAAAUACACCAAGGGACCUUCCCAAGCUACCAAUUUAAUUUGGAAGCAAUUCCUUUUCAUUUUGACAUUAUUUGAGCCGAAUUAGAAAUAGAAUCGGCUCCAAUUCCAUUACACGGCAGAAAUUUCUCCUUUUUGCACUACCACUUCGCACUGAACACUUCAAAACCCUUAGAAAACACACCCUUGGCUUUUCCGAAACUUCACAAUUGAUUCGGAGAUUCCACAAUUUAUCCUUACGCCUUACUUUAAUUCUUUUAAUCAACGUUAGCGUCGGAAUUUCGAAAUUCUCUUUUUACAUUUCGUUUCGCGCCCAAUUGCGCCGAAACACUUAUUUCUCUUUGGAACUCAUUCCAACGCAUCACAAACCCCUCAGGGAUGAUGUCCAACUAGCUCAAUCCUCACUUUGACCCUCUAGGUCAAAGUUGACAUCGCAACUCCAAGUUUCCAUAUGUUACAGUUAAGCUUUAAGAGUGUUCUGCUAUGACAAAAGAGUGUUCACAACCAUAAUACUAUUAAGAGUGUUCUAUUAACAGUUACAACUGUUCUAUUAUGACAUGAAAGCGUUAUAAACCCUAAACUGAUAGAAGUGUUUUAUUAAGCUUUAAGAAUGUUCUAUUAAGUCAUAAAAGGGUAAGAUUGCAAUGCAUAUAUGUUCGCAACUGUAAACCUGAAAAAAGUGUUCUAUUAAGCUCUAAGAGUGUUCUUCUAUGACAAAAGAGUGUUAUNGUAAGAUUGCAAUGCAUAUAUGUUCGCAACUGUAAACCUGAAAAAAGUGUUCUAUUAAGCUCUAAGAGUGUUCUUCUAUGACAAAAGAGUGUUAUAAACCCUAAAACUAUAUUAAGCUUUAAGAAUGUUCUAUUACGCCAUAAGAGGGUAAGAUUGCAAUGCAUACAUAUUCGCAACUAUAAACUUUAUAAAAGUAUUCUAUUAAGCUCUAAGAGUGUUUUACUAUGACAAAAGAGUGUUCACAACUAUAAUCCUAUUAAGAGUGUUCUAUUAUCCUUUACAACUGUUCUAUUAUGGCAUGAAAGUAUUCUAAACCCUAAAAUUGAUAGAAGUGUUUUAUUAAGUUUUAAGAAUAUUUUAUUAAGUCAUAAGAGGAUAAGAUUGCAAUGCAUACAUGUUCGCAACUGUAAACCUGAAAAAAGUGUUCUAUUAAGCUCUAAGAGUGUUCUUUUAUGACAAAAGAGUGUUCUAAAUCCUAAAACUGAUAGGAGUGUUAUAUUAAGCUUUAAGAAUGUUCUAUUAAGUCAUAAGAGGGUAAGAUUGCAAUGCAUACAUGUUCACAACUGUAAACCUGAUAAAAGUGUUCUAUUAAAUUCUAAGAGUGUUCUAUUAUGAAAAAAGAGUGUCCAUAACCAUAAUCCUAUUAAGAGUGUUCUAUUAACUUUUACAACUGUUCUAUUAUGGCAUGAAAGUGUUCUAAACCCUAAAACUGAUAGAAGUGUUCUACUAAGUCAUAAGAGGGUAAGAUUGCAAUGCAUAUAUGUUUGCAACUAUAAACCUGAUAAAAGUGUCCUAUUAAGCUCCAAGAGUGUUCUACUAUGACGAAAGAGUAUUCACAACCAUAAAUCUAUUAAGAGUGUUCUAUUACCUUUACAACUGUUCUAUUAUGGCAUAAAACUGUUCACAAUCCUAAAGCUGAUAGGAUUGUUCUAAUACGCCCUAAAAAUAUUCUAUUAUGCCAUAAGAGGGUAAUAUUGCAACUCAUAUAUGUUCGGAAGUAUAAAAAUAAUAAGAGAGUAAGAUUGCAACUCAUACAUGUUCGCAAGCACAAAUUUUAUAAGAGUGUUCUACUAAGCGUGUUCUUUUAUCGCAUAAGAAUUUAAGAUUGCAACACAUAUAUAUUCGAAAGCACAAAAGUGAUAAAAAUGUUCUUAUAAGCUCUAAGAGUAAACCCUUUAUGACAUAAGAGUGACAGAUUGCAACACAUACAUGUUCACAGCCAACUAUACAUAUACGAAUACAAACAAAUUAAUUAUUAAUACAAAUAUACAAGUAUAUUAUUUCGUUUCAAGCAGUGUAGCAAACUAACUCCUAAAACCAUAUAGCACCGUUCUACCAAUGCAUAAGAGAAUAUACUAGUUGUAAGGAAGUGAAUUCUCGAAAUCCGAGGAUUGUACUUCGCCCAGGAUCGACUAACUGUCGAGAGUGUAUCCUUUGUGGGAGUUAAGAAUGUCCGAAACACAAAAAGUGCUUUGGAGUUGAGUCCGCGAGAGCAAAUGGUGCAAACCGCAUUUUUGGGCUGAUGUUGCUCUCGGGGACCGGUCUCUGGAGGUGAGAGACCGGUUCCCUCGGCUAGGUGUAGCGGGGUUGCUUGGUGCAAUCGGUCCCUCGCAGGAGGGACCGGUUCCCGAACGUGGUCCCAGUGAGAAAUGCCAAAAUUCGCUAAGUCCUAAAAAUCGAGCUCUCGGGGACCGGUCUCUCAGGUGAGGACCGGUCUCCCGAGGACCGGUCUCCCGGGGAGAGACCGGUUCCCGAACGCGUGCGCCCGAGGGAAGCUCUCGGGGACCGGUCCCAAGUCGGGGAGACCGGUCCCUUCGCGCGAAAACUGCCCAGUAAGGACUGUGCAAUAAAUGGAAAAGUGAGGGGUUUUUAUGCAAAAUGGCCUUUAUUAGAGUGGGCUGAGCCCUCUCUCUCCCUCACACCCUCUCAUUUUCUCUCUUUCUCACACUCUCUCUUGCUCCCUCUCUUUCUCUCUAGAAAAGAAAGAACAAAAGAGAAGGAGAAGAAGAAAAAGAAGAAGAAGAAGGAGGAGAAAAAGAUAGAGAAGGCUUGGAGCAUCUUCCUCUCUUUCUCUCUUCUCCAUUGGUGUAGCUCAAGAGGUAAGCUGCAAACCCUAGCUUGUAAAACUUAGGGUUUUGGGUUUUUAUGCUUUGGAAUGGGUCAAAUGAACCCUAAGCUAGCUUCUAAAUGGAUCAAUCCCAAGAAUCUAGGGAUUUAUUGGGUGGUUUGCUAUAGGUGCAAACCUAGGGCUCCAAAAUGGGGUUUUCGUGAAAAUAUGAGAUUGAUCUCAUUUGAAGCCUUGGAAACCCUAUUGGUAGGUCACAAAGCGUGGGGGCGAAGUCGGUUUUAGCCUUCGGCGAGCCGGCGUGAAGUUCUCGGCAAGAUAGGGCCGGGAUAGCUUGGAUUUGGGCAAGGAAGGCUAAAGCCUUUUCGUAAAGUUCGCCAAGAAGGAUUUCCCAAGCCUCUACAUCGAUUAAAGGUGGGGGGUGCCAUCCCGAAGCUUUCGAACUCCUUUCUAUGUCUUAGAUUGCAUUUAAUCUCAUCUCUUCAUGUUGCAUUGUAGGAUUGCAUAGUAGCUCCAUUCCUUAUGCUUUCUAAUUGAUAACCUAGUGUACUUGGAACGCUUGGUAACUUAGAUAGGUGAGGAUUGGGUCGGAACGUGGAUCCUAUGAUGCGAAAGAAAAGAGAUGAACCCGAUGGGGGUGUUGAUGACAUAGAAAGUAGUGUUAAUGUUAAAGAACAAACGAGUGGCAUCCAAACAUUGAAUGAUGACGAGUGGCAUUAAUGUAGUGUAAAUGACACUAGAGGUCGAUGGACCUAGGGAUAGGUGGAUCCCUUAGAAAAUGCCUUGUGAACAAUGAAUUUAGAAAACUAAAUAGCAUUGCAUGAAUGUCGGGAACCGAUGAUUCCGCGAUAGUCGUUGACCCUAGUGUAGGGCGUCCUCACUUGGAGAGGAUUCGAUUGGGUUAUUGACUCUAGUUGUAGAGCCUCCUCACUUGGAGAGGAUUGGAUUGGGUGUUGACCCUAGUUACAGUGUAUCCUCACAUGGAGAGGAUAGAUCUAGCUCACAGUCUGCGUUUAGGAUGGUAUAGCCAUCCAAUCCCCACAUGGAGGGGAUUGUCGUCGAGUACUCCGGAGUGUCGCGCGACUAGGACCACUUGGAGGUCCGGACCACAUGGAGGUCCGCAGACGGUCCCGGGCUUGGGUGCACUUGGAGCUCCCUCCCCACUUUGGGAUUGAAAGGUGAGUCAUGGGCGAGCCCUAGGGCCUCGCAACAGAUUGGGUAAAUGAAAGGCUAAAGGUUAUAAAUGUUAUUGAAUAUUACUAUUCGAACAUGGAUCGAAUUUGUUAGCAUGGUAGCAAAUCUUUAUCAUAUGAUGCAUGCAUUCAUAUUCAUGAUUAUGGGCAUAGUAGCAUAGUUUUCCUACUAUCGCAUUUACAGCUUUCAGAUACAUAUCGAUCAAUCUAUCUAUCUGUUGUUGCUUGUGCCCACUUGGACCUAGUGGGGAGAUCGGCAGAGUCGGCGGCCGAGCCCACUGGGAACUAUGGAAGAUAGUUCUCACCCCACUCUAUUUUCAGUGGUAGGUUCAGGACUGCAGAAAGAGGACCGCGGCAAGGGCAUCGUGCCCGACCAGUGAGACCGUGGUAGUAUAGUAGCUUUCCUUUUUGCAUUAGCACACCUAUGUAUUGAGAGAGAUCAUUGUAGGUGAGGAUUUGGAGAGCUAUGUAUUUUGGAUGAAAAAUGUACUCAUUCAGAGAAAAUGAUGAAACUAUUGUAAUAGUUAGUAAAGUACUCUCUUUGUUUCACUUGUUUUAUCUUGUGGAUUGUUUGCUCUUUGUAUUGUUGGCACUGUUUGUGCCCUUGUAAAUGUGUAUACUUAGAAUUUAAUUUUCUGGGUAAAUUCUUGUACACAUUCUUGUUGUUGAGCCUUGGGCGGACCGGGAAGGUGCUGUCCGUUCGGCGGCCCGCUGCCGCUGCCGAACCGUGCCAAAUUGGUAGUGGUUUCGGGGCGGGGCGUGACACUAGUAACCCUAAACUUGUUUUCUGUACCUUUUUUUCUAUUCAAACGAAAUCAAACUUUACCCUAAACACUAAUUUGUAUAUUUGAAAUGAAUACAGUUUUCUAUCAUAAACCAAGCAAAAUUUUAUGAAAUGCAUGAAAUAUAUGUGUGUUACUGUGGAAGCAUCUUCUAAACACUAAACCCUAUCCUAAUCAUAAAUGCUUUAUUUUUUAAAAUGCAACAAAAAAUAUAAUAUACCGACAGUGUCCUAAAAAUAAAAUGAAUCAGCUAGUUGGUGACGAAAUCCGGAGCUUGCAAAGACAAACCCAAGUUACAACCCUGAACCCUCAAAAUAUAAAUUUUAUAUUAAAUUUAAAAUUUAAAAAAAAAAAUUAUAGAAAUUCAAAAAAUUUCCUGUUUGAGUUGAAUCCUCUGUUUCGAUUGUGAAAUUAGCUCCGAAAUCAUUCCCAAUUUCGAACGCCCACGAGUGAAGGAAUGCCUGACAGGUACUAGGAUGAACAAGGGAGCAGUUGAGAGGCGACCUCGUACCAAUGGAGAGAGGCGAGGGCGAGAGACACCCUCGAGACGGCUUGGGGACAUGAGCUUCUACCGAGGAAGACAAUGUGUGGAAUGAGCGCUGCCGAACUUCUGCCCGAUGGAGUGCCCUACGAGCGAGAGAGAGAGAGGAGAGCGCAAGAUCAAGAGAGAGGCGAAAGAGCGAGAGAGAGGCGAGGGAGCGAGAGAGAGCGAGAAACAGAGAUAGCGAAAGGGAGCUGUGCGGGAGAGAGAAGUGUUGUAGCGUUUGGUUUGGGUUAGCUUUAGCAAAAAGUAAAAAGGGGAUGAGCUUAGAAGCUACUGUGCUAGUGGAUUAAUAUAAGCUGUUGGAUCCCAAGGGUGUAGGAUGUACACCUUCUACCGGGAGUCCAGCUAGACUUUUCCAUAUCUAAAGUGUUUGGGAGAAGAUAUGGUAAGUACAUAUGGACACAUGUUAUGUUGGUUAAUUUGGCGCACCCGGUGCAUCAUAAACCAUACAAAGUGGGUGGAGAAGAUGAGGAGGAGACACAUGUUGUGUUGGUUAAUUCGGUGCACCCGGUGCACCAUAAAUCAUACUCAAAUAUCUUAAAUUUUAAUCAAUUAAUAAUCUAAAAAUUUAUAAUAUUUAAUAUGUAGAUAUUUUGAAUACCAUAAAAUACAUUUAACAAAGUCACAUUUAAUAUACUACAAAAUAAAUUUAAUUAAUUAAAUUUUAUUUUAAAAUUUUAUUUUUUAUAUUUUUAUCAUACAAAUUUACUGAUGGAUGUCAUUACAAAUAUGCGUUCAAUACAUAUAUUUAGUAGUAAUAUAUACUAUAUGUUACAAAUAUAACUAAGAACAUAUUUAUCGAACCCACAGUAAAGUGCGGGUACAUUGCUAGUACUUAUUUAUAUACGAUAUAAGAACAAAUGAAAGAUACCAAUUAUGCUAUCUAUACAAAUUUGCAUAAACGUACUUACUCAAUGGUAUAUAUUAGAGGUAUUAUUUUUUUCAUUUUUGGCACAAUUUGAUGGUAAAAUUACUCUUUACACUUUUAUGCUUUCUUUUUUUUUUUUUUAAGGAAAAUAACUAUUAUAAAUAAAAAUUGAUAGUAAUAACUAUUAAGAAAAUUGUUAGAACGACAAAGUGCUUAGUGGUUGGUACUCGAGGUUUCAAGUUUGAAUUCUAGUUGAUUGACAUUUUCAGCUAAGUUUAUUUCUAAAGAAAUAAAUGAAGCGAAGCGCGGGUUCUUAAUUAGGUUAGAUUGGACAACACCUCAGGAAAGAAUUUGUUUUCUAAAUAAAAUUUUGAUGAGGCAAAAUUCUAAAUUUUUAUUUGUGGAGGGUUAAAUAGGAGAGAAGUCCGGGCGGUCCACUGUGAACCGGGUUCGGGCAAAAAAUCCACGAGUACCCAAUCGCCCCUCCGUGAAUUCGUCCCGUAUACUACGGUCUUGUUUACUGGGUUCGUUCCUCCCCUCCGAAGCGAUUCCGAAUUCCAUAUCUCUCCGAUCUUAUCGAUCUUACCAAAAUCCUACAAACCAAAGGCGCCUUCGUCCAUGGAGAGCGGCUGCGGCGACUUGGGCUCGUCCACCGCCCCCCUCACCUGGCACGACUUCUUGGAGCGCAUGCGCCAACCCUCCGCGGCCGAUUUUGUCAAAUCCAUUAAAAGGUCUUUUUUUGGCUUACACACUUUUUCCUACAUCUUUUGCAUCUUUACUCAAAGUGAUCACGGUGGAUCGUAAUUGGUUCUGGAUGCUGCAUUGUGCUCGAAUCCCGGUUGAUUAACGCAGAAUCUUGUGAGAUUUUUGUGUUUGUUGGAGUUGAGCAGAAUAUCUUUCCUAUCCUUGGCUGUUGAUGGUUCAAAGAAAGCGCUUUUUAUUCGGUAACUUGUUUCUAGUAGCGGAAAUGGAUUACAUUGGGAGGCAGAUCAAGGUUAUGCUUUGGGAUGGAAUCUAGUCUAGGUACACAACUAUAUCUUGAUAGAAAUUAACGAUGAUGAAUCAAGGCAUAUUUAUGUAGGAAUGAAGUCCCUUAAAGCCUCUAAACAUGAAAAAACUCGGAAUGAUUAAGCAUGAUGGAAAUAGCCUUCUCCGUGCUACUGUGUCCUGUCAUAAUGGGAACUGCAAGAAGGUAAUGUUGAAGGAACGCUGACUGGCCUCGUAUUGAUAAGUCUAAUGCUACGGUUUCCUCUGAACUCCACCCAUUUUAAAUGGUGCAAGUUCAUAUAGAUAGAAGCUUGUUCCUCAUCUCUUUUCGCUUGAAAUGCUAGUCAAGAACUAUAAACUUGUUCUCCGAGCCCCUCAGCGUUUAUAUUCGUGAUGUAAACUGCAUGGACAGUGUGAGAAGGUACAAAUAAUGGAUCCAUCUCAUAACUUCCAAAAGAAAUCACCUCAUAAUUUUAAUGGACUUUAAGUACCACUUCAUAACUUCCAAGGGAAAUCAAAUGGAGAUCUUUCUUAAACACAAGCUAAAUAGAAACAGGCAGCUAAGAGUAUUUACCAAUUUGUUCUUUUAGUCCCUAUGUCACACCCCGGGGUUCUUUUGUAUAAUCCUGUUUAUGGAAAUUAGUGAAAAAUGUAUACAUUUUUUUUUUUUCAAACAACCACCAAAGAACACGCCGAAACAUAUAUAGACCCGGCACAUAGACAGAAGCUCCUCUAUACAAACAGACAGAGUCUCCCUUAUACAAUCAUGGCAUAGAACCUAGAGUACAACGUCAACCACACAACCGAACAUGAUAACAACAACACCAACGAAUAGGUAGAGGAUAAAUACAACUAAACAUGAUCCAACAGAUAGGUAAUCAAGAAUGAAACUAACCAUCCAACCAAUAGAUAAAUAAAUAUACCUAAAUCCACAAUUAUACCACAAUAAUGACCUAAAUGCAGGUAAACGUAAACUCACAAUUAUUAACACCAUUAUUAAUCAUGGUUAAUGAGAUAACCAAUUAAACUAAAAGUAAUCUAAAAUGAAUGCAAGAAUGUAAUAAACUAGCAAUCAACGAAUCAAAUUCGGGACACAUCUAUCUAGUAGUGUCCUCACGCACCGUCCCGACCCUCACCUCUCGUGUCAUCGGUAGAAAUAGGGGGUGAGAAACAUGUAAACAUGUUUUCGAGUAGGUACUGCAAGUCGAUGAAGGGAAGCUGUACUUACUGGCAAAUAAGAGUGAUAAUAAUCAACUAAUAUGAACAGAUAUCAAGUACAGUAGCAAUAACGAACUGAAAGGAAAUUAUAAAGUAUCAAUAAAUAUACAACUAACCGCUACUGUAAUAUGAAAUAGAAUGCAAGUAUGUGUCUACCCAAUGAACGGUCCAAAUAAACUGAAUCAAAUCGCCAUGUUGGUCUAAUGACCUCAGACAAUGCCACAACUUGCUCAUCCACCGGUAUAUAACGCUAGCAAAUAAACCUCAUAGGGUUUACGAGUCGAAAAUACGACCAUUUUUCAAAAAAGAAUGCCACUGCGAUGGCCAAACUGCUGGUUUACGUGAAAUGCUCAAUGAGCAAUGGUGCUCAAUGCUAUAUGCUCAAUAGCUAUCUGUCGGCAGGUAGCUGAGAAAGAUCUAUAAGAAUUCACUGACCAAUUAGGUCAACCAUAUCUCAAAGAUAGAACUGUCAUGCCCCAGGUUCUAGCACUUCUUGGGCUCGCCAACAGAUCCACUGCAUACACAGGAAGCCCUGUGUACACGAAGCGAUAGAAGCACCUGUAACCUGCACAAGAACCACUAUUAGAGAGUAAUAGAGACACUAAAAACAGAAGUAACUACUCAUCUGUACAUACAUAUAAUCCAAUGUUUAUACAGUAUCCAAUACAAUAUCAACAUAUUUCAACUCUGAGCAGAUGAAAGAAAAUACAACUGUAUGUACAUGACUAAACAAAAGUAAAUUAUCUCCAUAAAUAGGUACUCCUCUAGCACGAUUACCAGGGUAGAUAGGGAUCUAGUUCAUGACUCCCUUACCUCAAUCAGAAGCAGCAGUGGCAACCAACGACUCUGCAAGAAAAAAGUGGCAAUAAUAAAUGUGAGAACUACUGUAAAUAAGGUAGUCUUCAGUUGGUACUGUCACCGAGCCCAACAGCCUACCCACUAAAUCUACGAGACUAACAGUAUAGCUAAUAGGUAGAAGAACAAUAUGGUAAGCUGGAAGAAACUCUACAGCUAGCCAUUACACUACGACUACUCAUGCCAUGCUCUCUGUGUAGAUAUGCAUCACUAGCUAAGAAAUAGUCACAACUGAUUCAAUCCAAGGGGACUGCGAACCGGCUAGUCCAGUCUGUGCUUAAGCUACUUUGCGCACCACCCGCGGGGGGAUGGCCGAUCUAAGUAGAAUGACCAAAAGGGUUGCUGCGACAAAAAUGCGAAAAGGCCUCACUUCGGAGUGGCACUUGGGGGAGCUACCUAGCCGAGCAAAAGAGCGUACUUUGUCGAGCUCAAUCAGGCUCACGCAGGCUGUAGUCAAUGCAAAUGCUCAAACGGUUCCAAGAACCAAAGCUCACGUGUUCUCAGUACAAUCUGAUGCAAAAAGUAAAGAUCCGGGUCUACCGUCAGUCUGGACGGCAUCAGACAACACGACACUAAUAGUGACGCACUAAUAGUGAUAAUACAAUGGUAAAAUCAGCUCCUGAAGCUAAAUCUGAGCAAAUAAAUGGCAAGUUCAGUGUGUAGGUUUUCUUCUAAGUUAAUUCCCAAUUCAGCAUGUAGUAAUCAUCUAAAAUAUCUAAAUCAUGCUUCAAAUUCAGAUUUCAUAUAUUAACAUGCAAAUCUAUAAUUUGAGCUACUAAAUGUGAUGAAUCAUACAUGAUAAGACAUGCUAAAAUUCUAUAAAACUUAGGAGGAAUUCCAUAGAAUUCGGUAGAUUAAUACCCACAUCAAACACUAAUCCAACGAUGGCAGGAACUCGGCUUCAAAUACACCACACUUCAACCCAAUCCAGCAAGAAUUAGUUGAGGGGAUUCCAGAAAUUCAGCAAGGAAGGGAGUGAAUAUAGUCCAAUCACUGCUGGAUUUUCAUUUAUGUCUGAAAUUUACUAAACUUUAGCUUAUACUACCUUACUACUAUCCAAAGAGGAUGUCCUCCAAGCUUCCUGUCACGCCCCGAGCCCCGCCUAUUUGGUCUGGUUCGGGCACGCCGACAGACUGCCGAACGGACAGAGUUUCCUCUGUACGUCCUAAGCGUCGCAAUCAAUACAAUACAAAGGUUCCAACCAGGAACAAUAUUCAACAUACAGUUGCAUAAGGAAGUAUCAAAAACAUAAACAACUAGCUAUUACAAGCAUUCACCUUAGAUGCAUUCUACAUCACAAUUACAUUUUUCUUCCAACAUACAAUCUGAGUUAUUACAAUAUUUACUUAUUACAAUUUGAUGCAUUUGAUCUUUUCAUCUCUAUACCCCUAGGAUAUGUCGACUCAGGGUACUGCUAUCUUUAGUCUCUGGGGUAGGGCGCUAUCUACGGAGCUACGCCCUUGCCUCGCGUCGCUCACGUGCGAACCUGUAACACCCCAAAGCAACGUGGGAUGAGAAACAACUCUAUAGUUUCCAAUGGGUACGGCCACCCAAGGAAAAAGUUUGACCAAUAGGUCCAAGGGAGGCAACAACAGGUUAGUUCAAUAAGCAGAUAGAUAUAUAUCUUAAUUAUGCAACUAACAAUACCAUGCUUUGCCUCACGAAUGCAAUAAUGCUAUGCUAUAUGCAAUCAUGCAAGAAUACAAUGCAACAUCUCAAGUAGAUCACUCGAUUCUACUUCUAUCUUGCUAUCUCUCUCAGAUCCAACUAACCUCUAAGGUUUCUAUUACCUUAGAUCCACUACAUUACCACUAGCCCCUAAGGUUCCAUCUACCUUAUUCAAGCUAGCCACCCGACUCGGCCGCUCUGUUUGGCUCGAGGUGAAGGAACACUCGUAUGCACCUCACCUUUCAAUCCACAAUUCAAGUCGCCGACGGGUCACCCAGAGCUGCGUACACCCGUGGUCAGGGACGGUAGGAGGGGGAACAUGCCACACUCGACCCGCGGUCCAAGACCCUCGAUAGGGAGGGGAACAUGCCACACACCCUAGCGAAGCACGAUUCUGCCGGUGGGAGGGGAACCUGCCACACUCAACCCGCGGCUUUGAAUCAAUCAACAGCUCAUCCUCGAAGUUCGUCUAGUGGGAGGGAGAACCUGCCACACUCGACCCACUGCUCUAGAAUUAUCGAGUUCACAAUCCUAGAAUUCCGGAAUCUACUUUCCAAGUAUCUAGGGUAGUCUCAACCCUAUAAUAUCGACCUAUCUAGGUCCAAUACACUUUCCACCCUAGGUCUAGCUGACUCUAGGUUUAAUGCUCUUAUCACAUAACCUAGGCUCAUUCAAUUCUAGGUUCAAUCCACAACCUAUGUUCUUUAUUAAACUAGGUUUAAUGCUUCUCUACCUAGAUCUUAUUAACUCUAGGUUCAACAACACUAGCUUCGAUGUCAACCUAUGUUUAACAACACUAGGUUCGAUAUCAAUCUACCUAGAUCUUGAUUCUAGGUUCAUUCUGUUCAACCUAUGUUCACGACACUAGGUUAAUGCCAUUCGAUCUACCCUAGAUUCACGACACUAGGUUCAACGUCAUUCUUAUUCAUCCUCGGUUCACGACUCUAGGUUCAAUACAACCUAUGUUAUAUAACACUAGGUACAAUGCCACUCGAUCUAUUCGAUACCUAAGUGUCCACAUCGAGUUCCAUAGCCAUGCCUGUUCACUGUGCUAACAUGCAUCUCAUCCAACAUAACACUAUAUGUUAAUAUGCAUGCUCUUUAUCAUGAUCUCAUGAUGCUAACAUGCACCUAGCAUAUAAUCCACAAUGCAUAUAUUCUACGAGAGGUUACCAUGCAUUUCACUUUGCUUUUCUACAUUAUGUCCCAAUGCAUUUAUCAUCUUAGCAUAUUCUAUUUACAUACUUUAACACAUUCAUGAUGCCAUCAUGCACCUAUUCCAAUCAGGCUAACAUGCAUACAUUCUAUUUAUUUGCUCUAGCAUGCUCUACAAUGCCAUCAUACCCAUACAUAUGCGUCAACAAGAACUCAUAGUCCACUUUGACAUGCAGACGACCUAGUCUCUUCGGUAAGCACAACCCACCUGUUAUCGCGUUUCGAUUUCUUAUAGUCACUUGCAAUCGACCGCCCGAGGCACCCGCUAUCCGACUCGGCCCGAACUCGCAAUUGCGCACCAACCGUGCGCCGCUUCGCAGCCCCGGAAAUUAUAGAUCUUCGGUUAUGUGCUACGGUGCUUGGAAUCCAAUUUCAUAAUUUUCGGACGUCGCCUCGGCCCUCCAGGCGGAAACGAAGCUCUAAUAGUCCGUUUUCCCCAUAACUUCGCGUAGGCUCGACGAACCGCCGAACCGACUUUGCCAACGCGUUCGCGUACCUAGCAAUUAGGUUCACGUAGGGUUAAUUUAGAUCAAACCCCUAUACUUUACAAAACCCCAUUUUAACCCUAGAUUUCAUCUAUUGCAAGAAUACACUAUAUAAACCUUGGAUUCAAGCAAUAAACAUCUCAUUAGCAUGAUAGGGUUCCGAGGAAACCAAAUCUAGAGCUUAAAAUCAACACCCUAGAGAUCUACCAUUGUUAAGCAUCAAAGCUUACCUCAAUCAACUCCUCCAAUGGUGAGGAAGAAGAUGAGAGGAAGAAGCUUCCUCUUCCUAGCCUCCUUCUCCUUCUUUCCCUCCUCCAAGAUCCAUCCUCUUUGAGAGAGAGAGAGAGUUUAGAGAGAGAGAGGGAGUGCUUUAGGGCUAAGACAUGAGAAAUAAGGGAGAGAGAGGAAGCCCUUGCUUCUAUACCCUCUCAUAAGUGCAAAAUUGUUGAAAACACCCUCAACAAUGCCUCUUUUGCAACAGCCCAAACUGGGCAUUUUCGGGCUACGGGGACCGGUCCUUGCAUGAGGGACCGGACCCUCAAGGACCGGUCCUUGGUUGAGGGACCCGUCCCCGUAGGUCCAAAAUUCCAGACUUAGCCAAAUUUCAGCCUUUUUCGUUUCUCCUCCGUUUUCGCUCGUUUUUGCUCGUUUGGUCUCCGAUUCAUUUCAUAUCGAACCGAGACUCCCAAAACAUAUUUUCGAGCAUAUUUACAUCAUCUUUUUCAUCCACGCUAAUGCCGGAUUUAGUUCACGGCCCAACAUAGCCUUUCGGGUUUCGUUUUCGCGCCUACGCGCACUGAAACGCCCGAAUACUCCCGAACCUCACCGAACUUCACCGGAACUAUUCAAAUGGCUUUCCAACCAAAUGUAGGGGGUGUUUGGCCUAGCUUUUAAAAAGCACUUUGAAGCUGAAAAGUGAUUUUCGGCUCAAUAAAGCGUUUGGCAACUCGAUUUUAAAAUCUGAUUCUGCUUUUUAGAAUCAGAAAACUGAUUUUGAAGGCUCCAGAAUUAGAAGCAGAAAAAAAGCUGCUUCUUGAAAUCUGAUUUUGAUUUUGGAUUUAAACUUCAAAUUUUUAUUUUUAUUUUUAAUUUCAAUAUUUCAAUCUAAAUUUAAUUUUAAUUUUUAAUUUUCAGAUUCAUUUUUGAAUUUUUAAAUUUUAACUUUUAAAUUUUAAAUUUUAAAUUUUGAAAAAUAGAUUUCAAACAUUAAUUUUUAAAUUUUAAUUUUAAAUUUCAAAUCUCAAAUUUUUGAAUUUCAAAUUUCAAAUUUUGGAAAUCAAAUUUCAAAUUUCAAAUUCAAAUUUUAAAUUUCUUUUAGAUUCUAAAAUUUAAAAUUUUUAAAUUUUAAAUUUAAUAAUAUUUAAAUUUCAUAAUUAUUUUAAAUUUUAAAUUUUUAAAAUUUUAAAUUAUUUUUUGAAUUAAAAUACCAAAUUUUAAAUUUUGUAAAAUUUUGAAAUUUAAAUAUUUUAAUUUUAAUUCAAAUUUAAAUUAAGAUUUUAAAUUAUUUUAAAAUAAAAAUUAAUAAAAAUAUUAAUUUAUGCAAACAUUAAAAAAAAUUUGCCAAACAGCUUUUCAAAAUCACUUCAGAAAAAUCACUUUUAUCUAAACUCCGCCAAACACUCUACAGCUUUUAACCAAAAUCACUUCUCCAAAUCAAAAUCACUUUUUCAGAAAUCACUUUUUCCGAAGCUAGGCCAAACAGGCCCGUACACCGUAACUUCAUAAUUUUAGAAGUCCGGUACCUUACACUUCCUAGCUUUAGUGCAAGAAGAAAAGGACAAGGGAAAAGUUCCUCUAACCAGGGAUUUGCUGAAAUAAAGCUUGGAGUCGAGAAAACUGAACAAAUGUAAUUAUGGCUUGAAAAUCCAAUUAACUCAAAAUUAAAGCAACGUACCUCUCAAUUCAGUUGGAAGCACCUUCAAAUCACUUGGAAUUGAAGGAAAAUCCAUCAAACAUCCUCCAAUUUCACAGCUAGAAGAAAUGGAAAUAAGAAUUUAACAAAAUCCAUCCAUCACCAUAAUUUUAUCACUAAAGAGAAAAAUUUGGCAAGUUAACUCUUACUAACCUGCAAUUAGGUUUGAGGAAUAAGAUUACGAGGUCCUUUCCUUCACUAGUACCCCACCAAAAGCUCAUUUUUGCAGCUAGAAUCUGGAUUUAAGACUCGGAUCAAAAGAAUUAACGAUAUUCCAACAAGAGUUAAAAAAUCAGCCCAAUUCUCAAUUCUAGUUCAAAUUCAGGUUUAUUAACCUGGAAUUCCAGCUUAUAGAAUAUGCAAUCUGACCACCAACACUCCCUUUUCCUGUAAUUAACCCUCAAUUAUGAAGUAGAACUUUCUAUACCCUCCAAUUAUUUCCCCUCCUCGGAAUCAGCCCUGCUGCCAGCAAACUGCUGCUGCUGGCAGCCCACUGCAGUUGUGCUGAAAAUGCAGCUUGAUGCUACAAUUCUCUUGAUCCACAAGAAGAUCUAGGGCAGGGAGAGGACAAGGUGCAAUCCAGUGGUGAUCCCAAGUUCCUAAACUACAGGAAAAGUCCACAAUUCACCACAAAAAAUUCAUUAUAAAUAAGAAAUAAAGGUGGAGAAUUCAGCUUCUACAUAAAAACUGUUUUUCGAUUUUCGAUCUUAAUGAAAAUUGAAAUUCUCAUUCAUUUUACCUCCAAAUUGGUCCAAACAAGAUUCUAAUCAUGAGAGGAUGAAGUCAAGAUCACUCCCAAACCUUCAAAAGCUCAGCUUCUAGAAAAAAUUCACAUGGAUUUUAUCAAAAUCUGAAAUUGGUUCAUUUCAGUCCAGAAAAUCAGCAUGUGUACAAUCUAUGACCAACUUUAAAAUUAGAGCUACUAACCUACAAUUCAAGCUCAAGGAAGGUACAAACUGGUUCCCAACUUCCCCCCACACCACUACAUGUCUUCAAUUUCGAAUUUGGACCUUCGAAACUCCUCCAAUUAACUCCGAAACUCCAGCUGAUCCUGCUGCCAGCUGAGCUACUGCUGCUGGCAGCCUUGCUGCAGCUGUUGAUGCAACCUGCAGCUAGUUGUUGCUGGCAGCUCUCCCCAGCUGCAGCUAAAGAGGGUGUAGGAAAGGAAGAAAAUAAGGGAAAGAUAAGUUAGAGCUAGAUGCCAACUACUUCAACUCUUAUCUUGCUGCAGCUACCACAAACUGCACCACCUUCUGCUCCUCCGUUGCUGGCUGCAGCUCAAUUGCUGGCAGCAGCAGCAAUUCCACAACAUGUAUGGGAAUGCAGGGCAGGGGAGAGGGAGGAGAAGGAAAGGAAGUAGAAGAAGAAGAAAGACAGAAUUGCCACCUACUAACCUCUACAACCUCAGCUACCAACUAGCUGCUGCUGCUGCUGAGGAGGGCCUCCAAGCUGCACUUGUGCAGGACCAGCAGAGAGAGAAGGACCAGUGCAGAAUAUAAAAUAUUAACAACAAUCGGUCUGUGAAAGCUUAAGAUAAAGAUAUUAGGGCUUGUUUGGUUCAUCCAUUUUGGGUAUGGAAUGGGAAUCAGUUUGAUCAAAUCCGGUUAAUUUUGUUUGGUUCGCAUGAAUCGGUUUGGGAUUCCUAUUCCGGACUGGAAUGGGAAUGACCCAUUAGCCUUCAACUUGAUUCCGGUCUUCUAGCCUGGAUUGAGAUUUCAUUCUGGAAGCCCACUAAGUUCUCGAAGCCCAUGUGACCAUCUCACCCUCCUUCUCUUCACCCCUUUCUCAUCAAAAAAAAAAAAAAAUCUAUCCUCUCUCAAAACCCUAUCCCUAACCCACAUCAAUAAAAAAUUUUAAAAAUAAAUUUGAUAUUUUUUUUGGAAAACUUACUAGAGAAUAGUAUUAUAUUUUUCAUAAAUUUUAAAUAAUAUAAAUUUAUAUUUGAGAGUAAAAUUAGUAUUAUAGUAUCCUAUAAUUUUUUUAGUUUAUACGAACCAAACAAUGAAAUGUGAAUAACUCAUUCCAAUUCCCAAUCCACAAAUAAACCAAACGUCUUGGGGGAGUGGGCCAUUCCAAUUACCAUUCCAAUUCAUUCCCAUUCCAUUAUCCAUUCCAAUUCCACCCUUGAACCAAACAAGCCCUUAGAAUAAUCUAUUGUUUUCAUAUGGUAUCAGAGCAGAAGGUUUUUAGAAUAAGUAGUUGUUUUCAUCGAUCGCAUUUAAUUUCUUCCUAUUUAAAUUCAAGUUCAUAUGUUGGGAUGAUGCAGCCAAAAAAGGAUUAGCUAGGAUUUUAAAUUUAUUUUUUAUUUUUCGGAAUUAUUAUUUUUAUUAAUUUAUUUUAGAGAAUUUUUUUUUAGAAUUUAUUAUGUGAAAUGAAUUUCUAAAAAUUAGGGAUAUGGUUUAGAAUUUUUUUAGAUAUAUUUGGAUUAGAAAAAUAUCCCUAGAACUAUGGGGUUUGUUUUAGAUUAGAAUUAGAAUUAGGAUUUGAAUUAGAAAAAUAUCCCUAGAGGGAGGUGCCUCUACGCUUCUAAGUUCUUUUCGAUGAUGGGACUUUCGAGUCGACGACGGCUUCGUUAGACUUGAGUAAGAAUAUUCGAAGUAUCUGAAAAUUUACAUAGAGAUUGAAUUGUUUCUAGAAAACAAUUCGAUAUUAUUUACAUAGAGAUUGAAAGGACUAAAUUUUCAUGAAAAUUUAAUAAAAAUCUAUGCCAAUGUGCUAAAGGAAUGCCACUAGCAAUGGGGGGCCGUGCCGACGUUGGUAUGCCCCGUGCCGCUGUGCUGUGCUAUUGGCAUAAUGCCAUGACCCGUGCUAGUAACACGGUAAUCCUUAGUUCAUAGGUCUUUGUGAUUGUCACGGCCCGAGAUCCGCCACUUUGGUCGGAUUCGGCGCGCCAACAGACCGUCGAAUGGACAGAGUUUUUCCUGUACGUCCAAAGCGUCACUGUCAUGCCCCAAACCCGAGGCGUAACAGACGCCGCAUACCUGCUAAACUAGCAAAUAUGCAAGGCUACAGAAUCAGACAGAAACUAGCAAAAAGAUGAUUACCAAUUUUUCCACUAAAUCCAAAGAAUCAUAAGAUAGACUAAGAAAUUGAAUUUCAGCUAAAAUCAAACGGAAUUCUCUCAUCUAUAAAACUAAAGCUUACUACGAAUCACAAGAGAGAUUCGGUCUACAAAAUACCAUAUAAGUAAUAAAAGUGGGUACGAAGAAAUAACGAAAUAAAAUAGAUAAUAAACGAUCAUAGAUAAUCCGAAAAUACUAGAUGUAAAAACAAAAGGGACUAAAAUCAAAACUAGCUAUGUUAAACGUUUACUCGGUCUCAGCCCCGCCCGGCAAAUCAGUCUCGGUACCUGGGUAAGCAACCAUACACCACAUUAGUCGGAUUAAGCAUACAAUACAAAUAAAUAAAUGAAUACAAAAUUUAAUUCAAGCGACUGGUCUUUAAUUUGCAAAAUUUAGAAAACAAGAAUUUAUCAAACUUAAAAUUCAGAUCAAAUUGGAACUAUAAUUUUAUAAAGCAUUUCUCUUUAAGCAAAUAACGAAAUAAAUAUUAAGUCUUUGGCAACUAACUAUAUCAUAUAAUCCGUUGGCGAGAUCCAGAGGCACCCGAAGGCGCAAACAGAACAGAAGCACCCGAAGGUGCAAACAGAACAGAGGCAUCCGAAAGUGCAUGUACAAAACAGAGACAUCCGAAGGCGCAAACAAAACAGAGGCGCGGAUAGGCGCAGGCACCCGAAGGCGUAAUACAAAGAAGAAACUCGCUUCUAUAACAAAAUACAUGUCGACAUGGCCAACGUUAGCAUAGUAGAAUACCAAGAGACAUUAUAAUUUAAAAUUAUCCAGUCACUAACUUACAGAACAGAUUAUCAAAUUUCAAAAUUUUCUAUUAAAAGAAUCUUUCAAUCAUAGUUGAAACUCAAUUUGCAAAAAUAUUUAAUAUACGCUUAACCCUUAAUUUUUAAAAUCUACAAAAUAAAGAUUUUCACACAAUCAAAGUAUUUCCUAAAUUAUUUUACGAAAAACUAACGGGUGUCCGGUCGCUUACCUCAAGAGCGGCUUCUAAGCUAAGAAGCUAUCCAGUCAAAAAUCGCAUGAAAAUCAAUCGUCGGAACCUAAAAUAGAGAUAUACGAUUGUCUAUAAGCUACUCAAAAAUAAUUUACAAAAAUAAUAUAUAUACAUUUAGAAGGCAAGCUUAUACAAAAAUCUGAAUUCGGAUAGGUUCACAUAGGUCAACAAUGUCGGCUACAAAUGCAUGCAAAAAGGUCAAGACGGAGCACGAAAGAGAUUUAGAAUAAUAAAUUCGACGAAACUCAAUUAACAAUCAAGAGGAUGAUGAGUUCGAAAUAUUAAAGUUUUCAAAGAAGCAAGAUAACAUGAAUGAAGUUUUAGAUAAUAAACGAAGGAUCUAAUGCUCGAAAAGAGGGUUUUCAAAUGUUGAAACAUUGAUGGACAAUUUACAAUUAGAUGGGAUCGAAAUUAGAAACAAAAAUAAGGUUCGCUCUUAGGCAUUUUAUCGAACAUGCAAGGAGCAUUACAAGAAGUAUGUAGAAUAUGGAGAAUUUGUAUAACUAAAUAAGAUAGGGAUACAAGAUAAAAUGAUAGUUGAAAUAACGCAUAUUUAGAUCCCAUCUAAUUGUANUGGAGAAUUUGUAUAACUAAAUAAGAUAGGGAUACAAGAUAAAAUGAUAGUUGAAAUAACGCAUAUUUAGAUCAAAGCAAAUCAGAUUUUGAUAGUUUUAAUUCCAAUUAUCAAGAGAUAAGUAUUCAAGAUCAAUCAUAUAAUAAUGAACAAGAAGGUUGGAUGAUCUCAAGAUUUAGUGAAAGAGAAAAGAGAUUAAAAAAAGAACCUCUUCAAAGACGGAGACAACGAUGACGAGAUAUCGUCAACGACGAACCAAAAAUGCCGAUAGAGAUCAAACAAAAGGGUUGCGGCAGCAGCGACCACGGAUAACGGCGACGACGGUAGGGAUCGGAUAGCGUCGCGCGUGCACGUGCGGAGCGGCAGAGAUGUACGGACGCGGUGAAGGAGGAGAGAGAGAAAGAAUCGUGCGGGAGAGGAAAGAGAGAUCGGGUGAGGGUUGGUUGGGAAGAGUUAAUUAAGUUAGGUACUAAUUAGGUAACAAAAUGCCGCCGAGUCCCUCGAAGAUUGAAAAUUACGAAAAGCUCCAAACUUAAUAAGAUAGGUGUAAGGUACCGGACUUCUAAAAUCAUGAAGUUAUGGUGUAAAUUUGGUUGGAGAACCAUUUGAAUGGUUCCGGUGAAGUUCGGUGAAGUUCGGGAGCAAUCGGGCGUUUCGGUGCGCGUAGGCGCGAAAAUGGAACCCGAAAGGCUAUAUUGGACCAUGAGCUAAAUCCGGCAUUAGCGUGGAUGGAAAGAUGAUGAAAACAUACUUAAAAACAUGUAUGGAGAGUCUUGGUUCGAUUUGAAGUGAAUCGGAGGUCAAAUGAGCGAAAACGAGCGAAAACGGACGAAAAUGCUGAAAAUUUGGCUAAGUCCUUAAGGCUGGCUGGAAUGCAUACGGGGACGGGUCCCUCAGCUAGGGACCGGCCUCUCAGGGACCGGUCCCUCAUCCAAGGACCGGUCCCCGUAGCCCGAAAAUGCCCAGUUCGGGCUGUUGCAAAAAGAGACUUGUUGGGGGGUUUUUAUGCAAUUGUUGCAUAGGUUAAGUGUAUAGAGAGGGUUAGAACACCUCUCUCUCUCUUUCCCUCACCGUUUCAACCCCAACACCAUCCCUCUCUCUCUCUAAACGAAAAAGAAAAGAAGAAGAGAAAGAAGAGAAAGAAGAGAAGAAGAAGAAGAUGGAGAAGAUGGAGAUGGAGGCUAGGAGAAAGAGCUUCCUUCCUAUCAUCUUCUUCCUCACCUUGGAGCAAACCUAGAGCGGUAAGCUUCUAAGGCUUUAAUGGUAACUUCUUAGGGUUUGGUUUAUACCCUCUAAGGAUGGUUUAGAUGGAAUCCUAGCAUGCUAAAUAAGUGGGAAAUACCCAAUUCUUGAUUCGAUUUGGAGUAUUUUGACGUAGUUGCAAACUAGGGCUCGAAAGAGGGUUUUUGUAAAUAGAUGGGUUUGAUCUCAUUUAGACCUCUGUAAACCUAAUUGCUAGGUAAACGAACGCGUUGGCGAAGUCGGUUCGGCGAUUCGUCAAGCCGUUAUAAAGAUAUUGAAGAAACAAGCGAUUUAGCUUCGUUUCCGCCUUGAGGGCCGAGGCGACGUCGUAAAAUCGUGGAAAUGGAUUUGGAGCACCGUUGCACAUAACCGAAGACUUAUAAUUUUUGAGGCUGUGAAGCGGAGCACGGUUGAGGCGCAGUUGUAAUAUCAGGCCGUGCUAGAUACGGGUGCCGCGGGAGGCCGAUUGCAAGUGUCGACAAGCAAUUGGAACGCGAGUUAAGGUGGGUUGUGCUUACCGAAGCGACUAGGUCGCCUUUAUGUCUAAGAAAGUUAAAAUGCUAAGUUGAUGCAUGUAGCUAAUGCUAGAUAAUGCAUGUGGAUAAUGUAAUGCAAAUGCUAAGUAGAUGCAUAUAAAAUGAUAUGUGAGAUUAUAAAUGCAUGAUUAGCAUUGUGAGAUUAUAAAGGGUAUGAUUAGCAUUGAGAAAUUAUAUAUGCAUGUGAACUUGGUUGAUAACUCUAGAUUGAGUAGAGAACAUGACAUUGGAAAUAGGAACGUGAAAACUAUAGAAUACUCGAUGGGACAACUAGGGUGUCGAAUAGAUCGAGUGGCAUCUAACCUAGUGUUAGUAAACAUAGGUUAAACAGGAAUGACAUCGAACCUAGUGUUGAUAAACAUAGGUCGGACAUAGUGAUGUUGAACCUAGUGUCAAUGAACAUAGGUUGAACUAGUAAGCUAGAGUUUUGUAACCUAGAGUGGCUUUGAACCUAGGUUGUUGAGUAUAGUGGUAGCAGCCACUAGGAUGUUCUAGGUCGACAGCAUAGGGUUGGUUAUGGACCCUCGACCUGUGGAAGUGGAUUCCGGAAUCCUAGGAUUUGUGAUGAUGACCUUGGUAUCAAGGCUAGGACGUGUGCGGCGACUUCGUCGCCGAGAUUGAUACCAAGGAUGGAUUGGGGGUGAAUGUGCAGAGAUCACCGCCCGCGGCUUGAACCAUUGUCGUGGCGUGUGCGACGAUUUCGCCGCCUGAUGGUUAAGCCAGUUUGUGGAUUAUGCUGCCAGAUCGACUUGAGCCAUUGUUGGGUGAGGUGCGAUUCGUUCGCCGCCAGAUGGCCAAGUCAAGGGACUUGAACCAGUGUUCGGCGUGUGCGAGGACUUCGUCGCCAGCUGGUUAAGUCUUAGAGGGCGACCAGUGCGUGGACUAUCCGCGGAUGAUUGACUCGAGGCCGAGUCGGGUGGUUAGCUUGAUUAGGUUAAUGGAAACCUUAUAAGCUAGUGAUAAAGGUAAGAGCUAAGGUAAUAGAGACCUUAGAAGCAAGUCGAGCUUGAGUGUGGUGAACUAAGGUAGUAGAAAUCUUAGAGUCAAAUAACAUGAGCUAAAACUAGCUGAGUUGAAUGUAGAAUCAAUAGAUCUACUGAAUCAAUAGAUCUACUGAAUGGUUGCUUAAUUGCAUAGAACUGCAUAAUAUUCAUAUUGCAUAUUGUGAGGCAUGUUAUCUGUUAGUUGCAUAGUAACACUAUGAUAUAUAUCUAUAGAUGUUUUUUGGACUAACAUGAUUGCAGUGCCUCCAUGGACCUUUUGGUCGAGCUUUUCCCUUGGGUGGCCGUACCCACUGGAAACCAUGGAGUUGGUUUUCACCCCACGCUGUUUUGGAGUGUUACAGGUUCACACGUGAGCGGUGCGGCGGCGCGAGGAAAGGGCAUACCUAGAUAGCGCCCUACCCAGAGACCAGAGCUAGCAGUACCCCGUCGACAUAGCUUAGAGGUAUGGGGAAUGAAAAGAACACAAUGUAUCAAAUUGUAAUAAGUAAACGAUGUAAUAACUUAGAUUGUAUUUGGAGGAAUCAAAUGAAAACUGUGAUGUAAAAAUGUAUGAAUGUGAAUGCAUGUAAUAANCAAUGAGAACUGUGAUGUAAAAAUGUAUGAAUGUGAAUGCAUGUAAUAACAUAGGAUGUGUUAUGUUGUUGAUACCUUCCUUAUGCAAUCUGUUUGUUGAGUACUGUUCCUGGUUGGAACCUUUGUAUUGUAUUGAUUGCGAUGUCUUGAAUGUACAGGGGAGACUCUAUCCGUAGUACAGGGAAAACCCUGUCCAUUCAGCGCUGUUGGCGCUGCGACCUCGGCUAAAUAGGCGGGUGGUCGCGGGUCGCGACAAUAGGAGUCAAAACAAGAGGUUUAAAAGUAUGGGGUGUUACAGUCACAAUCAUUCAGCUCAAGAGGUUCCAAACAGAAACAGAAUGCAUAUAUAGAUUGUAUAAGGAAGGCAUUAGAAACAUAAAUACUAUGCUAUUACAAGCAUUCAGUUUACAUUUACUGUAACGAAGUGAAUCCUCGAAACUCGAGGAUUAGACUUCGUUUAGAAUCGACUAAUGGUCGAGUGCGUAAGCUUCGGAAAGUCCGAAGGUGAUCUUAAUGCAUAAAGUGCAUUAAAGAGAGGUCCGCGAGAGCACCAGUGCAAAACUUGCACUGGAGCAGAAAUGCUCUCGGGGACCGGUCCCUGGCAGGAAGGGACCGGUCCCAUCAAGCUGGGUUGCGGAGGUCUCUAAUGAGACCGGUCUCUAGUGGGCAGGGACCGGUUCCCGAACGUUGGCCCGGCGAGACUUAGCCAAAUUUGGCUAAGUCCCGAGAAUGCAGCUCUCGGGAACCGGUCUCUCGGACAAGGACCGGUCUCCCGGGGACCGGUCUCUNUGAAUAAGAUCGAUGAACAGGUACAUAGCUUUACCUUUGACAUGACGACAGGUUAGUUGCUUACCAAUUCAUUGGACAUGCAUUCAUAUAUCUAUGAUUGGGCAUAGUAGUGUAGCUUUACUUUCCCGUCCUUACAGUUUUGCCUAUUAUCUAUAUAUAUCGGUAUAUCUACUUGUGCCCGCUUGGACCUAGUGGGGAGAUCGGCGGAGUCGGCGGCCGAACCCACUGGGAACUAAGGAAGUUAGUUCUCACCCCCCCAUUUUACCACAGGUUCUAUUUCGGGCGUCCCUGGCGAGCGUGAGGAUCGCGGUAAGGGCCCGGCGCUCUAGUCACAUUAGCUACCUCCCUUUUUUUAUUAGCUGUCACCGUUUUAUAUUUGAGAGUAGAUGAUGUAUAGGGUGAGGUUCGAGUGAUUGUACUUAUACUUUUGAAAGAAUGUAAAAGAUGGAAUUACAUGCAUAUAUAUUAUGUCGAAUGAAUGUAAUAGAUAGCCUCUUCUCUCUUUAUGUACUUGUAUAUGUUUCUAUACUUGUAUCUUGCUCUUGUUUGUCGCACUGGUGGUGCUUCUUGAUCGUGUAUUUAUGAAUUGAAUUCCUGGGUAAAUUCUUAUACAUGAUCUGUUGGUUGCCUUGGGCGGACAGGGGAGGUCCUGUCCGUUCGGCGUCUGUUCGACGCGCCCGGGCCGGACCAAAUUGGUAGCGGUCUCGGGGCGUGACAUUACAUUCUCCCAAAUACAAUCAAACUUUAACACAAUUUUGUCUUAAUUCUUUUCUUCUCUACCCCACUAAGCUAUGCUGACUCGGGGUACAUCUAUCUCUGCUCUCAAGUGGUAGGACGCUAUCUACCGAGCUACGCCCUUGCCUCGCGCCGCACGUGUGGACCUAAAAAACAUGAGGGUGAGAACUAUAAACAUAGUUUUCAAUGGGUACGACAACCUAAGGGAAAAGCUCGACCCACCAGGUCCAAAGGAGGCAAUAUAAGCAAGUUAGUCCAAUAUAUAUAAAUAUAUCACUGUAAGCAACUAACAAAUAUCAUGGUUAUGCCUCAACUAAAUGCAAUAUGAAAUUUAUGCAAGUAGAUCUACCAUUUCUAUUUUCUAUUUGACAAUUCAUUUCUAAGGUUCUUUACCUUAUCCAAGCUGUAAUAUACCGAAUUUUUAAUAUAAAAGUGUAAAUAAAAAUAGUGUAAGAUACUAUUUUUAUUGGACUUAGAGCAGUAAAAUAUAAGUCGGAAAUGACUUAUGCUGAAAUUGGAAUGGAAACAGAAGAUUUAGAAUUUUCUGUAAGAAACGGGACUGAUAUUUUAGCAGAAAAUUCAGUGUCAGAAAAUUAUGAAAAUUGGAGAAUAUGUUGGAAUUAUUUUUAUGAGGCUAGAUUUAAAGUUUCAUGUCAUUUUGACACUCGGAAAGUGAAAAAUAAAAUCUAACUGCUAUCUGCUAGAGAUUCUAGUUGGUAGAGCUUUCGGUGACCAAAAAAUGGUCCAAACUGAAAAGUUAAGAUAUUUUUCUCCUUAUUAAUUUUAAUCGAGCCUGACUGUCAAAUUUGAGAGCAAACGGACAUUCAGAAGGACUUCGGCGAAAAGUAUCAGAUUCUGAACUGGGAACAGAUUUAAUUAAGGAUAUUGUGAGGGGUUUAUAUGCAAUUGUUUAAUCUUAUCCUUUAAAUCCAGCCCUCCACCAGCCUUCCCUGUGUACAGGGUGGUCUUUUCCUCCUCAUUGUCUCUUUCACUCUCUCUCUCUCUCUAGAACCUAUGGUAGGUGGGUUUAAUGGAGAACUUGAUGAAGUAGUGUUGCGGGCUGCGAGGAAGCCUUUUGAGCAGUGAAACCAGCUAGGGAGCUUCCGAAUUGAGGUAAGGUGGCUGUAAUCUUUGGUUUGGGUUAGGUUAUUGGCUCUAAAAAGGAUCUAAGCUAUAUAUCCUUAGAGUUAAGGAUCGAUCAUACUUGCAAUGAGUUCCGUGCUCGAGGGCGGUAGCUCCACCUCGAGCGAUGCGCUCCGGAGUUUUGCAUCACGAGUUGGAGUCAACCCGAGAACGGUCUUAACGGGAGGCAGCUGAGGGCCCGCGAUGAUGGACUUAAUGUGGGCAAGUUAAUGUGGCGAAACCCCCGGGUUAGCCGUGAGAUUAAAGAACAAAGAACAAAGAUUAAAGAAUAAAGAGUAAAGAACAAAAAACAAAGAUUAAAGAAUAAAGAGUAAGGAACAAAGAACUUGCAUACUUGCAUGAUUUACGUUAAGCAUAUUCCUUGCUUUAUUGUUCAGGCAUAUUAGCAUCAUGAUUAUAGUUGGUUACUAUUCUGCUUGUCCUUUCUAUUAUGCCUGAGUUAGUCCUAGUGGGAAAGUCGGUGAGAUUGGGGCCGAACUCACUGGAAACUUUGUUGUAGUUCUCACCCCACCAUUUCCACAGAGCCGGGACCGAGUGAGCCGGCGAGCGACCGUUGUAAAGGUAUCGCACCAUAGUCAGAGGCCACCAGAGUUUGGUUAUUUCACAUUUUGUUAGUAGCUACCCUAUUGUCAUCUUUUGUACUUGAAGAUGUUUAAAGUAAAGAAAAAGAAUGUAAAGUUUUAUUUUGAGGCAAUGUGAUGUAAAAAGAAAUGAUGCAAGUGAUGUAAUGAAAUGUAAAGAAUCAUGAAUAUGAAGGUUAAAUGCAAUGUAUGUGAUCAAAAGUUGAAUCAUAGUACUGGUGAAGAUGUUUAGUUUCCUUUCUUUUACUCAUGGCUAUUGCUUACCCUCGUGUAAGCCAUAUUUGUAUAUUUCCGCUAGUGCUUUUCUCUACUUGAAAAUGUACAGGUGAUGAGCCUUGGGCGGACAGGGGAAACUCUGUCCGUUCGGCGUCUGUUUGACGUGCCGGGCCGGCCCAAAUUGGUAUCGGUUUCGGGGCGUGACACAUACUCACUAGUCUGUUUUCGCUUGUCGGUGGUCGCUCUACCGAAGCACGAGUCUCCAGAGUACUUCACUAGGGGCAGACGUAGUUGUCCCGCAGACGGUCUCGGUGUGCGAGUGUAGCUUCUCCCCACCUAUGAGAUUGAGAGUGAAUCGAGGGUUUAACCUACGGGUUAGCCAAGUAGAUUGGGUAAUAAACAUGAAUGGCAUAGUAGAAUUGCAUUAUUAUCUCGAGUAGACAGUGUAUGUUGUAGAUUGCAUUGCUAUGUACUUCUAUAUACUCAUGACCUGAUACUAGCAUGAUAGUAGUUGUUGCAUGCAUCGUUAUCAUUGGUGGCAUGAUAGAGUAGUUGCAUUUCAUUUCUCUAUAUAUCUAUCUAUCUCUCUAUCUGUGCCAGCUUAGACUAGUGGGUAAAUCGGCGGAGUCGGCGGCCGAACCCACUGGGAACUAUAUUUAUAUAGUUCUCACCCCGUGUGUUUUUGGGGGACAGGUACACACAGGGGCGAGCCGCGCGAGGAUCGCGACAAGGGCAUAGCGCCCUAAGUGAGUAGUUAGUAGCUUUCCUUUUUGCAUAUAGAAUACCCUCGUGUACUAGAAGAUGUAUAUUUUGGAUAGGCAGUGGAGAGCUAUGAUGUAUUUUGGGAAAAACAUGUAUUUACAUUUUGAAAGAUGAAAAUGUAAUGUAACCAAAUGAUGUAACUAUUGAAUGGUUGUAAUAGCUAGAUAUUUCUCUCUUUAUACACUUGUACAUUUACUCGUGGUUCUUGCUCUUAGUUGUAGAGCACUUGUGUGCAUCGUAUUGAUCAUGUAUAUUAUUUAAGCAUUUCCUGGGCGCUUAAUUGUACUUGAUCUAGUUGUUUAGCCUUGGGCGGACAGGGGAGGUCCUGUCUGUUCAGCGUUCGUCCGCCGCGCCCGGACCGGACCAAAUUGCUUGUAGACACUUUGAUAUGGAAGCGACCUAGUCACUUCGGUGAAGCACAACCUACCUCACAAAACUUUCUAAAUUGCUUGUAGACACUUGCAAUUAGGCCAACCUCUUGGAUCUCCAAGCUUGCUCCCAAGCUUUUCUUGCCCUAUGGCCUAUACAAGAGAUCCAUUCGUUACCACUUUCGAACCAUUAAAUAAUUUUUUUUCUUGAAAUCAAGUGGCCACACAUGAUUUCCUAAACCUCAAUUAGGGUUUUAAAGGGUUAAAAUAUUUUUAGAACUCUCCACAAGCAAACUCCUCUUUCAACCUAGGGUUUUUCCAAAACUAGAGGAGAAACCCAAAUCUCAAGUUAAAUCCUACUAUUUAUGGUCUAGAUUUAACUAGGAUUUACCAAAAUCCUAAAUCCAAGGAUUAACUCAAAACCCUAACCUUACAUUCCAAAACUCACCUCGAGUCGGAAGCGCUCCGAGCCACCAAGCGCCUAAGAGCUCGAUUCACUGCUCCUCCGAGCUUCCCGAGUUCGAUCUCCACCAAGAUCUCCAAAUCGGAGAGGAGGAAGAAGAGAGAGAGAGAUGAGCUCCUCUCUUUCUCUCAAUACGCAUGUGUGUGUGUGUGUGUGUGUGUGUGUGUGUGUGUUCUGGAGAGAAGGGGAUGGGGACCCCUUUAUAUAAGCCCCCAAUUAAAUUACCAAAUUACCUUUCAAAAUCAGUAUUUUGCAGGGCAGAGUACCGGUACUCGGGUUGGCGUACCAGUACUCAGGCAUCCAGUACCAGUACUCGAUUUUCGGUACCUCAAAACCCGAACGUUAGAUUUCCAAUUUUUCUACUGUGUAUCGGUAUUCAAUUUCCAGUACCGGUACCCAAUACAAAUCCAGUAUCGGUACUCAGGUUUGAUUCCUCAAAACCCGAGAGUUCGAAUUCCUCAUUUUGUAUUGCGUACCGGUACUCAGAUUCCAGUAAUAGUACUCAAUACAAAUUCUACAACUUACGCAGAUUUCAGCUUUUGGAUCGUUUUCGUGCCCGAUUUGCGCCUAAAAUACUCAAAUGCUCCCCAAUCUUCACCAGAACUACUUAAUUAAUAGCUUUUUAAGCUAGUUUACACCAAAACUUCAUAAUUGUACAAGUUCGGUAUGUUACAGUGAUAUUGCACUUUCAAUGGUUUACAUUUUGAAUUUACAGCCUUUAUGCUUCAAAUUUUAAAUGCUCGUCGUUUGUGGAUCCCCAUUGUGUAUCUGUACUGCUAUACGAUGCAUUCAUUGUGUGAAACUAUGUAUACAUCAUGAUGUAACAUCAAAUGUCAUUCGCUUUAGACUUUUCAUAAGUUUCCUGGAUAAAUUAAUACUCUCUGAUUUGCUUGACUGUUGUUCUACAAUUUUUCGAUUUAUUUUAGUUGGAAAGCUAGUUCACAUUUUUAACCUGAUUAUAACCUAAUCAUACUCAGUCUGCUCUAUUCUACCUGUCAAUUACUGUAAUAGCUGGGUGUCUUCUUACCCUUAUGAGUCAUGAGGCUGAGUAGCUGAGUGUGAAUAGCAAGUCUGAGUUUUUGAGUUCUCUGCUAGUAAGUCUAUGCUUGUUUUGAGGGUUUUCAUUGUUUAUUGUGCAGGAAUGCUCUGUUCUUGUAUUCAUGCUCUACUUCUAAUAUAUGCCGAUAUCAUUUAAGUUGGAUUUAUUUGACUUGACAGCUUCAUUGUGACCUUCUCAAAUAAAGCUCCUGACCUAGAGAAAGAUAGCGACGCUGUGCAAGAGUUUCUUGCUGACAUGGAAGAUGCUUUUCGGGCCCAUAAGCUUUGGGCCGGUAGUUCAGAAGAAGAGUUGGAAAGUGCUGGUGAGGUACGAUAGAUAUUCCAUUUUGAUUACUUGAAGUAUGAUAGUAAUUGUAAAUGCUGGCAAUACAAGAGAGAAAGAAUGACAUACUAGACAGUCUAAAGCUAGAAGGCUAAGAAUUUUGGUGUCAUAUAUAUGAAAUGGGGGGACAUUUUCUAAAGUUGAUUUAUCCUAUCAAAGAAUUUUCUGUUCUUCCUACACCUUUUUUAUAAAAAAGGCCUUCGAUUGUUGGGAAGCUUGUUCUAUUGCGUCCCAAGCGUCAUGAUCAGAUUGGCAGAAACAACUUCUUUCUGGGGUUAAGUACAUAUGGUUCUUCUCAGACCCCUGGUGGGGGUACCUUAUGCACCAGCUUCCGCUCUAACAACUAACUGAAUUCUUGUUGUUGGGAAAAGCAUGAUGGUUCAUGGACAUAAGAAUUUACCAUUAUAUCUUCUUGCAAGUAACAGAAUAGGAAGAAAAAAAUUAAACCCAGUAAGUGUAGUCUUAGUAUGGCUUCUAUUCUAGAAAAAUCUUUAUAUCCUACUUAUCUUUUCUGUAGCAAAUGGUACCAAAGAAGUUCUAUCAUUUAUAUAAAUUGCAUCAGCAUAUUGGCUUCCUAUUAGUUGCUGUAGGUCUUUAAUCUUCCCAUUUUUAACAGCACAUGAUGAUCUAGCUCACUAGCUGUAAAUGUCCAUAAAUGCAUAAAGCAAGAAUGGAUUCAUUGAUUGAUUAGUUUUCUAAUAUAACAUUUGCAAUCAGAGAAGUUUUAUUCAGUUGUAUGAACUAUAUCAAUUUCUGGUUUUUCUACUUGAUUCUCUGGCUUUUUUUCUUAUUUUUUAUUAUUUUUUUUAAGAACUAUUAGUUGAUCAGCUAUAGUGCCAUACAUCCAAUGGCACUUGAAUACACAUAGCAGAAGAUCCAUUGCUGGAUUGUUGUUUAUAGUAUGAGUCAAUCACUUAUUUAUUUCUUAGCAUGGUUAUGUUAAUAAUUGAAGACAACUGUGAAAAAACAAAGGAUACUUGUCAUUAUUAGCUAGCUUGCAAUGAAACCUUAACUAGAUGUUAAAAGACAUCUUUUUUUAAAAAAAAAAAACCCUAAAGGAAGUUACUAUGAAGUUUUUGUUUUUCAUGGCCAAACAAAACCUGACAGAUGAAUAGACUGCAAGCACUCCACCAUCCACCCAUACACUGCAUUAUAUAGAAUUUGUGUUUGUCAAAGAAGAAACGCAACAAUGUUAAACAAGGCCUAAGUUAAGUGACACGGAUCAAAUCUCCCUUUACAACUGUCUUCUAUUACUCUUGUUAAAAAUUCAGCAAAUAUUUGAAUCUCAAUACUGCAUUUUAAGUUUCGCAAGGCACAAACAUAUCUGGUUGUACUAUGAAGGACGACAACCUGUCUCUGUGUAUACUAUAAUUCAGAUGCUUUAUGUAUCUAUUGAAAUGUUUAUGGGUGAUUGCCAUCUCGCACUAAGCACUUCUUACCUACAAGUAUAAAUAUGUUGUCCCUGGUAUCACUUUUACCAUUUUAAACAAGUUUAGUGUGGCUUAGAGGUUGAAAGUCAUUUUGCUUGUUGGUUAUAAAAUUACCUUGCAAGCAUGAGCUCACAUAAAUUCUGUUGGACGUUAGUUAUUGUUUUGAGCUAGUUACCUUGCAAGCAUGAGCUCACAUAAAUUCUGUUGGACGUUAGUUAUUGUUUUGAGCGAGUGGCGAUACUUUAACUAUGAUGACCUCCUCUGUCAAGCCUAUUGAAGAGUGACAAAAUCCAUUGUCAUUCGUUUGUAUUGGAGGUUAUCAUACUUCAGUCUGCUUUCAGUAGCGCCAUAGUUGUAAGUCUCUAUACUUCUAUUCUAACACUCCUCAUUCCUUUGUUUUUAUCCGUAGGGACAAUUUGUGUGGUGGCAAUUACAUGAUUUAUCGUUGAAAGUCCCAAGGUUUUAAGUGUCCGUCGGCACGGGCCGUAUCCACCUUGCCGUACCAUGCCAAUAAGAUACCGGCACGAUACAGACCCCGUGUCGAUGGCACAGCUCAAAACCCUCUAUUCUAUAAAUUAGUAAGUAAUUUUCUCAAUAAAGUUCAAAAGAUAUGAUAAAAAGACAUAAUAAAUAGUUAGAAUAUUUUGUUGCUAAAGAAAAUAAAUAUUUCAUGCUAUUAUGUGUCGGCACACAAGAAAAUUUUUUUGACCGGCAUGCAUCGGCACGACUUGGCACGCACCGUGCCAUACCGUGCCGGUAAGUUUCCGGCAUGACCCCAUGCCACGGCACUUAAAUCCUUGAUUGAAACAAAUGCGCUUUCUAUAGUGUAUUUUUAGAGUGUCAACCUAUUUGUAUACCAUAUAUUUGGAUUUCCUUGUUCUAAUAACUGUGGCAGUUGCAUCUCUGUGUUGCAUGUGAGCAUAGCAUAUGCACAGUGUUGUAUUUAUCCUGAAUCAAAGGAACUCUAAGCUUCUAACAGUAGAGCAAGUGUUUUCAUUGAAUAUUUUUUAUAACUAAUCCUAUCAAUUUUUAUAAUUAUAAAAUAGUUUUCUUAAAAAAAUAAUUAUAAAAAUGGACCUUUAAAUGCGGUGAAUCAUUCACCGCAUUCAUAACUUUUAUUUAGCAGUAGAAAAAUAAUAAAAGCGGUGAACCAUUCACCGCUUUUACCAUCGUAGAAUUAUAAUAAAAAGGAAGAAAAAGAAAGAAAGCGGUGAAUGGUUCACCGCUUUUAAAAGCGGUGAAUCAUUCACCGCUUUUAUAAGACUAUAUCUACAAAUAAAAUUUUAACAGAUUUAUUUUUAAAAUAAAAUUUUAGAAGAGGACUAUUGAACUAAAAACCCCGUUUUCAGUCCUAGCAUCUUUUUACAAAGCUCCUACCACCUAAAAAGAGGAAGAUAUUGGCAAGGAUUGUUGUUCUUGUAAAAUUUAUCAACUCAAGAUAUGCUAAUCUUUACACGUUAUUUCUAUCAUUACCUCCAUGAUGAGUAUCCCUGCUUUUAUGCUGUCUUGCUCUGUGUUCAUCUCUGUAUGCUUCCCUGUUGUAAUGUGAAGACUGUUUCUGCUUACAGGGUCUUGAGAAAUAUGUCAUGACGAAACUAUUUAAUCGGGUCUUUGCGUCAGUUCCAGAAGAUGUGAACAGCGAUGAACAACUUUUUGAGAAAAUGGCUUUACUCCAACAAUUUGUGCGACCAGAAAAUUUGGAGAUCAAACCAGCGUUUCAUAAUGAAACAUCUUGGUUGGUGAGUACAAUAGGAGACUUGCUAAUAUUUGACAUGUCAAUGAUAACAUUAGAGUUAUAUGAUCAUAUGAUCCGAUGGUCCUCUUUUCUUUAGAUAAGACAAUGAAGUAUUUGACCUUUUGACAUGAAUUACCUGAAGUACCCACUGUUCUAUUACCAAAUUUUAAGUUUAAAAGAAUGAAUUAAUUUUUUUUCCCUCCAGUACAGCAUAGUAGCUUUUCUUCCUCAAUCUCUCAUUGGAGUAACUCGCGGAGAAGUUCAUUAAUAUGGUCUGCAAAAGGGAUUUAUCUUUUUAUUAAAUAUAUAUUAAAUAUAUAUGCACUUCUUCCUUUGUUAGCUAGUGUCUAUCUAGAGGUAAGUCAAAUGGAAAUAACUCUGGCAAUCAUGACUUUUUGAGGUAUUGUUGGUCUUGUGCACUUCUCACAUGACAAUCAAAUUAUUACCCUAGUUUUUGAAAGCAUAACUAGCCUUUGCUUUGGACAGUUUGUGUGUCAUGCCCCCACCCACAACCGAAGCCUACCUCAAGCACGUGCACAGACUCGCCGUGUGUACAAGAUUGCCGCCCGCACACACGUAGGUCAACAACCAACCAAAUUUUGUCACUAUUAUACAUCACAAUAUAGUAGAUGAAAUACAAGUUGAUGGGUGCCAACAACAUAAACAACUAACAACUAAACUUAAACAUCAUACAUUUAACAUCUAUACAUCAACCUCAAAAUGGAUACAUCUCUAGUACAUGUUCAUCUUUCAAGUUAAAUAUAUAAACUUGGCUAAGAUUAAAUAAAUCAUCAUCUGACAACAUAAAUCUCCAAAACAUAUGAAGAGGGACAACCUCUACUUGUUCCAACAUAGGUAGGACGACACUAGCUAUCAGAUGACUCCCUUUCCAUGGUCCUGGGCUUCCCUACCUGACAAAGGCUCUAAAAUAGAAAAACAAGAAAGACAGGUAGUGAAAACUAUGAAAUAUAGUUUCCAAUAGGUAUCGCCGCUGAGAGGGGCAGACUAUACUACUAGGUUAGUUGAGGCAUGAGUAGUAAUAGUAGUGAUUGGAAUAGUGGCAACUAUGCUAAAGGAAGCAUGAUAAAAGUAAUACUACUAUUGUAAGGAAGUGAAUUCUCGAAAUCCGAAGAUGGUACUUCAUCCAGGAUCGACUAACUGUCGAGAAAAUACCCUUUGUGGGAGUUGAAAAUGUCCAAAACACAAAAAGUGCUUUGGAGUUGAGUCCGCGAGAGCAAAUAGGCAGAUUUUUGCUCUCGGGGACCGGUCCCUGGAAGGGAGGACCGGUCCCCGUAGUUGAUGGUCGCGGGGGAGGUCGAUGCGACCGGUCCCUGGCUGAGGGGACCGGUCCCCGUGUGCGACACCCGCGAGAGGAAGCCAAAAUUUGGCUAAGUCCUGAAAGUUCCCCGUUCGGGAACCAGUCUCUCAGGAAAGACCUGUCUCCCACGGACCGGUCCUUCGGGUGAGGACCAGUUCCCGUGUGCGAAAAGUCCCCAGCCUGCAGGGAGGGCUCUCGGGGACUGGUCUCCCCGACCAGGGACCGGUCCCUCUGGGCGAAAACAGCCCAAUGACAGCUGUGUGAGAGAUAAAAAGUUGAGGGGUCUAAAUGCAAAAUGGCCUUUAUUAGAGAGGGCUGAGCCCCCUCUCUCCCUCACACUCUCAUAUCCCCUCUCCAUCUCUCUCUCAUUUCUCUCUUGCUCUCUCUCUCUCUAGAAAAGAAAGGAGAAGAAGAAGAACAAGAAGGAGAGGAAGGAAAAGAAGGAGAAGAACAAGGAGGAGAAAAAGGAGAUCAAGAGGAAGGCCUUGGACACCUUCAUCUCCCUCUACUCUUCUCUUUGGUGUAGCACAAGAGGUAAGCUCUUGAACCCUAGCUUCUAGAAUUUGGGGUUUUGGGUUUUUAUGCUUUGGAAUGGGUCAAAUGGACCCUAAGCAUGCUUCUAAAUAGAUCAAUCCUAAGAAUCUAGGGAUUUAUUGGAUGGUUUGCUAUGGGUGCAAACCUAGGGCUCCAAAAUGGGGUUUUUGUGAAAGUAUGAGAUUGAUCUCAUUUGAAGCCUUGGAAACUCUAUUGUUAGGUCACAAAACGUGGGGGCGAAGUCGAUUUUGGCAUUCGGCGAGCCGGCGUGAAGUUCUCGGCAAAAUAGGGCCGGGUUAGCAUUGAUUUGGGCAAGGAAGGCUAAUGCCUUUUCGUAAAGUUUGCCGAGAAGGAUCUCCAAAGCCUCUACAUCGAUUAAAGGUGGGGGGUGCCAUCCCGAAGCUUUCGAACUCCUUUCUAUGUCUUAGAUUGCAUUUAAUCUCAUCUCUUACAUGUUGCAUUGUAGGAUUGCAUAGUAGCUCCCUUCCUUAUGCUUUCUAAAUGAUAACCUAGUGUACUUGGAACGCUUGGUGACUUAGAUAGGUGAAGAUUGGGUCGGAACAUGGAUCCUAUGAUGCGAGAGAAAAGAGAUGAACCCGAUGGGGGUGUUGAUGACAUAGAAAGUAGUGUUAAUGUCAAAGAACAAAUGAGUGGCAUCCAAAUGUUAAAUGAUGACAAGUGGCAUUAAUGUAGUGUAAAUAACACUAGAGGUUUGAGAACCUAGGAAUAGGUGGAUCCCUUAGAAAAUGCCUUGUGGACAAGAACUUAGUAAACCUAAGUAACCUCACAUGGAGAGGUCGUCGGUGAGUCGAUUGAGACAUUGACCCUAGUUGAGACGUCGUAAAAUCCUGAAAACGGAUUUGAAGCACCGUAACAGCAAAACGAAGACCCUUUUUCCAUGGGGCUGCGAAGCGAUGCGCGGUUGGUGCGCAACUACAAGUUCCGACGGAACCAGGCGCUUGAUGCCGCGGGAGGCCGAUUGCAAGUGUCGACAAGCAAUCGGAACGCGUGUUAAGGUGGGUUGUGCUUACCGAAGCAUAGGUCGCCUUUAUUGUCUAGCAGUUAAGAAGUUUUGUGUUGAUGCAUAUAGUGUUGAUAAGGCGUGAUAAUGGAUUGUAAUGCAGUGAUAAUUAUGCAUUGUUAAUGUAAAUGCUAAUAGAAAUCCAUAGUGAGCAAUUUACAUUAAUACUAGUAAGCAUAUAAUAAAUGUAAGCAUGAUAAUAAUGAUAUGUAAAUGCUAAAGUAGAUGCCAUAUAAAAGGUUAUUAUGCAUGUAAACUCGAAGAAAGCAUGUAAGCAUAAUGCAGUCACGAAUGAAAUGAAUGUUGAUAGACAUAAGUAAAAAGCUAAUAGAUGAAAUAAAUGAUUGUGAGAUUUAUUGCGAUGAAUAGCUUGUGAGAUUAUAUAUGCAUGUGAACUUGUGAUACUCAAAUUGCCGUCAGAGAACAUGACAUUGGAAUAGAAACGUGAAAACCAUAGAAUACCGAUGGAAAUAGGUCUGUCAAAUAGAUCGAGUGGCAUCUAACCUAGUGUUGAGUAAACAUAGGUUAAACAGGAAUCAUAUCGCAACUAGUGUUAAUAAACAUAGGUGGACAUAGUGAUGUUGAACCUAUUGUUAGUGAACAUAGGUUGAACUAGUAAACCUAGAGUUUUAUAACCUAGUUGUGGUAUAGUAAACUAGAGUGGCAAUUUGAAUCUAGGUUUUUGAGUAUAGUGGUAGCAACCACUAGGAUUUCUAGUCGACAACAUAGGGUUGGUAUGCAUCGACCUGUGGAAGUGGAUUCGCAGAAUCCCAGAACUUGUGCUAUGCUAACCUUGGUAUCAAGGCUAGGGCGUGUGCGGACGAUUUCGCCACCGAGGUUGAUACCAAGGAUGGAUUGGGUGAGGUGCAGAGAUCACGCCGGGGCUUGACCAUUGUCGUGGCGUGUGCGACGAUUUCGCCGCCGAUGGUUAAGCCAUUUGUGGAUUAUGCCGCCAGAUCGACUUGGCUAUUGUGUGGGUGAGGUGCGAUUCGUUCGCCGCCAGAUGGCCAAGUCAAGGGACUUGAACUAGUGUUCGGGUGUGCGACGAUUUCGCCGCCAGCUGUUAAGUCACCGAGGGCGGCCAGUGGCGGGACUAUCGCGGAUGUUGACUCGAGGCCGAGCGGGUGGUUAGCUUGAUUAGUAAUAGAAACCUAAAGGUAAAGGCUGAGGUAAUAGAAACCUUAGAGUAAUGUGAAUUUGAGUUGUGAACUGAGGUAAUAGAAACCUUAGAUAAAGAAAUAUGAGCUAAGUACCUAAGUAAAAGGUAGAAUCAAAUGAUCUUAGAUGGUCAUAGAGUUGCAUGACUUGCAUAUUGCAUAUGUUAGGCCUAACAUGUAUUUCAAUUGAAUAUUUUGCAUUGUAUAUUGUUGAAAUAACAUGUUGCAUGGGCUACUUAAACCUUUUGGUCGAGCUUUUCCUUGGGUGGCCGUACCCACUGGAACAUGGAGUUGGUUCUCACCCACGUUGUUUUGGGGUGUUUACAGGUUGUACGAGUGCGGGCCGGGCGGCGCGAGCGAGGCAGUAGUCGUAGAUAGGCCUACCCAGAGACCAGAGCUAGCAGUACCCCGUCGACAUAGCUUAGGGGUUAAGGAAUGAAAGGAACAUAAUGUAUCAAAUUUGUAAUGAGUAAUUUGUAAUAACUAGAUUGCAUUUGGAUGAAAAGGAAUGUAAAAAGAAUUGUAAUGUAAAAAUAUGUGAAUGUGAAUGUAUGUAAUAAUAUAGGAUGUGUUAUGUUGUUGAUACCUUCCUUAUGCAAUCUGUUUGUUGAAUACUGUUCCUGGUUGGAACCUUCGUAUUGUAUUGAUUGCGUUGCCUUGAAUGUACAGGGGAGACUCUGUCCGCAGUACAGGGGAAACCCUGUCCAUUCGGCGCUGUCGGCGGCGCCGCGAACCUGACCAAAGAGGCGGGGGUCGCGGGUCGUGACAACUUCGGUCAAUUUGACUGAAGUUCAGUAUAACGCACUGGGAAUUCAGUACACUAUAUUAACGGAGGGAGUCUGUCACACCCCAAUAAUCUCACAUCGGAUAGGAAUGAGGAUGUGAUUAGGUAUAUAUGAGACUUAGACACUAAUAAUAAUAACUAGGCUUAAACAUUUUGGGCUGGUGUUUGGGCCUAACGAGUUAUUGUUGCUAGUGGGCUGGGUCAUUACAUCUCUUCGAUCUUUGAACCAAGGGUUUGGGCUUAGUCUCCAACCCUAAGGAGAAUUUUCCAAGUCAUCAAAAUCUUCAAAAAUCCUUAUAUUAAAGUUCUCUAAAAAUCAUAUGAAAAUAGGGAGAAAUUACCUAAAUUGGUAAUUUCUUCUUGUAACCUCAAUUAGAGUUGUUGGGGCUUCUAAUCCAACCUACAUGAAGGUUUCUAACCUAUUAAUUUCAGCUAAAAGCCCUCAAAUUGGAGAACCCCAAUUUAAACCCUAAUUUGUCAUGUACUAUCAAAUCCCUAAAAUACCCAAAAAUCUUCAAAUUAGCGGCUCAAAUCAAGUGAACUAACCUCUAAAACAAGAUUAAUCCACAUUCAAGAUGAAGAGGUUGUUGAUUGGAAGCUCCAAAGCCAUACCUCUUCAUAAUUCCUAGCUCCAACUCCAAGCUUGUGGGAGGUUGAAGCACCUUGAGGAAGGAAAUAGAGAAGAAGAAAACUAGAUGAAGAGGUUGAUGAAUGGAAGCUCCAAGCCAUACCUCUUCUCAAUUCCUAGCUCCAACUCCAAGCUUGUGGGAGGCUCAAGCUCCUUGAGGAAGGAAAUAGAGAAGGAGAAAAAAGAUUAAUGGAGAAAGAGUGAAGAAGAGAGGUAGAAGAUUGAAAAAGAUGGAGAAGAGGAAGAAAAACUUAGCCAAUUCUCUUGACAAGAAGAGAAAUGAGGGCGAAAGAGAGUUUGGAGGGUAUUUAUAGAUGUAACAAUAUCCAACUAGGUCCCCCGAACUUGAGAAAUUGCCAUGAGCAACUUCAGCCUUUAUGCUAGGUUUCGGGUUGCCGAAAAUCCCAGGUGACCCCUCCUAGGCUUUUUGGGUUGAGCGUCCGAAUGUUGAUCUGCGCAUUCGCCGAACUGUUCGGACAUCCGCAGGGCAAUUUGGGUACCUGAAUAAUUAACCAUCUGAGUUAUCUUCCUGUUGGGUAGAGCGUCCGCUAGGAAGCUGGCGCUGACCGGACGAUCUGCAUGUUUCGGGCACCCGAAUCAUUUUUCUAUGCGUUCGGAAGUUCGGGGAAAAAACUAAUUUUCACUUCUCCCAAAACUCCGAUUCGAUUCGAAUCAACUCCAAAUCAAUUCUAACUCAGCCUAAACUUCCCCAAAUCCAUUCUUGUCAUGUCUAGCACGACUUUUAUCCUUAUUUUGCCAAUUUGCCAACGUUUGAUACAUUACAGUGAAUUUCAGUACACUAAAUUGUGACUUGUUUAGUUUUGAUCUUAAAUUACUAAAUUGGAAAAGUCAUCAGCUUUUUAUCUCUCAAUUAUUAUCAUAACAUAAAAGGCUAUCUUUUGUAAAUUUUCUUGUGCAUUAGACUCUCUAUUGUCUUCUCAACUGUUACAAGUGAAAAAUGCUUUGCUAGAUCUUGGUAGAAAUGUACAGAAUUUUUUUGAACUAUGGACCAUUUUGAAUUGGCUACCCAAUCCUUCAAAAUUUUGAUUUUACUACCCAACCUUUUAAUUUUUUUGAUUUACAUCAGUCAAUGAUAGUUUAACUUCAAAAUCUGAAAGUGUCGAUUAUCUUUACUGGUUUAUUUAGUAUACUUAAUGCAAUUCUCACAGCUAUAAAUUUAUUAAAAUAAGUAACUAGAUUAAUUGAAGCUAAACUAUCGUUGAUUGAGGUAAAUCAAACAAAUUAAAAGGUUGGGUAGUAAAAUUAAAAUUUUGAAAUGUUGGGUAGCCAAUUCGAAAUUGUCACGCCCUGCAACCAACCGCCAAUUUGGACCAGGUCGCGGCGCUGGCGACAGACCGCCGAACGGACCGGGGUUUCCCCUGUACGCGGACAGAGUCUCCCCUGUACGUUCUAGGCGUCGCAAUCCAAACAAUCAACGAAUGUCCCAACAAGGAACGGAUACCAAUCCAGAUUGCAAAGGAAGUAUCAAAUACAUAAAAACUAACUGCUAUUACAAGCAUUCAUUUUCAUUCACUUAGUACAUUUCAAUUCAGUUUAUAUUUUACUUUCACUUACAAUCAUUUGCUUCACAAGUUUAAUACAUCUUGCCUUCUAGUCCCCUAAGCUGGACUGCCUCAGGGUACUGCUACCUCGGUCUCUGUGGUAGGGCGCUAUCUACUGAGCUACGCCCUCGCCUUGCGCCACCGCGCUGCACACGUACAACCUGAAAACCCUGAAACAACGUGGGGUGAGAACCAACUCCAUGGUUCCCAGUGGGUACGGCCACCCAAGGGAAAAGCUCGACCGAUAGGUCCGAGGAGGCACUGCAACAUGUUAGUUCAACAAUAUACAAGAGAUAUAUAUUCAAUUGAAAUACAUGCCAUGCCUCACGAUAUGCGAUAUGGAAAUCAUGCAACUCUAUGCAAUAAUUAGUAGAUCAUCUGAUCCUACUCAUUACUUAGCUACUCUUAGCUAUAUCUUUACUCUAAGGUUUCUAUUACCUCAUGAUCUCAACUCAGUCCACUAGCCUCUAAGGUCUCUGUAAGAUAUCGAAAUUCGACGAUAUUGGCUAACUUUGGCCAAAUGGACCAAAGUGAGCGAUUAAACGAAUUGGACGAGUUCCAUUCGGUGUUUCAAUAUGUUUGGAAGAGCAAAAAUGAGUUCCAAAAGUGUUGGAAUAGUUUUAGCGUUAUUGGACGCGAAAAGAAAUCAAAACAGAUUGAAAAUCAGCAAUCUGGAGCUGUUGUACCGGUACAAGGGUGAUGGCUGUACCGGUACAACCAUCGCAGCCAGGCUGCGUAAUCUCGGGUUCGAAGGCUUCAGGCGCUGUACCGGUACAAGGCUGGCUUGUACCGGUACAAGCUCUGCGAAACAGGCAAACCCGAGGCUCGGUUUGCGCUCGGUUUAAGGGCCUGUACCGGUACAAGGUCCCGUGUACCGGUACAAGGGCGCGGCAGCAGUGGGUUAAGUUGCAAAAUCUGUUAAAAGGAGGGCUUUUUAGCAUUUUGUUACAAUAGAGGUUAUAUCCCUCUUACUCUCAGCCCUCUUCCCUCUCACUCUCACAGCCCCUCUCUCUCUCUAGCUCUCUCUCUCUCUAACCGGUUGAAGGAGAAGAAGGAGAAAAGGAAAAAGAGAGGAAAAAGAAGGAAAAAGAGAGGAAGAAAAGGAAGGAGAAGAAGGAGAAGAAGGUUUUGGAGCUCUUCUUCACCUCAUUCUUGGCUUAGGGCUUGCUUUGGAGCAAACCCUAGAGGUAAGCCUUAACCCUAGUUUUGGAUUUCUAGGGUUUGGAUGGCUUUUGUUGCUUUUAAUGGUUCAAAUGGAACCUAAUGAGUUUAGAGAUGAUGGAUCUAGCUCACAUUGAGGCUAGCAUCCAUGGUUUUCCUCAUAGAUGCUAAACCUAGGUUUUAGAAAGGGUUAUGUUGCUUAAGAAUGGUUUAAAUGGAAACCAUUGAAGCUUAAGAGAAGGUUCAAUCCCAAAUUUGGAGCUUGAAACCAUGAUUUCUCUAUUGUUGCUAAACCUAGGGUUAGAUUUGGGGUUUUUGGAAAUAUAAGGGUUUGAUCUCUUUUGAGGGGUUAGAAACCUAAUUGCUAUGCUUAUAAACGCGUAGGCGAAGACGGUUCGUCGAUCCGACAAGUGGGUGCGAAGAUAUCGCCAUUUGUUGUGCUAAGGGGUUAGAGCUAACCCAACAAAAAUUAAGCGGCGACAAGACUAGCACGAGAACGCGUCUCGGAGUGUUUUCGGCAUCACCCAAGGUGGGGGAGUGCCAUACCGAAGUCAUCGGGCAACCUUCUAUGUCCAAGUUUAAUGUUGAUCUAAUUGCAUCUUGUUAUAUCCAUAUAGGGUUAGGAAAUGAUUAUUGUUGCUUAUACUUGCAUGCUAGUAAUUCAAUAAAUAUGUUUUGCUUGGUUGGUUAUGAUCUAGUAUGCAUGAUGAUUGUUGAUGAAAACUACAUGUUGAGAAUCUAGACCCUAUAUGAGAUGAUUAAUGUUUAUGUUGCUAAAGAACUAGUAUGAUGAAACUAGUGUUAAUAAUGAGUCAAAAUUGAUGAGUGGCAUCUAGUUUAGAAAACUAUGACAAGUGGCAUCUAGUUAGAAAAACUAUGAUGAUUGACAUUGAUGAUGUUUCCUUGAGAUGAUCACAUUAGUGUAGUUGAGACACUAUGAGAUUGGGUACAAGUAUACCUUGAUUCCAUGAUGAUAUUACCCUCAAAGGGGUUGUUGCUGUUGCUCGUGAGAUGAUCUUGCUCACAUUGCCUGUCUGCGCUUGGUGGGGUCGCUCCCCUCAAGUUGUGCGCUCCGGAGUUUGGUCACUAGAGAGGCAGCCCUGCUCGCUGCUCGGAUAGCCGCUUGUUAUCCGCAGGCGUACUCGGGGAUCGUCCAGCUUGGCAUCCCUAGGAGAUUGAUAUGUGAGCAUUGCUUGUGAACCUUGCGUUCACUUGAGGAUUGGGUUACCCAUUGAGUCUUACCCAUGAUUGAUGUUCAUAGUAGCUAUUCAUUGUUCAUAUCAGCUUACUUGCUUACCUAGUAGCAUGUUUUAUAGUUACUAUGAUAGCUGUUGUAGAUGUUGAUAGUUGCUUACUUACCCAGCUUUGUUUAUUGUUCAUGCAUUCAUGAUUCCAGAUUGAGGCAUAGCUUGAUAUAGUUGUUUACAUACCCGCUUUCCGUUCAGCUUAGUUUUAUAUAUAUAUUGCAUAUAUAUCUCUCUAUGCCUACUUGAGACCUAGUGGGUAGAUCGGCGGAGUCGGCGGCCGAACCCACUGGGAACUAUUCGUAGUUCUCACCCCCGUGUGGCUUUGGGGGUACAGGUACACAGGACAGCGGGCCUUCGUCGAUGGAUCGCGGCAAGGGCAUAGCGCCCUAGCAGUUGGUUGAUAGCUUUACCUUCCCUACUUGCAUUAGCUCUACCCUGUACUUUUGGUUAUACAUUUUGAGAGUAGAUGUUGUAUAGGGUGAGGUUUUGGAGAGCUUAUGAUGUAUAUUCAUUUUGGAUAAAGAACGCAAGUUGUAUCAAAGUUUAAAGUUAAAUGAAAUCGAAAGAGGUUAAAUGUUUCAAUGAUGUCUCAAAUAGCUAAGUUGCUCUCUUUUGUAUACUUGUAUGGUUUUACUUGUAUCGCUUGCUCUAGUUGGUUGUAGCACUGUUUGUGCUCUCGUUUAUCGUUGUUUGAUUGUGUAUGUAUUCAAGUUGUAUUCCUGGGGACUUGUUGUACACAAUCUGUUGCUUAGCCUUGGGCGGACAGGGGAAACUCCGUCCGUUCGGCGGUCGCGCCACCGCCCUCGAACCGGACCAAAUUGGCACCGUUUUCGGGCCGCGCGGUUGGGGCGUGACAGUCUCUAUUACCUUAGCUCAAGCCUCUAUCUCUAGCUCAUGAGGGUUCCUCUACCCUAUCACAGCUAACCACACGACUCGGCUCCGAGUCAAUUAUCCGCGGAUAGCCCGCGCGCUGGCUGCUCAUCAGCCUACCGCCCUAUCUGUCUCAGCCCCCUAGCGGCGAAGUCGUCGCACACGCUAAGCUCGGCUCCAGUCGCACGACUUGACCAACCGGUGGCGAUUGCGUUGCACUUACCCAGCGUGAGCUCGAGUCCUGACACAUCGUCUGGCGGCGAACGGAUCGCGCCACACCCAACAACGGUACAUGUCAGACUUAGCCACCUGGAGGCACCCGCAUCGUACUUACCCAGCAUGGAUUCAGUCUCCUCUGGCGGUCUGAUCCUCAAAUGGCCUAACCAUCCUGGCGGCGAAAUCGUCGCACAAACGCCAUGGCAAUGGUUCAAGCCCCGGGCGGUGAUCUCCAUGUGAUCGGCCCCAAUCCUCCCUCGGUACCAAGCUCGGCGGCGAAGUCGUCGCACACACGCCCUAGCUUCUACCAGGGUCAUCACAAGUCAUGGGAUUCCAGAAUCCACUUUCACAGGUCGAGAGUCCAUAGCCAACCCUAUAUUUUCGACCUAGCUCAACCUAGUGGCUGUACCACUAUACUCGUCAACCUAGGUUCCAAUACUCUAGGUUCUAUGUCCAUGUCACUUAACCUAGAUACACUUGCUAGGUUCUUGUCAUCUUUCCCUAGAUGUCUCCUUCUAGGUUUACUAGUUCGGCCUAGGUUUACUAACACUAGGUUCGAUGCCACACCUAGAUUGUUCGACUCUAGGUUCACUUGUUUAACCUAUGUUCUUUAACACUAGGUUAGAUGCCACUCGAUCUAUCUGACAACCUAGUUGCCCAAUCAACUCUACUCACACUAGAGUUAUUUUCUAGUUCACAUGCAUAUUCUCCUAGCAUAUUACUUAAUGCCGAUUAUGCAUUCUUUACUUUAGCUAACAUUAUUCGCAUGUCACGUCAGCGUUUUAACGUCUCAUUCAUCAUGCUUCUUGUCCUUGUCUACAUGCGCAUGCAUCAAUAUGGAGAUACAUUGCUAAGACAUAAAGGGCGACCUAGUCGCUUCGGUAAGCAUAACCCACCUUUAGUUAGCCUUCUGAUUGCUCGUCGACACUUGCAAUCGGCCUCCCGCGGCACUCGGCACCCAUUUGGGGCCCGAUCUCAUAGUUGCUCUCCAAGAGCGCGCCGUAUCGCCGUCUCAAGUGCUAGCGAUCUUCGCCCUGCCUCUACGGUGCUCGGGACCCAAUCUCACAAUUUAUGGACGUCGCCUCGGCCCUCCAGGCGGAAACGAAGCUCCGAGCGCCCGUUUCUUCAGUAUCCUCGCAACGGCUUGUCGGAUUGCCGAACCGACUUCGCCAACGUGUUUCGUUACCUACCAAUUAGGUUUACAAAGGGUCAAAUGAGAUCAAACUCACCUAUUUACAAAAACCCCAUUUUGGAUGCCCUAGAUGCCAUUAAUACCAAACCCACCAAAUCGAUCUAUGAUUUGGGCCUAGUCCAUCAAAAUUGCAUGCUAGGGUUCCAAAUAAACCAUUUCUAGAGAUCAAAAUCCUAUCUUUAAGGAUUUACCAAGAGAAGCCAUGAAACUUACCUCUCAAAGAGCUCCAUGGAGAGAAGAAGAAGACGAAGAUGAAGAUGAGGAAGAGGAUCUCCUCCUUAGUCCUCUUCUUCUUUUCCUUUCCUUUCUCUUUUUCUUCUUCUCUUUUCUCUUUUCUUUCUUUUCUUUUUUUCCCCUUCGCACGAUUAGAGGGAGAGAGAGAGAGAGAGUGGCUGAGGGAGUGAGAGAGAGAGAGAGGAAAGAUCUCUCUCUAAUACUCUCUCUCAUUUUGUAACAAUAUCCCCAAAGGCCCCUCCACUUUUCACCUCUUACACAACCCCCUACUGGGCAUUCUGCGCGCGGAGGGACCGGUCUCCCCGACCUGGGAUCGGUCCCCGGGGCCUCCCCCCCGCGGACACGCGUUCGGGAACCGGUCCCUCCCUGAGAGACCGGUCCUCGGGAGACCGGUUCCUCUCAGAGAGACCGGUUCCGGAGAGCUAAACUUUCGGGACUUAGCUGAUUUUCGGCCAUUCUCGCGGGUGUCGCAGGCUGGGACCGGUCCCUCCUCUGCCAGGGACCGGUUGCAUCAGCAACUCCACAGCCUUCAGCUGAUGGGACCGGUCUCUCACCUCCAGAGACCGGUCCCCGAGAGCAACCUCAGCCCAAAAAUGCAGAUUGUAUUAUUUGCUCUCGCGGACUCUAUUCUAAUGCACUUCUUUGGUUUCGUGCACCCCAAGCUUUUCCAAAGCUUAUCAACUCGAGCCUUGGUCGAUUCUGGACGAAGCACGACUCUCGGAUUUGGAGAAUUCCUGGGUAUGACAGAAAUGGUCUUAGUUCACAUUUUUACCCUCGAUAUAGCUUAAUUAGAGUAGUUCUUCACAGAACUUUUUGUUAAUUAAGAUUCUACUUGCUUCUUGUGCAGACAUGGGAGAGUAAACUUUUAUAUGAUUGUAUUCUUGCCUGUUAUAGGAGAUUUGUCAUUAAUAUGCCUUAUGCAGUAAAUUUUUUCAAGUCAGAGAACAAUAUAAUAAAUUGUUGCGGUUGUGUUGCCCAUAACUUCAUGCUCACACUCGAAAGUUCGCAACAACAGGUCGCUGCUGUAGUUAUGCUAUUUUAUUUUGUUCAUUUAUAAUCUUCUAAUGUUUUUGUCAUAUUUGAUGGUCACUACUGGUACUACCGUUUUUAUUUGUCUCCACUGAUUAAUGCUUUGACUACCAGUAAAUGAAUAAAUAAACACCCCGUGAAAGCAGACUUCCUUGCGGAGCUCUGCACCUGCCCAUAAACACAUUUAAAAAUUGUAGUUUCUCUCCUCUAAAUAUUUAAAACAUGAAUGCACCAGUGAAUACUGAUGUGAAAGUCUAAAACUGACGCAUGAAUGCAUGCAUGUGGGCACACAUGCGUGCAUGCAUGCAUCCAUGUGUGCUAUAUUCAUGUAUUUAUGUGAAAUGAAAUGUAUAUGUGUGCAGUGCGGUUCAAUGUACUAAUACGUCUAUUUUUACUUGUCGUAUAGCUUGCACAGAAGGAACUGCAGAAGAUUAAUAUGUACAAGGCUCCUAGAGAUAAGCUUGUUUGUAUCCUCAAUUGUUGCAAAGUUAUUAAUAACUUACUGUUAAAUGUUUUUAUUGCAUCGGAUGAGAACCCUCCCGGAGCUGAUGAAUUUCUUCCAGUCCUCAUUUAUGUGAUUAUUAAGGUAAUUUCAGUUUCAAGCAUAGACAUGGUUGUAGAGUCAAUGUAGUAAGUCACCUGGUAAGGCAUAAUUCAGCAAUGCACUGCUUGAAUGCACCCUCUUUGGUGCUUUAGAUGGUCUGAAAAUGCUAGACACUUCCUCCAAUCUAUAAAAUGGCGAUGGGAACUCUACACUGAAGAAGCAUUUGACCAGAUGCUGCUUUGCUGGUGGUUCCCACAACCAUUUCAAAGCAUUGAAGGUAGGGGCUUCCGAAGUGCAUUCGGAUUUUUCGGGCUCUCUAAAGAAUCAUAUUGGUGUGUUUUGGCAACACCAACUGAGGCCUAAGUUCACUUGUUUCUACACUGCAAGAUCAGGCCAGUGUUAAAUUUACAGACUAUAUCUUCCACAAUUAUAAGUGUAUGCUAACUCAGCAUCAAUUUCAUUACAUCAUUGCGCUAUUAGAACUAAAAUUUGUUUACUUUUUUGCGACAUUUGUCACUUUGCUGGAAAAGGUCACUUUUUCAUGUUUAUAGAAAAGCUUAUGACUCCUGAUUUUAGAGCAACUGUUCUUCAGCAUUCUGUUAGUUUUCUAAUUUGUUAUUAAUGUGCGUUGCUUAUAACUUGUUGCUCAUUGUGUGAUCAAGGUUUAGAUUUUCGCUGUAGGUCAGUUUUUCAGAGUAGCUUUGAUUGCUCAUCUUGGAGAUGCUGCCAAAGUUGAUAGUGAGAAGCCAAGUUAUUUUGACUGGCUGUGAUCAAGGAUUAGCAUGCUGUUUGGCACAGUUGGCAUGUUCUGGAUUUGCCGUUGUGGCCGUUUUGUGUGUCAAUGCAUCCCAGCAUGCAAUCCUUGAGUCUUGGCCUUGUCCUAGAGGCAUGGUCUGUGCAAAUAGUGUGAAUAUAGUAAUGGGAAAUCCUUUUUUUCCAUGAUAAAAUAGAGGUAUUAGUGGCAUGUCCUAGAGAUAUUGUCACAGCCCGCGACCACUCGCCUAUUUGGCCGAGGUCGCGGCGCCGACAGCGCCGAACGGACAAGGUUUCUCUUGUACUGCGGACAGAGUCUCCCCUGUACGUUCAAGGCAUCGCAAUCAAUACAAUACGAAUGUUCCAACCAGGAACUGAUAUCAAUGAAGAUUGCAUAAUGGAAGGUAUCAAACAACAUAAACACAUCCUAUGUUAUUACACGCAUUCGCANUUUCUCCCAGAAAAUUCUAAAUCUUCUGUUUUCGCUCCGAUUUCAGCACAGGUCAUUCCCAACCUAUAUUUCGCUUCUCUAAAUCCGAUAAAAUAGUAUCUCAUACUAUUUUUAUUUAUUUUCACUUUUCUAUUUAAAAUCCGGUAUGUUACAUUCCACCGCAACCUUACCGGAACCAUCUAAAUGUACACCGUGACUUCAUGAUUUUAGAAGUUCGGUAUGUUACAGAUAUCGAAUUACUUCUGCAAUUUUUGAUACAGUAGAAGUAUUAUUUUUAAUAGUGUACUUGUGAAACAUUUGAAUAGUGGAAGGAUUUUCUUUUUUCCUCUUUUGAUGGGGAUGACCAAUAAGUUUGUAACCCCAUUAGUCUUCUUCCAUAAAAUUGCAUAGUAAAGUUGGCUAUAUGGAACAAAUACAAAGAUAAAUUGUUCAACAUUUGCAUUCAUGUGCUUGAGCUUGAAGCUUAAUAUUGAGUGGACUAAACCAAUUAGGAAAACAAGUAGUUUACGAGUAAGGCUAAUUGAGGAAGCCAUCAACUCAACUAUUUGAAAGAGACGAUGAUCAAAAGAGGGUUACCUCAAUUGGGUGCCUUACCACUCUAUUGAUUUAUUUUACACAUCAUAAUGCCUCUUUUUCAUGUAGAAACAUUUUUCUCUAUAUUUUUCUCAAUUGGUUGCUACAAACUUGGUUGCUAGAAACUUGAUUGCUACAAACUUGGUUGCUAGAAACUUGAUUGCUACAAACUUGGGUGCCUUACCACUCUAUAUUCUUAUUACUUGAUUGCUACAAACUUGCUACAAACUUGGUGGUGAAAACUUGUUGGGCAUUUAUUACUUGAUUGCUACAAAUUAUCAGCAUGUAUCUUUUUGUUAUAAUUCUUACUAAGACCUGGAGAUUUAUCUUUGUUUUUCAAGCAUCAUUUGAUGAUGAAGUUAAGAUUUGUAUAUUGGUAAUAUGUUGGACCACAUUUGAUAUCCUCUUUCUUAUGCAGGCAAACCCUCCACAGUUGCAUUCAAAUCUGUUAUACAUACAACGAUAUAGACGUAAAUCACGAUUAGUCUCUGAAGCUGCAUAUUUUUUCACUAAUAUCCUCUCCGCAGAAACUUUUAUUUGGAACAUUGAUGCACAAGCACUUUCAAUGGAUGAAAUUGAGUUCCAAAAGAAAAUGAAUUGUGCUAGAGAACAUUUGCUUGGUUUAUCAACUAACUCAGAAAAUCCCGUAAGUCAAACCAAACUUGAUGGCACGCAGAAAACAGAAGAAAUUUUGAAAACUAACAGGCUUUCGGACUGCUAUCUACCUGCAAUCAGGCAACAAAACAAUUCAAACCAAGCAAAUGAGGUAAGCAUGAAUUUAGGUGGCCAGAAUAUACUAAUUCCAAGGAAGCAAUCCGUUUCAGAUUUAGAGAAUAAAGGAAGCAGCGAUCUACUGAAGGAUGAUCACUUGAUCAGAUAUUUUCAGCAGUACCCUUUCCUAUAUGCUCGUGCUGGAGAUCUAUCAGUUGAGGAUGUAGAAAACCUCCUGAAUUGCUACAAAAAACUUGUUCUAAAGUAUAUAUCUCUUUCCAAAGGAAUGGGUGUUAUCAAUGAAUCUCUUCCUGGUCAAAACAUGCAAAUGCUGUCAAAAACUGAGACUCUGAAAGAAUUCGAUGAUGCGAAGGUGCUGGGGAUAAACAGUGAGAAAGAUGAAGGGAUUUACAGAGAAGAUGAUGUUUCAAUUGAAAAUUUGCUUUCUGGAGGAGAUGACUCGGAGACCAAGAGAACUAGCGGUGGAUUAGUUGAUAAUCCAAGUGCAGAGAGGGAGAAGGAAGUCUGUCCUUAGUCUUGAUGCACUUCACCACUUGUUUGAAAUGGGAAAUUUCUCUUAAUCCAUACUUUUAAAGCAGGGAAAUAAUCGUCUGCGCGAAAAGUGUUAUUCUAAACAAUUUGAUGUAUCAAAUCGAGCAUUUUACUGGUGUUUCAUUCCCCGUAUCAAAACCUCAUUAGAAGCAGAAACAAAUCCUUCCUCUGAAGAAACAGAUCGAGUAUUUCAGCAGUGCGCACAUGUGCUGGUAUGUAUACUCUUUCGAGCAUGAUCUUGUUUUAUAAGAUGGUCUCUCUUGUUUGACCUCAGAGGCAUGUGUCCCUGUUAACUUAUUCUUAGCUUGUGCAGCUUGUGCAGAUGUUCAUCCAUUUUUUUUUUGUAUGUUGUAAUAUUAAUGUGUAUCCGUUUUUAACAUUCCUGCCAUCUUAAUUGGAGCUCUGCUGGGAUUACUUCAUGAACACAGUGCGCUGCAUAUGGAAUCUGAUGCUUAAAUUACCUCUUAGGAAAUUUUAUAAACUAAUAAUAUUUCAAGAAGUUCUAAGCUGCCAAAACAAACUCAUCAUUAAUUUCAUGCUUAAGACUGCUAAUGUACCGUCUAUGCUCCUUAAACUGCUCGUUGGCUGUUAACUUUAACGUUGUGUAUGUUGUGUAAGAUAACAAAUUAAAUCAUAAUAAAUAUUGUUGGUCGUGAUCUAGACACAGGUCUCUCUGCGAGUUUUUGAAGCUCCUCGCUAGUUUUAUUUGUGAAUUAAAAUUUCAAGUGUCUUAAUUGUAUUAAAAUUAUUUGUAUUAAAAUUCGCAUUGCUUAUAUUUUUUUGUUCUUCGCUGGAAAAUAAUAUCAGAUAACUCAAGUGACUUAAAUUUUUUUUAGAAAAAGCCAUAAUAUCAAUUUAAAUAGAAAGGAAAUGAAUUUAAAUAUUUAUCAGUUUCCUGACAAAGGUUCCUUUGUUAAUGACUUGGCCAACUUGAACAUCUUAAAUUAUGUGCAUGAAUCAAUUGAACAACAUGUUACAAUACGCCGACACAUCAAGAGCAAGAAGUAAGGGCAGCACUUUUAGGAGCUCGUGAAGGCAGCAUUUUUAGGAACUUAUAGCAGUACUCCGAAAAGAUCACAAAGGAAAAUGAGAAGGCAUCCAAAUGAGAAUGGCUUUGCAACAUUACUAGGAUAAUUAAAGCAGAAUACAAGUGCUGUAAAUUGUUAGGAGGCAAACUCUGCUGUUGAUGCCGUAUUAAUGUGUAAAUUCCACCACAAGUCCCCGAACCCGAACGUUUUGGCCAAGUUUAAUGUUGAUUCUUGAACUUAUGCGUCACAUUCGAUAAUCAUACUUUUUAAAGUAUUUCACUUUAUUUACUUAAUUUUCUUCCUUCCUUAUUUACAACUAAAGGAAGGAACUGUAAAUAUUUUUGUGCAGCAUGCAUGUAGUGAACACUCAAACGCAUCUUGUAUUCCAUUUCCACCGUCCAUUGAGCAUAGGCUUUUGCAUAGAUAUUCGACAUUUGAAUUGUUCAUUAUCCGUUUGAGAUGAACGUUUUGCAUAGAUAUUUGACAUUUGAAUUGAAAGUAUGGGUUGGGAGAAGAGCUCAUGGAUGCAGGAGGCAUGGAUGUCAAGAUGCAUUUGGUGCAUGCAGUAUUUUCCAUCUAUGCAAAAACACUCUUUUAAGUAAAGCACUUUCAAAAGUUUCGUGUAUUGAUGAAUGUCUAACUAGUAUAGUCUUCUUCUCUGUUGUAUUCUCAGUUGUAAUAAUGGGCGUUCGAGUUCCUAGGAAUUGCUAGAUUGUCUCUGUAGCAUACCGGAUUUUAAAAUAAGGGUAAAAAUAAAAAUAGUGUGAGAUACUGUCAAGCCCCCGCCCCGAGCCCGCUACCAAUUUGGCAUUAUUCGGGCGCGGCGAGCGGACCGCCGAACGGACAGCACCUCCUCUGUCCGCCCAAGGCUCGAACUACUAGAUUGUGUACAACAAGUUCCCAGGAAACAACUUGGAUACAUACACAAUCAGCCAACCAUAACAAUUAUGAGAGCACAAACAGUGCUUAUCAAACAAGAGCAAGCAACACAUGUAAAGCAUACAAGUGAUAAAAGAGAGAUGUACUUAACUAUUAACUAAUUAACUUAUACAAUUAUUCAUUCUUUACAUUCAUACAAAAUGUAGGUACAAUCCACUCAAAACCUCACCCUAUACAUCGUCUACUCUCCAAAUAGGUAUAGGGUGUAACUAAUGCAUAAAGGAAGUAGCCUCUACCAAUGUCACUAGGGCGUUACGCUCUUGCCGCGAUCCUCACCGGGGACGCUCGAGCUCGGACCUGCAAUGUGGUGGAGUGAGAACUACGAAUAGUUCCCAGUGGGUUCGGCCGCCGACUCCGCCGAUCUCCCCACUAGGUCUUAAGCAGGCACAGAUAGAUAUGCAGAUAAAUAUAGAUAUAUAAACUGAAAGCAGUAACGGUAAUGAACAUCUAUGAACUAUAUUCUAUCAAUGCCUCAAUCCAGUAUAAUGCGUGCAUGGAACUCAUAGUAAGAAGGCUGGCUAUCCUACUACCAUGUUCAACAACAAGGUCAUUCAUUUGAUUACCCAAUCUCUCGGCGAACGCAAGGCUCGCUCACAGUCUCACGUCUCUAAGUCUCAUAGGAGAGGUGGCUAGCUAUUCACCUACCCCGAGACCGCCUGCGGACACUACACUGGUCCAAGGGCACUACACUGGCCCCCUCGCGUGCCAAACUCCGGAGUGCACUACCUGUGAGGAGCUACCUCCACAGGUGCAGACAGGCUAAGUGAGCUCGAUCCAAUCUCAUGAACUGGGAACACCCUAACCAACCAGGGGUGAUAGCAACAUAGUAUCUCACUAUACUAAUGUCCUCAUGCCGCUCUUGCACUACUUAAUGCCACUCGUUCAAUGUUUAAGAUUAACUAGAUGCCACUCGUUCUCUUGACAAGUUCUUGAUACACUAGUUUCCAAUACACUAGGUUCAUAUUCACAUAAACAUAUUCAUCAUAUAUAGGGCGAACUAUCUCAUAAUAUUUAACUCAUGCAUACUAGGUUUUCAUUCAUGGUAUCCACAACCUAAAACAUCACUAGCAUGCAAGGAUAUGCACAAUCACAUUUAACACCCUAUAAUGCUAUAUCGCAAUAUGUAAAUGAUCGACACUAGUACUCAGACAUAAAGAGCAGCCCGACUGCUUCGGGAUGGCACUCCCCCACCUCGUGGUGAUGUCGUGACUCUUCGAUUGCGAUUUGCCGACGUCUCGACGCCUCGUUGGCCUUCUAGGUGAGAACGAAGCUCCGGAGGUCUUCUUGGCGAUAACUUCGCACCUACUCGACGGAUCGACGAACCGUCUCCGCCUACACGUUCAGGGACCUAGCAAUUAGGUUUGCGACCAUUCAAAUUAGAUCAAAACCCUAUAUUUGCCAAAAUCCCAAAUCGAAGCCCUAGAUCUCGAUAUUGGAGAAAUCCGCGGUGCGAGCUUCGAUUUGGAGCUCGAACCUUCUCCCUAGCUCCAAUAGGUUCCAUUCGAACCAAUCCUAAAUCAGAAAACCCCCAAACCCUAGAAAUACCAUCAAAGGGUUUAGAGCUUACCUCUAAACAAAGCUCCAAGCUUGAAGAGGGAGAGAAGAAGAUGAUCUUCUUUUUCUUCUUAGUCUUCUCCUUAUUUUUCUCCUUCUUUUCCUUCCUCUCCUUCUUCUUCUUCUCCUUCUCCUUCUUUUCCUUUCUAGAGAGAGAGAGGGAAAGAGUGUGAGAGAGGAAGAGAGCAACUGAGAGGGAGAAAGGGGUCCCUAAGCCCUUAUAUAGGCCAUUUUGCAGAUAGCCCCCUCAACUUUUCAUUUCCCGAAACAGCCCUCCCUGGGCCAUUUUCGCAGUGAGGGACCGGUCCCUGCUCGGGGAGACCGGUCCCCGAAAGCUGCACAACAGGCAGAGGGGAUUUCGCAUUCGGGAACCGGUCCUUGCCUGAGAGACCGGUCGCUGGGAGACCGGUCCUUGUCCGAGAGACCGGUUCCCGAGAGCAACACUUUCGGGACUUAGCCAAAUUUCGGCUUCUCUCGCUGGGCCAACGUUCGGGAAUCGGUCCCUGCCUGCCAGGGACCGGUCUCAACAGAGACCCCCGCAGCCCAGCCCGAUGGGACCGGUCCCUCCCUGCCAGGGACCGGUCCCCGAGAGCAUUUCUGCUCCAGUGCAGCUUUUGCACUGGUGCUCUCGCGGACACCUCCUCAAUGCACCUCAUGCAUUGCGGUCACCUUCGGACUUUCCGAAGCUCGUACGCUCGACAAUCAGUCGAUUCUUGACGAAGUCUAAUCCUCGGGUUUCGAGAAUUCACUUCCCUUACAUACUCACUGCAAAGUUAUACUGUUAGGGUGCAACUGAGUAGUCUAAUGUUGUUCCGAUUUUCGUUCUUGUGAACGUUGACAUCGAUUCAUUCCAAAUUCACACUCUCGGGGCAUAAUAGAGCAUCUCGGGGCAUAAUAGAGCAAUAUAAUAAGGUUUUACUCUUUGUUCGAUAGAAUGAGAAAAAGUACUCCUUACAAAGUUAUACUGUUAAGGCGCUACUGAAUAGUCUAAUGUUGUUCCGGUUUUGAUUCUUGUGAAAGUUGACAUCGAUUUGUUCCAAAUUUACACUCUCGGGGCAUAAUAGACCAAUAUAAUUAGGUUUACUCCUUGUUCGAUGGAAUGAGAAAAAGUACUCGUUGCAAAGUUAUACUGUUAGGGCGCAACUGAGUAGUCUAAUGUUGUUCCGAUUUUUGUUCUUCUGAACGUUGACAUCGAUUUGUUUCAANGUUAAUUAAGAGAAACCAUCUCUCUUUCUCUCUAGUAUCUCCGUUUCUCUCUCUCUCUCUUUUCUUCGAACGAGAGGUUCGGAGAGAGCCAAACCCGUGGUUUCUCUUUUCUCACGUUCAAGUGUAUAUAUAUAUAUAUAUAUAUCUCUCUCUCUCUCUCUCUCUCUCUCUCUCUCUCGUCCCGACGACACGAGAUCCCUCGUGCCUCCGGAGGCACGAGGACUCGGCAAAAGCUACUACCUCAAAGGCUUAGUUGCUAGCCGAGGCAAUUUGAACUAGAUCGCAUAAACUUCAAAGAUCUUUUAUUAAAAACACUAAAAAGCUAUAGUAAAUGGAUCGUUAGCUUUCCUAAGUUUUAGUUAUUAAAAAUUGCCAACUUUUAUUUUUAGGAUAUUUUUCACCACUAUAUCGUGAUUUUAAAAGCUAGUCUUUAUAACUAGAACAAUAUCUAUCAUAUUUCUGAGGAGAAAAUUGGAAUUGCUUGGUGGUGUAGCAAGCUUGGUGGAGAAGAAGGCUUGGAGUUGAAGCUUCAUCUUCAUCUUCUCCUUCCUUGGUCUAAGAGGAAACUUGAGAGGUUUUCUGACGCGCUGGCGAAGUCGGUUCGGCGAUACGACGAGGUUACGCGAAGAUAUUGAAGAAAAGGCCGAUUUCGGUACAGAUUGCCGCAGCUCGUGGCGUAAGCUCCCAAAAAUCACGAAACCGGAAUCGUAGCAUCGUGACAUCACCUAAAGUCUUGGAGCUAAAAAAGUCGGGGGCACGAAGGGUCGCGUGGAGCUCUCGGUGGGUUUGACCUCGCUACAAAUGAGAAAAUCUCAUUUAUGUGGAUUUAAGUAUCGUAAAAUGGAAAAUCACGCAUUUUAAUGAAAAAUGCAUUAUUUGUGAAUUUUAAAAUGCUUGAAAUGCUUAUGUUAUAUACAAUGCAUUUUCGGACCUCUAUGUAGUAGAGAGCUUGCAUGUAAGACUUAUGCAUGGGUUUAGCAUUCUAAUUGGGACUUGGAAUCAUGCUUCAUAUAGUAGACAUGACAAAUGUGUAAUAUGCCUUGGACAUAAAUCUCAUUUGGACAUAAGAGAAUACAUUAGGCCAUAAAGUGGUUUUGGACUUGAAUAACUUGUGAGUUAGGGAGCUAAUGUCGUAAUGCGACAUCGGGCUUGAGCUAUGAAUGAGCCUAGCAAAGUAAUGCCAUAGAGAGGCAUUAGGCUUGAAUGAUAUGUGAAUUGUAUAUGCAUGUUAAUAGUAUGAGAAUUAUGCUAAGUUGGUAGUUGCAUUGGAAAGUGUAUGCAUGUAGCAUUAUGAGAACUAUGCUAUGUUGAUAGUUGUAUACGGAUGCAUUGAAACCAUAUGCUAGUGGAUAGAUGCAUGUUAAUAUUUAUAUGCAUUGUGGAAUACAUGCUAGGUACAUAUUAGCAAUGUGAGAUCAUGCUAGAGAGCAUGCGAAUUAACCUAUUAUUGAUAGGGUAAGCUAAUGUCAUAAAGAGGCAUUGGGCUUGAAAUUUGUAAGGUACAGAACUUCUUAAAUUCUGAAGUUACGGUAGGAUGUAAUAGGUUUUACUCUUUGUUCGAUAGAAUGAGAAAAAGUACACGUUGCAAAGUUAUACUGUUAUGGCGCAACUGAGUAGUCUAAUGUUGUUCCGGUUUUGAUUCUUGUGAACGUUGAAAAUUCGUUCCAAAUUUACACUCUCGGGGCAUAAUAGAACUAUAUAAUUAGGUUUUACUCUUUGUUCGAUAGAAUGAGAAAAAGUACUCGUUUCAAAGUUAUACUGUUAGGGCGCAACAGAGUAGUCUAAUGUUGUUCUGGUUUUCGUUCUUGUGAACGUUGACAUCGAUUCGUUCCAAAUUUACACUCUAGGGGCAUAAUAGAACUAUAUAAUUAGGUUUUACCCUUUGUUCAAUAGAAUGAGAAAAAGUACUCGUUGCAAAGUUAUACUGUUUGGGCGCAACUGAGUAGUCUAAUUUUGUUCCUGUUUUUGUUUUUGUGAACGUUGACAUCGAUUCGUUCCAAAUUUACACUCUCGGGGCAUAAUAGAACAAUAUAAUUAGGUUUUACUCUUUGUUCGAUAGAAUGAGAAAAAGUACUUGUUGCAAAGUUAUACUGUUAAGGCGCAACUGAGUAGUCUAAUGUUGUUCCGAUUUUGGUUCUUGUGAAUGUUGACAUUGAUUCGUUCAAAAUUUACACUCUCGAGGUAUAAUAAAAUAAUAUAAUUAGGUUUUACUCUUUAUUCGAUAGAAUGAGAAAAAGUACUCGUCGCAAAGUUAUACUGUUAGGGGGCAACUGAGUAGUCUACUGUUGUUCCGAUUUUGGUUCUUGUGAACGUUGACAUCGAUUCGUUCCAAAUUUACACUCUCGAGGUAUAAUAGACCAAUAUAAUUAGGUUUUCUCUUUGUUCGAUAGAAUGAGAAAAAGUACUCGUUGCAAAGUUAUAUUGUUAGGGCGCAACUGAGUAGUCUAAUAUUGUUCCGAUUUUGGGGACCGUCCUCUGGCAAGGACCGGUUCCGAACGUUGAAUAUCCCCUUUGCCAGUUUGUGCAGCUUUACGUGGACGGCUCAAAGGGGUCGCUCGCCCGACAAAGGUGACCACCGGUUGGUCCCUCACUGCGAAAAAUACCCAGGGAGGCUGUUUCAAGAAGUGAAAAGUGAGGGUUUUAUGUUGCAUCAAGUGGGUUAUGAGAAGAGGCUAGGCUUGUCCGCCUCUCAUCGCAUCACUUACACUUCAGUGGAUGCCCUUCUUCACGUCGUGAUGUCGUAGUCCUCCAUACUCACGACCUCUGAUGUCUACUCAUCUUCUGGCUCUCUGAAAGGUUAUAACAAAAAAGCAUCAUAUCGGAGGAAAAGAGGAGAAGUAGCAGAAGGCUAGUAGAAUGAUAGAAGGAGACGAGAUAGAGACUGAAAAAGAGCGAGAAAGAGAGGUAUUGACAACUAAGACAGGAAUGAGAAGCAUAUCACGCGAGUUACACUAUUCAUCAUCUCCUCUUGCCCAAAGCUUGGAGCUUGGUAAUGAUGUAAACCUCAACCUUUGAUGUGGUUUCAAUAGGCAGAGGUAGAAGUUUUAUAAUACGAAUAAGCGCGGUUCAAGACUGAACCUUAUUGAGCUGCAUAACUGCCAGGUCGAGAUAUGUUUCGACUCGAAAUCGAAGCUCGCAGCCGGCAGAGUAGUCGUAUCUCAUCAAUGGCCGCAUGAUGCGUGCAUUGUGCUUUUCGAUAGUCUUUCGAGAAUAGGUUGGCCAGAGCAUACUUGAACUGGGCUAUUUAAUUCAAAUUAAUUUCGGCACACCUAAAUUCUAAGGUCCCGAAGUCGUAGGCACAGACGGUGUGUCGCAUUACCGUCGAGUAGCAGUCGAAGUUAUCGCCAAGAGAGACCUUCGGAGCUUCGUGUCCAUGCCUAGAAGGCUAACGGCGUCGAGACGGUUCUAAGGCACGACACAUCGCAAUCGAAGAGCUUCCACAGAAGUCCACCCACCGAGGGGUGGAGCAUCACAGUAAAACCCACCAAAAGUCCUCACCAGGGCGAGAGUGGCGCUACACGAGCUAACCAGAAGGGUGCGGGCGAUCAACAUGGUCGGACUUCACUUUCAUGCUUUAGAUGUCUGAUGUCAUCAUCGAAAGACUUAACUAGUACGAGUUUAUUACAUAUUGUGAUAUAGUCAAUUACUUGACGGAAUUGUCUUAACCAUGGAUUAUCGCUGCAUAUCCUUGCAUGCUAAGGAUGGUAUAGCUCUGCGUUUGUUCAUCAUCGUCAAGACUGAUUUAGUAAAACAUGCAGAGGUGAGCGAUCGUUUGAGAACAGACACCCAAUGAAAAGUCGCCCUAGUCAACUAACGAUAAGAAUUAUUGUUUCAGUAGAUGAUAUAUGAACCUAGUGAUACCUUGGAACACAGUUGUAUUCAAGAACUCUGUCAAGAGAACGAGUGGCCAUCUAGUUAACCUAAACAUGAACGAGUGCAUUAAGUAGCCGGUAGGCAGCGCAAAACCUAAGAAAACUGCCUGCAGCUUGUCGAGAGACUACAUCAGUAUCAGAUAGUGAUGGAUCAGCGCCACCAAUCAAGUUGCUACUACACCGAGGCUAACCUCUCGGUGCCACGAAAUUCCGCCGAGUAUAGAUAUGCCCCCUGUUGAUCAGGGCGAUAUUACGAGAUUAUCAUGACAGAGAUUGAAUCGAGCUCACUUAGCUGCUGUCUUACACCUGUAGGACAGUAAGAAUCCUCGCACCUUCCUUACGAUGCUUUAAGUCGUUACACAACUCCCGGAGUGCUUCUUCGGCGAAGAUAUCUCGCAAGAUACUGGCGGGCCAGUGUAUGCCCUGGAGCCAGUGUAGUGUCCGCUCUCGGAAGAUAGGAUCCGGUCUCCGGGUAAGUGAUAUAGCUAGCCCACUCAUCCCCUAUGCAAGCAUCUUAGACGACGUAGAGGUACACGUAUCAGAUGUCACAAUGAAAACCCGACGGCGAGCGAAACUUGCGUUCGCCGAGAGAUACGAAACUAGAUAUUCCACAGAAUAUAGCCCGAAGAUCCUGUUCAAUCAUGUCCAUGAUGCUGACUCACACUUAGCAUUGUGUUUGAUGGAAGCAUGUAGUCCCGAAAGGCAUCACCGAGACAGCCUAGCAUUCUUACUAUGAGUUGUGCGAAGACAUUCGUAGUGGCAUCCUGAAUUAUGAGGCAUUGUAGUACCUGUGGCGAAUCUAGUUUCUAUGGACCAUCAAUUCACUCUCAGCCCGGAUCUUAAGCUGAAUGGUACCGCUUUCAGUUAAUAUAAUCUAUCUAUCUGCAUAUCUAUCUGUAGCGCGGGGCUAAGACGCUAGUGGGAGGAUCCGAUGCAAUGAGAUCUUCGGAGCAGAUACACGCCAGAACCCACUGGGAAACUAUUCGUAGUUCUCACUCGCACAGAGUACUAUCGCUGCACUGAGGCUGGCUUCCAAAGAAAGGAGACCGUGUUCAAUCUGGGCAGGGGAUACCCCUGUUUCUUACACUGUGACUUUGUUGAGGCGGCUCGAAUCGCCGGAAGGCGUAAGCGCCCUACGGGUUGACAGUGGUAAUCCAGACGAAGAGGGUUUUUCACUUAUUUAAAUAUCAAAUUUUUUCUUGACUUAGCGCCUUAUUUAGAAGACAGGGCAGCACCUCUAGUCGUCUAGGGAGAUCACACCUGGCUCUAUGACCUCCUUUAUCACCCUACCUCAGCUGGCGCCUUCCCUUUACUUCAGCUCCCAGGCAAAGCAAUAUAAGAUUAGUCAUAGCCAUCGAGGAUCGAUGGUGGUUGCCAGACACAGUGAUCUCAUACUGCGGUCAGCACGAGGUCAUCCUGUUAUCUGGUAGUCUAGAGAGUUGUAGGUACGAAUUCACAGACUACAUGGUCAUAUCCAAUGAGUGGUCGCAUUCUUAAUCUUAUGUCUAAUAUACACGGCCGGGCAUUCAACAUUAUUGCCCUAGUAAAGAGAUAUCGCAGCGAAAUAGAGGCUCUAACAUGCUCGGUUAAUAAAUAUAUUAUAAGAAGUUAGCUCGGCAAAAUAGGAUCACCCAUCCUCCGCUCGCAUCGAUAGUAAUGUUGCCUAGUGAAAAACAGUCCAUUAGGUUCGAAUUUUAUUACUACUCAGAUCAGGCUAGAAAAACCCGAUCAUCGUUGUACCAAGAAGUAAAGCGGCGGUGAGUACCAUACGAGCAUAAGUGUAUGCUCAGCUGACAGGCGAGUAAGCAUCAUCCUGCUAGAGGUCGUCUCGAUCUCGAAGUGUACACAUCGAGUGUUUUGCGAGGAAAGACCAAGCUCACAUGCAAAUGAAUGCGAAAUAAAGAGUGGCGAUGCUCUUCACGUACUCGAAAAUGAGCAAUUCUAGCAUCAGAUGAAAUGUUGAAGGUAUGGACAAUACCUCGCAAGACAGUCGCCCACACCAGUGCCCUGCGUGCUGAGUCAGGGCGAAGACCUCUCUGCGCAUCUCCAGAUGCGCUGCCGUGCCCCUCAGUUUGCGCCUCCGUCCCGCGUAAUUGUGGUUGUUAAUUGUUAUGUACCCAGUUCAACGUUGUUCCUUGGAACCUUGUUGCUCACUAAUCUAUGGUUGAGCCUUGGCGACAGAGGAGGCUGUCCGUUCGGCGUCGGUCCGCCCUUCGAGUAGGGGGACCCCGGAGCCACGAAGCAGCUGCAGCUGGGGCUCCGCGGCUUCUGCGGGCGUGCAGGCAUGGGAGGAGACAGGGACUCCCCCUGAGACAUCCGCCACCUCCUAGGACACUGGCUUGCAGGGGAGCCACCUCGCACUGGCCACGAACGGAAACAGUGUCCUCCUCUGCGACCAUUCGCCAUCAACCGCUGAGCUUUGCCGGCAGAUGCACACAACGGUGGAUCGCCCCUCUGCUGAUUGCUCGAGGGCGCACUCUUUGCUCCCUGCUAGAGUGCGCGGAUGCUUUGGCGACCGGUUACUAUUGGAAAGGAGCCGCCGCACGUCUUAGAAUGGGAACGCUUUCUGUUCCCCAUCGCCUCCGAGGCCCUUUGCAGCUCGGACUCUCGUAGACUCGCUCUGGAUGACGAGGCUAUCGUCGCAAGCACUCCGUCAAAACACGUCAUCGUGCCAUGAGAAGCCCAGCAGCAUCCUGAUGUGGGUCUCGAAGCCCUCGCGAAGACUCUCGCCUUGUGCGCUCGUCAAAGUAGGCUCGAAUAGAGAGCAAGGGAUCAGCCUCCACCAUGGCGGAAGACGAAGUCCUGCUCGUAGCUUCAGCUACGGUACGUUCCCACUGCUGAAGAUGUUCUAAAGCUCCGCGCUCCGGCCCAGCCUCCAAAUUUUUGAGUUGUCCCGAAAGAAUUGCUUGGAUUGGAGAUCUCCGGAACUCCCCCCAGGGUUGGGAAAGGACGGCCCAGCUGUGAGCGAGGUAGAUGUCGGCAGCCACCAAAUAGAGCUGCGUCCGCCGGUCCGAGAAAGUGUGCGGCCAAGGACGCGGUACCUGGCUCAUCCGAUGAGUAUAAGUCGCUCUAAAGCUAGGUACUCUCACAAUGUCGGUCAGGUUCGAUGAGCAGGUCGCGUCGAUAGAAACUCCUAGUUCUCUUCCUUCUUACGCUCCACGCGUAUUCUUGCGGGUCGAAUUCCCAUGAACUCAUCCAGCUUCGCACAUGCAUAGCGGGCGCCUCUGCUGCGGGGUAAUUUGCAUCCUCAGCUGGAACCUCUGGUGGUCGUCCGUCGUCGUCGAGCUCAGCAAGCAGAUAAAGAUGGAACGGAGCCGAGGGCCGAGCUACCUAGUGCAGGCGCACCUGAGGAGGUGGUGGACUUCCUACGGAGACUCUAAGAGCAGGCAUGACCCAUUCCAGAACCGGCGGCGUCGGGGAAGGUAGUCGCUUAUAUGGGAACACAGCUCUAGGCGGUGUGCGGCUCGUAAGGACUAGCUGGCAUGAGUGCUGCGUCGGAAACCGCCGCCAUGUGGAAAGGAGUCGUCAUCCUGAAUCCCGUCCCGUCAUCACUGGAGGCUUUAGACCUCGAGUGGUGAGGCUCGAGCUGCUUCGAUAGCAGUGAGUAUCCGCCCUGCUGGAUGUGGAAUGUUUUUUUUUACUUUUCUGGUCGAUCUGCUCACCCUACUCCUGCCCUGCCCCACCUGCCUCUGCCGUUGCUCGGAGGCCUGCUCUUUUCCUAGGAGGCUAAUUGACUAAGAGCCCUCAUGGGCGACGGCGUCCAGAAAGUUUGAUGGAACUAGCUCCCACGAACUCACGGAAGAAGGUGGGUCCGCUACUCCACGAGCCAAUCUGUAACACAAAGCACGCGUCAGCACGAAUAAUCGAGACUCGACCAACUCCGCCUACGGACUUGAGGCCCACAGAAACUUGCACUCACGUGCGCUAUGAGUAUUUCGCCCGUAGUCCUGCCUAUGGGUCAACCUAACCAAUGGUUCAUUUCAUUGAUUUUUCGAAAACCAACCUGUGAAUGGUAGUCUCCCCCUGUAUUUUGAGCACGGUCGUCGUAGCACAAGUACAGAGGAGAUCUGUCCCGUCGUGAAGUGGAUUCCCUGUAAUUGUGCGAUCUGACAUACUCUGGGGUCAGGUAUUUGAGAAAAACAAAAACAAAUUAUUAGUCAUUUCGCGUCAUUUCCAAACGCGCAACAAGGACCUCAGGGGUGACAGAUUAAAGUGGUAUCAGAGCCGGUUCAUCAGCUGGACAUGUGUGGCGAGUCUCGCUAUGAGCCACGGGUCGGAUGACGGGCUAACGAGCGACGUCUUACAUCGCGCUGGUGAUCUUGGGCUGUGUGUGUUGUGGACUCGACAGACGUCAGGACUGCAGCUUAAACGGGGAGUCCUGGUGACACCGCCAUAUCAACAUCGAUGAAAUGGAAGGUGUUGUUUAUUCAGGAGUUGAUAAGCACGACUUAGACACUAGCUAAAUAAUAACUGGCUUAGAGCAUUUGGGGUCUGUGUUGGUAUCAUGGGCCAACGAGUUACUCUUAAUUAAGCUUAGUGAAGCUUGGGCCUGGUCGUUACAUUGGUAAUCAGUCAAGUCGAAUUCUUUCAGCUCAUCGAAGCUACUGCUAGACACCGUCGAUUUGUUCAUGAAGUUAUUGUCGUUUCGAACUGCGAAUGAUGACCUGUCGUUCGGAUUCAGUAAUACCGAUUUUGCUGGGAGUCCACCGGGUUAUACCCAAAGCUCUCCGAGCUUUGCCUCAAUGUAAAGCUUGUGAAGCGGUGUGCGAUUUUGGAGAAGGCUGCAACGAAUCGCAAGAUAAUACCUGCACUGCGCCAAACCCUAGAAAAACUCCGGACUUGGUCACCGAAAGUUUUGGUUCAAGACCAGCUACACCACGCGAGGCUAUCUUCUUCGGGUCCGACCGAAUCCACGCCGGAGUAGAAUAUGCCGUCUCUCAAGAAUGACCACGUAGCGACGUCACGGAGCAGAAAUCCACUUCUUGAGCUUAGCGUUACAACUGUGCCGCCGCUGAAGUAUCUGGCAAUUAGCUCUGUCGCGAGAUGAUCCUCAGGUGCUCCCUACAAUACUCCGCGAGUAGAUCAGGAGUCAUCAUGAAACCGACGACAGACACUGAUCCAGAUAAGCUCGGAAGCCCUGUCAUUCAUGUCGCAUAGAAGGCUGCGCGGAGGAUUGGUGAGCCCGAAAGGCACACCGUGAACUCGUAGUGGCCGUAACGAGUCCGGAAAGGCGGUCUUUCGGCACAUCCUCAGCCCGGAUCUUUAAGCUGAUGUAGCCUCCCGACCGCAAGAUCAUCCUUGGAGUUAGCACCGACGAUCCUUUGACAAGGCUGGUCAUGGUACGAAGCCUGAACUUUCCAGUACGCGCUUUCUCAUCUUUAGAGUGACGGUCAGGUCCAGAGCGACGUGCAUCCAGACUUCUUGUACGACAUGCUCUGGCGCAGAUCGCGUCUGGAUUACGGUGGAUCGGAUGGUCUCGGUAUUACCGUUGGUGGAGUUUCGCGACUAUAAUAAACAGCUUUCAGGGUCGACAUCGGGAUGGCACCAUACCGAGGCGUCUGUUAUGGGCGUUCGAUGUCGUUCUCAGCUAUCUGCUUGGCACGCAUGUCGAAGACCGCCGGUUAGUUAGGACUACUAGAUUUAGUAGGAGACGCCACAUGAGGCAAGAUCCGCAUUGGGCGAGAGAGCGGCUUCAGACCUGCAACAGAUAGAAUCCAAGGGGCGACUAGCGCGGCCCAGGCGGAGGCCGGAACCUAGAGUUUCAGUCGUGAGUCAUGUGCUGCUCAAGUGUCGCCUUCCAGGAUCAAUACGGUUUGUUUGCGGAACAAGCUUAUCGCGCUGGUUUCGGUGGGACCCGUUCUGAGAUCCUACGAGCUGCGUUGGUCCGGUGGGCUUACCAGAUUGCUCUCAUACCGCAGUCUCGCCCGAGUGCAGCAACGUUUUUUCACGUGUCCCAUGCUUCGGAUACCACAUCCCGAUCCGUCCCCACAUCAUUCAGUCGACACGCAUUCAGCUAUGCGGGAGGAUCUCGAGCUAUGCAGUGAGGCUCCCGUUGCACGAUCCUGGUCACGUGAGGUGAACGCAGUUGCCGGAAUAGGAGCAUAUCCGUAUUCAAGGUCCAGUGGAGGAGAAGCGCGACGAGAGGGCUGCGCCUGAGGCUACUGGGAGCUUGAAUGCGUCAUGGCGGUCGAUCAUUAUCCACAGUUAUUUUGCGAGGGACGUCCUUGUNNNNNNNNNNNNNNNNNNNNNNNNNACUAAUUAUAUAGUUCUAUUAUGCCGCCGGCGCAAUUGUUAUAUAUUUGGAACGAUCUUAAAUUUACAAGAACCAAAUCGGAACAACAAUUAGACUACUAAGUUGCGCACCUAACAUAUUAACUUUUGCAACGAGCACUUAUUUCUCAUUCUACAAACAAAGAGUAAAACCAUUAUAUUGCUUAUUAUGCCUCGAGACAGUGUAAAUUUGGAACGAAUCAGAAACUUGUCAACGUUCACAAGACAACAAACAUGGACGAAAAUUAGCACUACUCAGUUUGCGCGCAACAGUAUAACUUUUGAACGAGUAUUUUUCUUCAUUGAUCAAUAGAACAAAGAGUUAAAACCUAAGUAUAUUAUUUUUUAUACCUCCAUUCGUGCUAAAUCGUAGAACGAGGUCAAUGUCAACGUUCACAAGACCAAAAUCGGAACACAUAGACUACUCAGUUGGCACCAACAGAUAUGAACUUAUGCACACGAAUACUUUUUUCUAAUUCUAUCAACAAAGAAGUAAACCCCAUAUUAUAUUGUAUCUUAUGCCCCAGAGUGUAAAUUUGGAACGUAACCAGAUGGCAAGGUUCACGUAAGAACAAAAAACAGGAACAAAAUUAGAUACUAGUUGCGGCCAAAAAGUCUAACUUUGCAACGAGUAUUUUUUCUCAUUUCUAUUAUCAGAAAGAGGUAAAACCUAAUUAUAUAGUUCUAAUUUGCCUGGAGUGUAAACUUGGAACGAAUCAGAUUCGUCAACGUGAUUAAGAAGAAAAACCAGAAAACACAUUACACUACUCUGGUUUGCAGCACUAACAGUAUAACUGCGACGUAGUACUUUUGUCUCUUUCUAUCGAACAAAAAGUGAAACCUAAUUAUCAUUCUAUUAUGCCCGGGCGAGUGUAAAUUGUGGAAGAUCUUCAACGUUCACAAAAGAACCAAAUCGGAACAACAUGAGCACUACUCAUUGCGACCUAACGUUAUAACUUUGCAACGAGUACUUUUCUGAUUUCUAUCAACAAAGAGAUAAAACCUUUAAUUAUAUCGAUAUCUAUAGUCUCGAGAGUGUAAAUUGGACGAUAUCAGAGUCAAGUUCAGAAAGAAUCAAAGAUUCGGCGAAGAACAUUAGAUACUCAGUUUUGGCCCUAACAGUUAUACUUAAUGCAACGAUCUUUUUCUACGUUCUAUCAAACAAAGAGUAAAAUACUAAUUAUAUUAUUUAUUAUACGCUCGAGAGUGUGAAUUUGGACGAAGGUCAUAUCAACGUUCACAAGAACCAGCCGGGAGACCGGUCCUUGUCCGAGAGACCGGUUCCCGAGAGCAAUACUUUCGGGACUUAGCCAAAUUUCGGCUUCUCUCGCUGGGCCAACGUUCGGGAACCGGUCCCUGCCUGCUAGGGACAGGUCUCAUCAGAGACCCCCGCAGCCCAGCCUGAUGGGACCGGUCCCUCCCUGCCAGGGACCGGUCCCCGAGAGCAUUUCUUCUCCAGUGCAGCUUUUGCACGGGUGCUCUCGCGGACACCUCCUCAAUGCACCUUAUGCAUUGUGAUCACCUUCGGACUUUCCGAAGCUUGCACGCACGACAACCAGUCGAUCUUUGACGAAGUCUAAUCCUCGAGUUUCGAGAAUUCACUUCCCUUACACUCUCCCCACUUAAAAGAGUUUCGUCCUCGAAACGAACUCAACAAUAUUAAAUUCAUCCAGAAUACUCAUACCUCGGUGGCUCACUCAAACAAGUGAGGAUGAUUCGCUCUCAUCUCCUCCUCGAGCUCCCAGGUGGCUUCGCGGUCAGCAUGAUUGCUCCACUCUCAGGGCAUAAUAGAAUAAUAUAAUUAGGUUUUACUCUUUGUUCGAUAGAAUGAGAAAAAGUACUCGUUGCAAAGUUAUACUGUUUGGGCGCAACAGAGUAGUCUAUUGUUGUUCCGGUUUUCGUUAUUGUGAACGUCGACAUCGAUUCGUUCCAAAUUUACACUCUCGGAGUAUAAUAGAACUAUAUAAUUUGGUUUUACUCUUUAUUCAAUAGAAUGAGAAAAAGUACUCGUUGCAAAGUUAUACUGUUUGGGCGCAACUCAGUGGUCUAAUUUUGUUCCGGUUUUUGUUCUUGUGAACGUUGACAUCGAUUCGUUCCAAAUUUAUACUCUCGGGGCAUAAUAGCACAAUAUAAUUAGGUUUUACUCUUUGUUCGAUAGAAUGAGAAAAAGUACUCGUUGCAAAGUUAUACUGUUAGGGUGCUACUGAAUAGUUGAAUGUUGUUCCAAUUUUGAUUCAUGUGAACGUUGACAUCGAUUCGUUCCAAAUUUACACUCUCGGGGCAUAAUAAAAUAAUAUAAUUAGGGUUUACUCUUUGCCCGAUAGAAUGAGAAAAAGUACUCGUUGCAAAGUUAUACUGUUAGUGUGCAACUGAGUAGUCUAAUAUUGUUCCGGUUUUUGUUCUUCAGAUCGUUGACAACGAUUCGUUCCAAAUUUACACUCUCAGGGCAUAAUAGAACAAUAUAAUUAGGUUUUACUCUUUGUUCGAUAGAAUGAGAAAAAGUACUCGUUGCAAAGUUAAACUGUUUUGGGCGCAACUGAGUAGUCUAAUUGUUCCGUUUUUGUUCUUGUGAACUUGACAUCGAUUCGUUCCAAAUUUACACUCUCGGGGCAUAAUAGAGAAUAUAAUUAUGUUUUACUCUUUGUUCGAUAGAAAUGAGAAAAAGUACUCGUUGCAAGUUAUACUGUUAGGCGCAACCUGAGUUGUCUAAUGUUGUUCCGGUUCUUGGUUCUUGUGAUACGUUGAAAUCGAUUCGUCAAAUUUAUUACACUCUUCGGGGGGCAUAAUAGAAGCUAUAUAAAUUAUGGUUUUAAGCUCUUAAUUCGAUUUUUAGAAAAGAGAAAAAAGUACUACGUUGCAAAGUUAUAGCCUGUUAGCACGCCAACAGAGUAGUCUUAAUUUGUUCCGGUUCACAAAGAACGAAAACCGGAAACGAACAUUAGACUAUCGGUUUUCGUUCUGUGAACGUUGACAUCGAUCGUUCCAAAAUUUACACGCCUUUGGGGCCAUUAAAUAGAACAUGAUAAUAUGUUUUAUCCUUUGUUUCGAUGCGUAGAAUGAGAAAACGUACUCUGUUUCACAAAGUUAUAGCUGUUUGGGGCCGCCCCCCCAACUGAGUAGUACUAAUUUUGGUUACCCGGAUUUUGUUCUUAUAGUGAACUGUUGACAUAACGAUUCGUUUCCGUCCUUAUAACUAUUGAAUUUAAGAGGAUUUAGACUCCCUUUUCGCUCAUGAGGGACCAANNNNNNNNNNNNNNNNNNNNNNNNNNNNNNNNNNNNNNNNNNNNNNNNNNNNNNNNNNNNNNNNNNNNNNNNNNNNNNNNNNNNNNNNNNNNNNNNNNNNNNNNNNNNNNNNNNNNNNNNNNNNNNNNNNNNNNNNNNNNNNNNNNNNNNNNNNNNNNNNNNNNNNNNNNNNNNNNNNNNNNNNNNNNNNNNNNNNNNNNNNNNNNNNNNNNNNNNNNNNNNNNNNNNNNNNNNNNNNNNNNNNNNNNNNNNNNNNNNNNNNNNNNNNNNNNNNNNNNNNNNNAAAUUUACACUCUCGGGGCAUAAUAAAAUAAUAUAAUUAGGUUUUACUCUUUGUUCGGUAGAAUGAGAAAACGUACUCGUUGCAAAGUUAUACUGUUAGGGCGCAACUGAUUAGUCUAAUGUUGUUCCGUUUUUCGUUCUUAUGAACGUUGACAUCGAUUCGUUCCAAAUUUACACACUCGGGGCAUAAUAGAGCAAUAUAAUUAGGUUUUACUCUUCGUUCGAUAGAUUCAGAAAAAGUACUCGUUGCAAAGUUAUACUGUUAGGGCGCAACUGAGUAGUCUAAUGUUGUUCCGGUUUUUGUUCUUCUGAACGUUGACAUCGAUUUGUUCCAAAUUUACACUCUCGAGGCAUAAUAGAACAAUAUAAUUAGGUUUUACUCUUUGUUCGAUAGAAUAAGAAAAAGUACUCGUUGCAACCUUAUACUGUUUGGGCGCAACUGAGUAGUCUAAUUGUCACGCCCCGCGACCAACCGCCGAUUUGGACCGGGUCGCGGCGCCGCCGACAGACCGCCGAACGGACCGGGAAUUCCCCUGUAUGCGGACAGGGUCUCCCCAGUACGUCCAAGGCGUCGCAAUCCAAACAAUCAACGAAUAUUCCAACAAGAAACGGAUAUCAUUCCAGAUUGCAUAAGGAAGUAUCAAAUACAUAAACUACUUGCUAUUACAGGCAUUUAGUUAAAUACAUCUCAGUACACCUCAAAUUAGUUUUCAUUUUUCUUCCGAUUACAAUCACAACAUAUUACAUCAUUUAUUUUCCAAGUUUGAUACAUCUUGAUUCUUGCCUUCUAGACCCCUAAGCUAGACUGCCUCAGGGUACUGCUACCUCGGUCUCUGUGGUGAGGCGCUAUCUACUGAGCUACGCCCUCGCCUCGCGCCGCCGCGCCGCACAAGAACGACCUGAAAACCCCAAAACAACGUGGGGUGAGAACCAACUCCAUGGUUCCCAGUGGGUACGGCCACCCAAGGGAAAAGCUCGACCGAUAGGUCCGAGGAGGCACUGCAACAUGUUAGUUCAACAAUAUACAACAGAUAUAUAUAUUCAAUUGAAAUACAUGCCAUGCCUCACGAUAUGCGAUAUGAAAACCAUGCAACAACUAGUAGAUCAUAUGAAUUCUACUUUUACUUGGCUACUUUAGCUCAUAACUUUACUCUAAGGUUUCUAUUACCUUAGGAUCACAACACCAACCACUGGCUUCUAAGGUUUCUAUUACCUUAGCUCAAGCCUCUAUCUCUAGCUCAUAAGGGUUCCUCUACCCUAUCAUAGCUAACCACCCGACUCGGCUUCGAGUCAAUCAUCUGCGGAUAGUCCGCGCACUGGCUGCUCAACAGCCUACCGCACUCUCUCUGACUCAGCCUCCUAGCGGCGAAAUCGUCGCACACGCUGAAUACGGCUCGAGUCACAAGACUUGACCAUCGGUGGCGAUCGCGUUGCACAUACCCAGCGUGAGCUCGAGACAUGACAUACCGUCUGGCGGCGAACGGGUCGCACCACACCCAACAACGAUCAUGUCAGACUCAGUCACCUGGAGGCACCCGCAUCGUACUUACCCAGCAUGGAUUCAGUCUGCUCUGGCGGUCUGAUCCUCAAAUGGCUUAACCAUCUGGCGGCGAAAUCGUCGCACAAACGCCACGACAAUGGUUCAAGCCCCGGGCGGUGAUCUCCAUGUGAUCGCCCCCAAUCCUCCCUCGGUACCAAGCUCGGCGGCGAAGUCGUCGCACAAACGCCCUAGCUUCUACCAGGGUCAUCACAAGUCAUGGGAUUCCGGAAUCCACUUUCCACAGGUCGAGGGUCCAUAGCCAACCCUAUACUUUCGACCUAUCUCAUCCUAGUGGCUAUACCACUAUACUCAUCAACCUAGGUUCCAAUACUCUAGGUUCUAUGUCCAUGUCACUUAACCUAGAUACACUUGCUAGGUUCUUGUCAUCUUUGCCUAGAUGUCCACUUCUAGGUUUACUAGUUCGACCUAGGUUUACUAACACUAGGUUCGAUGCCACACACCUAGAUUGUUCGACUCUAGGUUUACUAUUCAAUCUAUGUUCUUUAACACUAGGUUAGAUGCCACUCGAUCUACCUGACAACCUAGUUGUCCAAUCAACUCUACUCACACUAGAGUUAUUAACUCAUGCUUUCUACUUGGCAUUUACUCUAUGCAUCUGUGUUCAUCAUGCAUUCUAUUUAGCAUUUCCAUCUAUGCAUUAUUAUUAGUAUGCAUUCUUUACAUUAGCUAGCAUUAUUUACAUGUCAUGCUAUCGUGCUUGCUACUUGGCACUUUACUCUAUGCAUUGUUGUUACUAUGCAUUCUUUACUUAGCCUUUACUUUAUGCAUAUUUAUUAAUGCACCAUUUACUCUUGUCUACAUGCACAUGCAUCAACAUGAGAUUACAUUGCUAAGACAUAAAGGGCGACCUAGUCGCUUCGGUAAGCACAACCCACCUUAGAUAGCUUUUCCGAUUGCUCGUCGACACUUGCAAUCGGCCUCCCGCGGCACUCGGCACCCGUUUGGGCCCGAUCUCACAGUUGCUCCCCUCGAGCGCGCCGCUUCACCGUUUCAAGUGCUAGCGAUCUUCGCCUCGCCGCUACGGUGCUCGGGACCCGAUUUCACAAUUUAUAGACGUCGCCUCGGCCUCCCAGGCGGAAAUGAAGCUCCGAGCGCCCGUUUCUUCAAUAUCUUCGCAACGGCUUGUCGGAUUGCCGAACCGACUUCGCCAACGUGUUUCGUUACCUACCAAUUAGGUUUACGAAGGGUCAAAUGAGAUCAAACUCAUCUAUUUACAAAAACCCCCAUGGAUGCCCUAGAAUGCCCUCAACAUCAAAACCCCCAAAUCGAUCUAUGAAAUGGAGUGAAAUCAUCUUAGAGGCAUGCUAGGGUUCCUCUAAAUCCAUUUCUAGGGUUUAUAAACCCAUCUACAAGGAACUAUUACAAGAAGCCAUGAAACUUACCUCUUGAGAGAGCUCCAAAAUGAGAAGAAGAUGAAGAUGAAGAUGAGGAAGAGGAUCUCCUCCUUGGUCCUCUCCUUCCUUUCCUUUCCUUUCUCUUUUUCUUCUUCUCUUCUCUUUUCUCUUUUCUUUCCUUUCUUUCUUUUCCCCUUCGCACGAUCAGAGGGAGAGAGAGAGAGAGAGACUGAGGGAAAGAGAGAGAGAGAGAGAGAGAGAGAGAGAGAGAGAGAGAGAAAGGUCUCUCUAAUACCCUCUCUCAUUUUGUAACAAAAUGCUAAGAAGCCCCUCAACUUUUCGUCUCUUACACAGCCUUUACUGGGCGUUCUGCGCGCGGAGGGACCGGUCUCCCCGACCAGGGACCAGUCCCCGGGGCCUCCCCCCGCGGACACGCGUUCGGGAACCGGUCCCUCCCUGAGAGACCGGUCCUCGGGAAACCGGUUCUUCUCAGAGAGAUCGGUUCCCGAGAGCUAGACUCCUGGGACUUAGCCGAUUUUUAGCUCUCUUCACUGGUGUCGCAGGCUGGGACCGGUCCCUCCUCUGCCAGGGACCGGUUGCAUCGGCAACCCCACAGCCUUCAGCUGAUGGGACCGGUCUCUCACCUCCAGAGACCGGUCCCCGAGAGCAACUUCAGCCCAAAAUGCUGAUUGCAUUAAUUUCUCUCGCGGACUCCAUCCCAAAGCACUUCUUGGGUUUCGAGCACCAUUAGCUUUUCCAAAGCUUAUCGACUCGACCCUUGGUCGAUUCCAGACGAAGCACAACUCUCGGAUUUGGAGAAUUCCUGGGUAUGACAGAACCUCCCCUGUCCGCCCAAGGCUCUAACGACAUGUAUAAAUAGGCAAUCAAUAAGAGAUUUGCAUAUAUAAUACAAGGCUUGCACGAGGGAAAGCAACAACGAAAGCGAAAGCUCUAAGCUAAUUAAGCAACAUACAUGAUAUUUGAUUAUAUUUAAACCAAAUUCAAGUAAAACUAUUACAUUUUUCCAUCAUAUCUUUUUACAUUUAGUCAUCCACCAAAUACAUGAUUGUUUACACUUUGCAUCUCUAAAUCAACAAAAUAAAGUUGAUACAUGUAUAUCAAAAAGGAAUGACUACAAAAUGUAAAGUCCCGGUGGCCGCUACCUACGGCGCCAAACCUUUGCCUCGGUCCUCCGCCGCCCCGCUCGUGCUAGGACCUGUAGGGUUAGUGGUGUGAGAACUACAACGAAGUUCCCAGUGGGCUCGGCAUCCGACCUCGCCGACUUACCCACUAGGUCUAUCCAGGCAUAAGUAUUUCAAAGGAAGAAAAGUAACCAUUACUAAUGCAACUAAUACUAUGCCUGCAAAAAAAGUCAGUAGAUAUACAAUUUCAAUGCGAUAAUGGAAAUGCAUGCAUGCUCCAAUCAUAAUCAAACUUUGGCUCUUACCCAAUCUUACCGGUUAACUCUGUUAACCCCAAUAACUCACAACCCAAAAUCCCUUAAUAACGGGGGACUCGAACCUCCCUAGGGACCGUCAACUGGUGGGACUUUACCACGCCCAGUGGUGACCAACUCCGGAGCGCACCGCUCGAGGGGGAGCGACCUCCCUCAAGCCAAGACGAAAUGUGAGUAUCGAUCCAAUCCUCAACUUGAGGAUUCAUAGCCACUAGUCACAAUGCCAAUGUCAUGAUAGGUCUCUACCUAUUCAUUCUUACCACUUUCAAGGCUAUACCUAUAAUGAUGCCAUAAUUGGUUAAAUUAUGUUUAACGGUUCAUAACUCAAUGCCAAUCUUGUUUCUAUGUCAAUGUCACCCUUGUUUUCUAUUGUCCAAGUCCAAUCUCACAUUCACACAACUUGAGGGUCCAAUCACACAUGUCCAUUUUGGUUCUAUCAUCCUCUAUGUUCAACUACGUUAGAAGCAUAUAAAUGAAGUCAAACCAAGUUCCAUAUGUAUCUACCCUACUAUGCAUGAAUGGGUAUAUAUGUAUAUGCUCAAGAAUAGAGAAAACAGACAUAGAAGGGAAUCCAACAAUUCCGGCGUGCACCCCCCACCUCUAUUGGUUGUGUGGGUGUAGAAUAUGAAGGCCCCCGCACUUCACGAAAGCCGAUUCUGCGCCCUAUAAUCAAAAUAGUGCCAUAUUAGGCCUUUUUGUACAUGAACUACACUCUAUCAUUUUCGCAACGUUAAACGGAGUUGUCCCACGCGUUUAGGACACCCCCAAUUAGGUUUCUACGAAGUCAAUUUGUCCCCGAAAAAUCCUAGGGCAAAAGCCCUAAUUUUCAAGCCCUAAUAUUGUCAUUUAGGGUUUCCCCAUGAAUCGAUCCCAAUCUUAAGCAAACAAUAGCUUAGGAUCAUCUAAGAAGCACUCUAGUAAGGUUUCUAGACCUUUGGUACCAACUCUAGGGCUCCAAACACCACUUCCAAGGAUUCACCAUGAGAGCACUUUGAGCUCUCAUGGGUACCAUGGUAUACAUGGCUCAAAAGUGCCUCUAAAGCCUCUAGGGAGCACAAAGCUCCCAUUUUCUAAGCCAAAAUCCAAACCCUAGACUCAUUUCUACCAAAAACUCACCUUAGCCCAAGCUCCUCCAAGUCCUUCUUGUAGGAGAGCUUGUAGAACCCACCAAAGUCACCAAAUCCACCUCCUCCUUGCUUCUUCUUCUUCUUCUCCAAGCCCUAGAGCAAGAGUUCUAGAGAGAGAAAGAGAGGAAAUGAGAGGGGAGGGUGAAAAUGGCUGUGGGAGAGAGAGGGAUGACCAUAUAAGGUGUUGUAACAAUUGCACUUAAGCCCCUUCAUUUGUUUCCCCUGAUCUGCCCAGACUGGGCAUUUUUCGCCUUCGGGGACCGGUCUCCCCGACCAGGGACCGGUUCCCGAACGGGGGUUUUCCAGGACUUAGCCAAAAUUUUGAGUUUUUCAGCUGUUGCGCAGCGAGGGACCGGUCUGCCCGUCAGGGACCGGUCUCCCGAGGACCGGUCUCACCACCAGGGACCGGAUGCCUCAGGAUUUCCUGGCAGGCUACGCGCACGGGGACCGGUCUCUCCUUCAGGGACCGGUCCCCGAGAGCUCAAAAUCUGGAACUUAGCCAGAUUUUUAGAUUUGCUCUCCGGGUCCCUUUUUGCUCUGUUUAUGAACUCUAAUGCACUUAGGGUCUAUUCUAACUCGUUCAAUUUCGCGUUCCAGUCAUUUUGAUGGAACUUGGUACGAUUUACGAGGGAUGUGGUAUGUUACAGUCAUCUCAUAAGUUUGGAGAGCACCAACUAAUUCUUCUACUUUAAGUUCAUUCGGAUGUUUUACCGUUUCAAUGGCCGCAACCUUAGGACGAAAUCGUUCGGGAAGGGUUCUCAAAAUUUUUCUAACAAUUUUGGAAUCCAGAAUCUUCUUGCCUAAGUUAGUACACGUGUUUACAAUGUCUUGCAAACGAGUAUAAUAGUCGAUAAAAGAUUCAUGUUCUUCUAUACGAAUAGAAUCAAAUAUACUAGUAAGCAUUUGUAAUUUUUGAAUCUUUACCAAGCUUGUACCCUCGUGUGUAACUUGUAAAGUGUCCCAAAUUUCUUUGGCAGUUUCACACGCCGAGACACGAGAAAAUUCAGUUUUAUUUAAAGCAUUAAAUAAAGCAUUGAUACCCUUUCCGUUGAACGAAGAUAGUUUAUUUUCCUCUUUCAUACAUUUAUUUCUAGGUUUCGGACCGGUAACAUUCUCGACAACUUCGGUGGGAUGUUUCCACCCGAAUUCAAUGGCUUGCCAUACCCGCUCGUCGAUGGCAAUAAGAAACGCCCUCAUACGGACUUUCCAAUAAGCGUAAUUAGUGCCAUCGAAGAGAGGGGGUUGAUUGAUGUUACCGCCCUCGGCCAUGAUUUACAAUCUAUAUCCGCUCUGAUACCACUUGUAAGAUAUGGAUCCCGAGGAUCUAAAAGGUAAAUAACACCUAGAGGGGGGAGAAUAGGUGUAAAACGGCAAAAACAAAAACUCUCGAUGCAAAUAAAAAAGAGCGGAAAAUAAAAACAACACACCGAGAUUUUAACGUGGGAAAACUCCAAUCCGGAGUGAAAAACCCACGGGACCGAUCACACGAAGAAAAUCCACUAAGAAAACUUGAGUACAAGUGAUUUAACCAAAAUACAUGACUCAAUUUACCGAAUUCUCGUUGUUGAUUGUCUUCGCCGGUCCUCGAUCGAUAGGAAUCCUCCAAUCGACCCCGCCGCAACUCCUUGUCGCGUCAAUGCCUCAACUCCUCAAAGCGUCCACCGAAUUCUCGGCUUCACGUGAGAUCCACGUGUCGAACCUCCUUCCGGAGCUUGUAGAAUUUAUAAUUUGUGGUGAUUAAGACUUAAAAUCCCAUAAGCAAUGAGGGUUCACCUUCUAAUCAAACAUCUACUUGAUUCUCGAAGAAAAUCUCGAGUUAAAACUUAAGAAUCAUGUCGAUCAUUGAUUAGAUGAAACUUGUUAUAUGAAUAAAAUCAUAAGAAUGUGAAAACAAGUUUCUAGGGUUUUAGAACAGUAGAAAUUCAAAGCCUCAACUCAUAUGAUGACCCCCAUAGCUUAUUUAUAGGUUUAGAAAACUUAGAAGUAGACUAGGAUUGCAAAAAGUCUAUUUUAAAAACUGGUGUCAUCCUCAGAGACCGGUCCUUUCGAGGAGAUUGGCCUGUCAGAGACCGGUGCCUUGGAUGGGAGACUGGUCCCUCGCAGCGUGACAGAAAACACAACGUUCGGGAACCGGUCUCUCAUGCCAGAGACUGGUCUCUCUCUGCGAGUCAAAAAUCCCAACGUUCGGGAACCGGUCUCUCAUGCCAGAGACCAGUUGCACCGACCAGGAGACCGAUCCCUCAGAUCAGGAGACCGGUUGCAUUAGUCUUUCACGCAGAGAGAACUCUCGGGAACCGGUCUCUCAUCUCAGGGGACUGGUCCCAGCACAUUGAAAGCCUCAGUUUGUGUUUUCUAUUGCAAUCCAAGUCUUCUAAACUUAUUGUAAUUAGAUAAAUUCACCAAAAGUGAUCUAUUCUUCAUAUCUGAGGUGCCGAGCUUUCCAAAUGAGUCUUUGCUCUUCAAAUUGAAUCUUCUCUUCAAACCUUCGCAAUCAACUCUUCAAGACUCCAUUCGACUUCACGAAAUCCGCCAACCUAGAAAAUCCUUAACACGCAACAUAUCCUCCAAAACCUGAAUAGUUCGCUCUGAUUGCCCGUCUGUUGAGGAUGAAAAGCAGUGCUAAACUCGAGUCGUAUGCCAAGUGCUUCCUGCAAGCUUUUCCAAAAGUGUGAAGUAAACCGAAGGUCUCGAUCCGACACGAUCGACUUUGGAACACCGUUCAACCUCACCACUUUAUCAAGAUAUACUUGCACAAGCUUGUCACCAGACCAAGUAGUGUGGAUCGGUAGGAAAUGUCCCGACUUCGACAAACGGUUCACUACUACCCAAAUCGUAUCGUGGCCACCCGACGAACGGAGCAAUCCGACCAUGAAGUCCAUAGCAAUAUCCUCCCAUUUCCAAACGGGAAUAGGUAGGCUCUGAAGCUUUCCCGCCGGAAACCGACGCUCCGCCUUGACUUGUUGGCACACAAGACAUUGCGCUACAUAGCGUGCAAUGUCACCUUUCAUUCCCGGCCACCAAUAGAGCAAUCUUAAGUCUUGAUGGCCCUGUCACGCCCUGGGACUCGGCAUAGACCAGCCCGGUACGUGCCCAGACCCGCCAUAUGUCUGCACAUAUAAGGCAUCUACAACAAUAGCGAAUAAAAGAACAAUAAAUUGAGAAUAUCUAGAGAUAUCAGACCAAGUAUACAGCUAGGUUCUAUCAACCAGUAGAAACCACAGAAUCUAGACUGCUAAAGUAAAAUGUAAAGUAGUACAUCAUAAGUCUCAAGAUACAAAUAGUGGGUGGUCUCUACAAAAUGGUACAAGUUUCUCAACCUCUCCAAAAAGAAACAAAAGAGAGGUAGACCACCUAUCAACCAAUCCCUCGCUAGCUAGCUCGAGGCGAUUCCUUUUCCACGAUCCCGAGCCUCUCCCGGAGUGGAAGGCUCUGAAUGAAAACAUAAAACAGAGGGGCGUGAGAACUAUAAUUUAUAGUUCCCAGUAAGCAAUUACUGACCAUAGCCAAAUGCACCACUAGGCCCAAAAUAUGAGCACAUAAGAGAGUAACGAAAAGUAACUGUGAAAAGUAAAAGCAUAUGAUGAAAUGCUAUUCUACUAUGCCACAAGCAUACAUGAUGUCAACAUGGUGAACAUCUACUCUAUCCUGAUCCAAUAUGCCAAUACAUACAUACUAUGUUCUAUCAUGGCUACCAAGUAUGCUAUGAUGCAACAAGUAAUACUACAUGUCCAAAUGUCCAAUACUAUGCUAAAAGCAUGUCCAAGUAAACCAACUACUAAGCCUAUUUAGUAGUGAUUGUCAUACAUCGGUUUGAUGUCAUUGUUCAAUCUUAUUUUAGGACAUACACAAGUGUAGUCUGGCUUGUGCCGCCUAAGUGCCAGUGGUAGCUCCAGCAUUCCCACUCGAGGAAUGAGUCUAACCCUCCAGGCCCCCGUAGGCUUGUCAAUGCGGCACGCGUGAACUGCGUCGCAAAGACUAACUCCGGAGUGCCGGCUUGUAGGGAGCGACCCUCACAAGUAUGUGCGAAUGAGCACAAAUGGCAAGCAAGCGUAAUCAUCAUCUCAAGUACUCAAUCAUCAUGUCUCUAAUGGUAAUAUCCACUAGCAAUCCAACGGUCUAGUUCUAUGUCUCAAAGUGAAGUUCCAACAUUCACUGAGUCUAGUGUCUCUUUAGGACACUAGAACAUUACUAUAUCCAAGCAUGUUCUAAUUUUCAUGCCUCUUUAUGGCAUUAUUUACUAGGUUCAUACAUGUCCGAAGCUCAAUGUCGCUUUAUGACAUUAGCUUAAUAUACCAAUUCUAAGCCCAAUCCCUCUUUAUGACAUUAGCUUAUCCUAUCAAUAAUAGGUUAAUACGCAUGCUCUCUAGCAUGAUCUCACAUUGCUAAUAUGUACCUAGCAUGUAUUCCACAAUGCAUAUAAAUAUUAACAUGCAUCUAUCCACUAGCAUAUGGUUUCAAUGCGUCCGUAUGCAACUAUCAACUUAGCAAAGUUCUCAUAAUGCUACAUGCAUAUACUUUCCAAUGCAACUACCAACUUAGCAUAAUUCUCAUAAUAUUAACAUGUACAUGCAAUUCACAUAUCAUUCAAGUCUAAUGCCUCUCUAUGGCAUUACUUUGCUAGGCUCAUUCAUAGCUCAAGCCCGAUGUCGCAUUAUGACGUUAGCUCUCUGACUCACAAGUUAUUCAAGUCCAAAGCCACUUUAUGGCCUAAUAUAUUCUCGUAUGUCCAAAUGAGAUUUAUGUCCAAGGCAUAUUACAUUUGUCAUGUCUACUAUAUGAAGCAUGAUUCUAAGUCCCAAUUAGAAUGCUAAACCCAUACAUAAGUCUCACAUGCAAGCUCUCUACUAUAUAGAGGUCCGAAAAUGCAUUGUAUAUAACAUAAACAUUUCAAGCAUUCUAAAAUUCACAAAUAAUACAUCUAUUAUGAAAAUGCGUGAUUUUCUAUUUUACGAUACUUAAAUCCACAUAAAUGAGAUAUUCUCAUUUGUAGCGAGGUCAAACCCACCGAGAACUCCACGCGACCCUUCGUGCCCACGACUCUCUUAGUUCCAAGACUUUAGGUGAUGUUACGAUGCUACGAUUCCAGUUUCGUGACUUUUGGAAGCUUACACCGUGAGCUGUGACAAUCCGUACCGAAAUCGGCCUUUUCUUCAAUAUCUUCGCGUAGCCUCGUCGUAUCGCUGAACCGACUUCGUCAGCGCGUUCGUAUACCUAACAAUUAGGUUUGAAUAGGUUCAAUUUAGAUCAAACCUCUAUAUAUAGCAAAACCCCAAUUUGAGCCUUAACAUGCUACUAUUGCAAGAAAUCACCAAAUUGGAACUUGAUUCAUGCAAUUAACAUGUUAUUAGCAUCUAGGGAGUCCUCUAAACCCAGUCCUAAAGCAUAUAAUUGAAGUUCUAAAAUUCUACCAUUAAAGCCCUAGCAUAUACAUACACUCCAAAUAACCCAAAUUAAAUGGAGAAAAUAUGCUAAUCACACAUUAGAGGCUACUAGAACACUAAGCAUAAAGGAAUUAGCCCAAUUCCAAAAGCUUACCAAAAUCUGAACGCCGAGAUGGAAGCAAGCCGCUCCAACGGGCGCACGAAAGCUCGAUCUGUCGCUUCCAACGCGUUCACAAGCUCGCUCUCCGCCAACGCCGCAAAUUUCAGCGAGAGAUUUAGAGAGAUAAGGAAGAUAUUUAGAGAGAGAAAGGAGGGUUUCUCUCUCUCCCUCUCUAAACGUGUGUGUGUUGAGGGCGAUGGUGUUGGCUGUGAAGAAGAAGAUGCCUAGCAGCUUCUAUUUAUAGUCAACACCCCACAAUACUAUUCACAAUAGUAAUUUAGCAGAUACAAACUGACAUUUUUCGCCGGAGCCCUUCUGAAUGUCCGACUGAGCUCAAAUUUGACAGUCAGGCUCGGUUUUCCUUAACAUGACGAAAGAAAUUUAAAUCUUUCUGUUACGACCAUGUUUGGUUACCGAAAGCUCUACCGAACUGUAAUCUCUAGCAGAUCGUAGUCGAAUUUUAUUUUUCAUCUUCCGGGUAUCGGAUUGACAUGAAACUUUAAAUCUAGCCUCAUAAAAAUAAUCCUAACAUAUUCCCAGAUUUUCGAUAUUUUCUGACACUGUACAUUUUUUGCUAAAAUAUCAACCCCGUCUCUCACAAAAAAUUCUCAAUCUUCUGUUUUCACUCCGAUUUCCGCACGAGUCGAUCCCAACAUAUAAUUUACUUCUCUAAAUCCAAUAAAAAUAGUAUCUCACACUAUUUUUAUUUAUAUUCACUUUUAUUAAAAAUUCGGUAUGCUACACACCCCAAACCUAGAUAUGAUGCAUCGCUAUAUAUCACGAAGUCCUCACCUUGCACCGGUAGGGAGAGCACCGGAGUCGAAGUCAACCUCUCCUUCAACUCUUUGAAACUCCGGUCGCACUCGUCGCUCCAAAUGAACUUGGUGCCCGUUUGCGUUGGACGGGUAAGUGGAAUAACUAUCUUCGAGAAUCCCUCCACGAACAGUCUAUAAUAGCCCGCUAAGCCCACGAAGCUACAAACCUCCGUCACAUUAGUCGGGCGAGGCCAAUCCUGGAUCACCUCAACUUUCCUCGAGUCAACAAAAAUUCCUCCCUCGGAAAUAAUAUGUCCUAGAAAUGCAACUUCUCGGAGCCAAAAGUCACAUUUCUUCAACCUCGCAAAAAGCUUAUUCUCCCGAAGGACUUGUAGCACAAGUCUCAAAUGCUCUGCGUGCUCCUCGUCGCUACGAGAGUAGACCAAGAUGUCGACUAUAAAGACUACGACAAAUCGAUCUAGUUAAGCCCUGAAUACACGGUUCAUCAAAUCCAUGAAUGCUGCCGGGGCAUUUGUGUCACGCCCCGAGACCGAUACCAAUUUGGGCCGGCCCGAGCAUGUCAAACAGACACCGAACGGACAGAGUUUCCUCUAUCCGCCCAAGGCUCAUCACCUGUACAUUUUCAAACAAGAAGUGCACUAGCGGAAAUAUACACAAACGGCUUACACGAGGGUAAGCAAUAGCCAUGAGUGAAAGUAAGGAAAUAAACAUCUACACAAGUACUAUGAUUCACUUCUGAUCAUAUACAUUGCAUUUAACCUCAUAUUCAUAAUUCUUUACAUUGCUUGCAUAAUUUCUUUUACAUCACAUUUGCUCAAAAUAAACUUUACAAUAUUUCUUUCUUUGCUUUAUACAUCAACAUCUUAAAUCAUCAAAUACAAAAGAUGAUAAAAGGGUAUACUACUAACAAAAUAUAAAGCCCGACUCGGGUGGCCACUGUCUAGGGUGCGAUACCUUUACUGCGGUCGCUCGCCGGCUCGCUCGGUCCCGGCUCUGUGGAAAUAGUGGGGUGAGAACUACAACAAAGUUCCCAGUGGAUUCGGCCCCAAUCUCACCAACUUUCCCACUAGGACUAACUCAGGCAUAAUAGAAAGGAUAAGCAGAAUAGUAACCAAACUAUAAUCAUGAUGCUAAUAUGCCUGAACAAUAAAGCAAGAAAUAUGCUUAAUAUAAAUCAUGCAACUAUGCAAGUUUCUUGUUCUUUACUCUUUAUUCUUUAAUCUUUGUUCUUUGUUCUUUGUUCUUUGUUCUUUAAUCUCAUGGCUAACCUGGGGGUUUCGCCACAUUAACUUGCCCACAUUAAGUCCAUCAUCACGGGCCCUCAGCUGCCUCCCGCUAAGACCGUCCUCGAGUUUACUCCAACCGGUGAUGCAAAACUCCGGAGCGCAUCGCUCGAAGGGGAGCGACCGCCCUCGAGUACGGAACUCAUAGCAAGUAUGAUCGAUUCUUAACUCUAAGGCAUAUAGUUCAAUCAUUAUCUUUACACUAACUCUAGUGUUCUUUUCAUCACUUUAUUUUGCUAACUCUAGCAAUCAUUGUUCUUUAACUUUACUUGUUCUUUAUGCCAUACUUUGCAUUAACUUUAAUCUUUAUCAUUAUUCUUUUCAUCACAUUGAUUCUUUGAUGCCACACACUAACUCUAGUGUCGACUAUAUACUUUCGAAUGCCACUCGAUCUAUGCUCUUGUGUCACUUUGUUCUUUUAUAUCAUUAGGUUCUCACAUUACCUCUCAUGCAUAUAUAGGGUGUUAUAGGUUCUCAACCAACUAGAAAUGCACGUGUACUCACAUCAUGUAAUAUUUACAUAAUUAUCAUCACAUUUUACCCUACAAUGCAUGGAACAACAUAUACAUAAAUGCUCAAUUAAAUGACACAUUAGGCAUAGAAGGAAUUCCAACAAGUUUGGAUAGCACCACCCACCUUGUAGGCUUACUUAGGUGCUACAAUAAUUUUCUUGGAAUUUUUAGACUCCUAGUUCUUUACCUGCGACAAAACGAAGCCCCAUUAGGUCAUUUUUCUCAUAUCUUUAUAUUGGCUUUUCGUAACGUUAAUCCGAGCGCACCAACACGUCGGAAUUACCCCCAAUUAGGUUUCUAGAGGGUCAAUUUCAUUUUAGAACUUUUACAAGCAAAAGCCCCAAUUUGGGUGCCCUAGCUCAACCCACAUCAAAACCUAGGGUUUGAUCUCAUUAGGAAGCAAAAGAAUCUUCAAUUUACUCUAAAGACUCCAUAAAAACCAUCCUUAGUUCAAUCCAAAACCUAGUUUGGAUUCUACCAUGAGAGUGGUGAAGCUCACCUCUAAGCUUCAUCACACACACCCAACUUAUGGUUUUGAUCUCAUUAACAAGCAAAAUAAAGCUUGAAACACUUAUUAGGCUCAACUAAAACCAUUUUUAGAUCAUUUAGUUCACAUUCUAGGAUUUUACCAUGAAUAGGGUUCAAGCUUACCUCUAAGCUUGCUCCUAGAUUGCUCCAAAGAGGAAGAAGAGGAGGUGGCUUCACUCCUUAGCUUCUUCUUCACCCUCUUUCUCCUUUUCUUCUUCUUCUUUUCCUUUUUCUUUUCUUUCUUUUCCUUGUAUUCUUCUCCUCCUUCUUGUCUUCUAGAGAGAGAAAGAGAGAAGAGAGGAAAAAGCCCUCAUUGCCCUCAACUUAACCAUUGGAUUGCAUAAAUGCAAAUAGGCCCCUCAGCUUUUAUCUUAUUAAACUGCUUGAACUGGGUAGUUUUCGGGUUCGGGGACCGGUCUCCCGGACUUGGGACUGGUCCUAGAGAGCUCUCCCCGCGGGCAGCAGGGCGCACGGGCGAUGCAACCGGUCUCUCACUGGGGGACCGGUCUCUCGAGGACCAGUCUCUCGGGGCCGGUCUCUCCCCGCAGGGACCGGUUUCCGAGAGCUGGUUUUCUGGGACUUAGCCGAUUUUCAGCCUUUCUCAUUUCUCACGCGUUCAGGGACCGGUCUCUCCCACCAGGGACCGGUCCCCGAGAGCUCAAAAACUGCAGUUUGUAAAUUUUUGAUUCUUUAGCUCUCGAAAACCUCCCACAAUGCACUUUUGAUCAUUUUAACACCUUCGGACUUUCGAAGUGUACUAUCCUCGCACUUUGGUCAAUUUGACUAAAAUUCGAUAUUUAUUUUUCGAAUUUUCGGUAUAUUACAUUCUCCACCCCUUAAAAUAAUUUCAUCCGCGAAAUUACGCAUACCUUAACUUGUCGACUCAAAUAGAUGCGAAUACUCUCUCCGCAUAGUUUCCUCAAGCUCCCAAGUGGCUUCUCGCGCCGCAUGAUUGCUGUAAGGUAUCAGACUUCUAAAAUCAUGAAGUUACGGUGUACAUUUGGUUGGAAGACCAUUUGAAAGGUUCCGGUGAAGUUCGGUGAGGCCCAGAAGCAUUCGGGCGUUUCGAUGCGCGUAGGCGCUAAAACGGAGCCGAAAGGCUAUGUUGGGCCGUGAGCUAAAUCCGGCAUUAGCGAGGAUGGAAAGAUGAUGAAAACAUGUUUGGAAACAUGUUUGGAGAGUCUCUGUUCGAUUUGAGACGAAUCGGAGGUCAAACGAGCGAAAACGGGUGAAAACGGAGAAGAAACGGUGAAAAAGCUGAAAAUUUGGCUAAGUCCUUGAGGCUGAGUUCUGGACCUUCGGGGACCGGUCUCUCAGCCAAGGACCGGUCUCUCAGGGACCGGUCUCUCACCGCAAGGACCGGUCCCCGAGCGCGAAAAUGGCCCAGUUUGGGCUGUUGCAAGAGAGGCUUUGUUGAGGGGCUUUUAUGCAAUUUUGCACUAAUGAGAGUGUAUAGAGAGGGUUCUUUCUCUCUUUCUCUCAUUUCCCUCAACCCAACACCACCUCUCUCUCUCUCUAAACGUGAAGAAGAAGAAGAAGGAGAAAGAGGAGAAGAGAAGAAAGGAGAAGAAGAAGAGGGAGGAGAAGAAGAGAAGCAUCAUCACCACCAUCAUCUUCUUCUUCCUCUCAUCCUUGGAGCAAACCUAGAGAGGUAAGCUUGAUACCCUCUCAGGGUAGAUUUCUAGAGUUUGAUCCUAAUGCUUUAGAAAUGGGUUUAGUAGCCUUCCUAGAUGCUAAUGAGAUGGAUUAUGCUUAGAUCCAAGGGUUUAAUGGUGGAUUUUUGCAUAGUAGCAAAUCUAGGGCUCAAAAUGCUAGUUUUGCAAAUAGAUGGGUUUGAUCUAAAUUGGUUGUAUAUAAACCUAACUGAUAGGUCACUGAACGCGUUGGAAGCGACGGUUUGGCAAUCCGUCGAGCCGUUACAAAGAUAUCGAAGAAGAAGCCGAUUUCGGUACAGAUUGCCGCAGCUCACGGCGAAAGCUUCCUAAAAUCAUGGAAAUGGAAUCGUAGCAUCGUGGUGUCGGGGAAUAAACUCCAGAACAGACGGAUCGCGGAUAGGAGGUCAUUUGGCAGUCGCGCGUGAGUUGGGUCGAGCCGUGCGGCGUGCGCCGCAGGAGGCCGAUUGCGAGUGACGACGAGCAAUCGGAACGCUAUAAAAGGUGGGUGGUGUCCAUCCCGAAGCAAUCGGGCUCCCUUUUAUGUCUAAGUUUUUAUAUUGAUCAAUUGCAUAUUGACAUCUUGCAUUAUAGGGUGAUAAAUGAUGGUUUGGUCUUAUACCUUGCAUAUUCUUUGGUAGAAUAAUGUAUUUGGCUUAGUACUUAUAUCUAGCAUGCUUGAGGUUAAUAUAUGUGAUGUGGAACCCUAUAAUAAGAUGAUAAGUGUGGAUGAGAAUUUAGUAAUGUAUUGGCUAUUGCAUUGGAAACUUGUAAAGAACGAGUGGCAUCUAGUUGAUAGUAAACAAAAGAACGAGUGACAUAUGUGAGUCAUAGUGUAUAUGAAACCUAUGGACUAUAUGAUGAUUAUAACCCUAGAGGAUAGGGUAUUCUCGAGAUGAGGAUUGGAUCAUGCUCACGGUCUGUUUAAAUCUUGUGAUGGAAGCCCCACACAAGUAGUGCGCUCCGGAUGUUGGUCACGCCAGGGAUUGCCUAUAUGGCCCCGCCAGACGGUCUCGGGUCCGUAGUGUGAGUGAAUUCUCCCUACGUGUCGAGAUGGCUAGUGAGCUGUAGGCGAGCCUUCGGGUAAGCCAUGAGAUUAAUGAACAAGUAAAUGAGGUUAAUGAACGAGUGAAUAGCUUCACCUUUGGACAUGAUAACAGGUUAGUUGCUUACCUAUUUCAUUAUGCAUGCAUUCAUAAAUUUAUGAUUGGGCAUAGUAGAGUAGCUUUACUCCUGUCAUUACCGCUUUCCUUAUCUAUCUAUCUAUCGAUUAUCUACUUGUGCCCAACUUGGACCUAGUGGGGAGAUCGGCGGAGUCGGCGGCCGAACCCACUGGGAACUAAGGAAGUUAGUUCUCACCCCCCAUUUUACUACAGGGCCGAGCGCGAGUUCACACGGCGAGGAUCGCGGUAAGGGCCUAGCGCCCUAGUUGCAUUAGUCUACUUUCCUAUUUCUGCAUUAGAGUCACCUUUUUAUGCUUUGAGAGUAGAUGAUGUAUAGGAUGUGAGAUAUUCUGGAAUGGAUGUAAGCUUUUUAUUAUGUCUUCGAAGUUCAAUGUAUAAUCAAAUUGUAUUAUAAAGGCUGAAUGAAUGUAAUAGAUAGAUGCUCUCUCUUUAUCAUUACUUGUAUGUUUUAUACUUGUAUCUUGCUCUUGGUUGUUUUGCACUGAUUGUGCUCUCGUUGCAGUUAUCGAUUGUGUAUGUAUUCAAGUCAUUUUUCCUGGGGACUUGUUGUACACAAUCUUGUUGUUAGCCUUGGGCGGACAGGGGAGGUGCUGUCCGUCCGGCGUCUGUUCGACGCGCCCGGGCCGAACCAGAUUGGUAGCGGUCGCGGGGCGUGACAGUUGCUCCAUUGGACCUUCACAUAUGAAAUUCUGCGACUCCGCAGCGUUCUUUCUUCUCUAUCGAGGAUGCACACCGGGUACUCCUCAUAAGACAUAUCCUCACGUAACUCCACGGGCUCGUACUCUAACACAUGUGUUGAGUUGCGAAUAUACUUUUGGAGAUUUGACACAUGAAAAACAUUGUAAACUCCCGCGAGUCUCGAUGGUAGUGCGAGCUUGUACGCUACCGCACCCACACGCUCCAAUAUCUCAAAUGGUCCGACAUAACGGGGGCUUAGCUUCCCGCGGACCCCGAAUCGCUUUACUCCUCGCAUCGGCAACACUCUAAAAAAUACGCGGUCUCCAACCGCGAACUAUAAGUCUCUCCUUCGCUUGUCGGCAUAACUCUUUUGCCGAGAUUGCGCUGUCGCUAACCGUUGACGGGCAAGACGAACUCUUUCUUCCGCCUCCCGUACCACAUCCGGGCCAAGAGCCGUUCUCUUGCCCACGUCGCUCCAAUUAAUAGGAGAACGACACUUGCGUCCAUAUAGUGCCUCAAAUGGCGCCAUCGCUAUACUCUCUUGAUAACUAUUAUUAUACGCGAACUCCGCCAUCGGCAAGAAAUCAUGCCAUCCUCCUUUGUAAUCUAGUACACACGCUCGAAGUAAAUCCUCAAGGAUCUGUAUUGUCAGCUCCGACUGUCCAUCACUCUGAGGAUGAAACGCUGUGCUAAAGUCGAGCCGUGUGCCUAACGCAUCCUGCAAGCUCUUCCAAAAGUGGGAUGUGAACAUGGGGUCUCGAUCCGAUACAAUUGAUACCGGAACCCCAUGAAGUCUCACAACCUCGUCGAGAUAUACUUGAGCUAACUUGUCUCCCGACCACGUAGUAUGUAUCGGCAAGAAGUGUGCCAACUUUGUCAAUCGAUCCACUAUCAUCCAUAUCGCAUCGUGUCCGCCUUGUGAUCGAGGCAAACCGGUAAUAAAGUCCAUCGCUAUAUCUUUCCAUUUCCAAACGAGUAUUGAUAGACUUUGUAGUUUUCCCGCCGGAAACCGGCGCUCUGCUUUCACCUGUUGGCAUGUUAGACAUUGCGCCACGAACUCCCCAAUAUCUCUCUUCAUACCCGGCCACCAAUAAUGCUCUUUCAAGUUCUUGUACAUUUUAGCACCGCCGGGGUGUAUGAUAUAAGGGGACUGGUGCGCUUCUUGCAUGAUCGCCCUUCGAAUAUCACUAUCUUUGGACAUGCACCAACGAUUUCGAAAUUGAAGUGUGCCAUCGGCUCCAAUGCCAAAAUCCUCGGCACUACCGUUCUCAACUUCAUUCCGCACCUUUUGAAGAUAAGGAUAUGAAGCUUGAAGCUCUUUGAUUCUUUCCAAUAGGGUCGGUUGUACAACUAAUGCGGCAAGUGUAGUCGGCACUCCCGGCGCUACCACUUCCAACCCAAGCCUUUGCAUCUCCUUUUGCAAUAGCGGUUGAGGCGUAAUUACCAUCGCUAAGUUCUUCGCCGAUUUUCUACUUAGAGCAUCGGCCACGACAUUGGCUUUUCCGGGGUGGUAUAGUAUAGUGACAUCGUAGUCCUUCAAUAACUCCAACCACCGCCGCUGCCGCAUGUUCAAUUCCUUCUGGGUGAACAAGUACUUUAGAAUUUUAUGAUCUGUAUAGACCUCGCAAUGCUCACCAUACAAGUAAUGCCUCCAAAGCUUUAGCGCGAAGAUCACUGCGGCUAACUCGAGGUCGUGAAUCGGGUAGUUCUUCUCAUAGCUCUUCAAUUGGCGCGAUGCAUAUGCAAUGACUCGCCCAUUUUGCAUUAACACACACCCGAGACCAACAUACGAGGCAUCACUAUACACUACAAAAGUCUCCCCCGGAGUCGGCAAGGCAAGCACCGGGGUCGACGUCAACCUGUUUUUUAACUCCUCGAAGCCUCGAUCGCAAUUGUCACUCCACACGUACUUUACUCCUUUAUGCGUGAAGCGCGUUAGUGGAGUAGUUAUUUUGGCGAACCGGUCCACGAACCGCCGGUAAUAGCCCGCAAGUCCAAGAAAACUGUGGACCUCCGCUACAUUCGUCGGGCGAGACCAAUCCUUUAUUGCCUCUACUUUCUUCGGGUCUACCAAAACUCUGUCGCCCGAUGCCACAUGACCCAAGAAUGUGACCUCCC